RNAcentral lists this long non-coding RNA (97826 nucleotides) under Fragaria vesca (wild strawberry). RNAcentral's name for it is "long non-coding RNA (FVES_LNC000698)". Lineage: Eukaryota; Viridiplantae; Streptophyta; Magnoliopsida; Rosales; Rosaceae. The record is from RNAcentral.
AAAAAAAAAAAAAAAAAAAAAACUCCAAGCCUUAGUGAACAAAUAUGGAGCAUUGAUUAAACCAUUGCUGAUUUCUCUAUGCAGUCUAAUAGCAAUAUCUUUAUAUUAAUUUCAUAUGCUGCAUAUGUGACAUCAUAUUUGGCAUAAAAUUGGAUCAGACGAGAGAUUUUAUCAAUAACUGUGUGUGUGUGUGUGUGUGAGAGAGAGAGAGAGAGAGAGAUUUUCAUUCUGACAUUUUGCCCACCCUGGAUUUCUAAUGGCAAUAUAGAUGGUUAUAGAGUUGAUAAAUUUAACUCUAGUUUCCCCAAUAUUUAGUUGAUGUAUAAAUUGAUACCUGGGUCAUAGUUCUGACAGCAAAAUUCGUACUGCAGGUCUGUAUAGAUCAUGACUUGCAUGUAGUACAGAUAUAGGCAUAAUUGCGCAUUAUAAAUCAUAGAACCUUAAUAUUGCAAUCUGCUCACCAUCAUCAAUUUUAUCCUUGUAGGUGAUUAGAGAGGACAGUCCAUAUGAGAAUCUGCAAAUGAACUUGGCGGAACCAUCAUUAUUUUUCAAUCAACUUGGAUCUAUUCAAGAAGUUCUACCUAUUCUCUCUGUCAUUCCAGAGGUUAGGAACGUUUUUAUAUUUGAACACAUCAAUAUUUACAUGUUUUGACAUCCAUAUAUAUAAUAGCAGUAGCAAAAAUGUAAUACUUGUGUUCUCAGUUGAAGACAUGUUAUAUGGUAGAAUAUUACACUAGGACACAUUACAGACAACAGGUCUUUUAUGAAAAUGAGGGAGUGAAGCUAUAUUGGUACAAGGAUCUUUAUUGAAGAAGCUUAAUUAAUUUUUACUAGUGAAUUUUUCCUUUAUGCACUCUUUCUGACUGCAAUUGUAUUGAUAUUUGGGCAGCUCUCACCAGAAUCACAACAGCAGUUACUUAAUUUGCCAGCUGAUCUCACCAGGCGUCUAAUUUCCCGUGCUGUUGCAAGGACAAUCAGAAGGGUAAUUUUAUGAAGCAUAGGAGACUUAUUCUUGUAACACUUCUAGGUUGAAUCACAUAAUAGAACUUUUUGCCUAUCCCUUGAUAAUGAUGUGUUCACGUUUUCAAAAACCAACAUUAUCUCAAGUGAAUCAUAUGCAUAACUUGCAAGCCUAUUUGCAAUAGUAUUUCCCGUUCUGGAUGCGAAAGACACUGACAUUCUGCAUUACUAAAUUUGGUUUUGAUAUCUAAAACCAGAUUGCUUAGCUCAGAUAGAUCCUCGUCUUCUCUGUUAAUUGACUGAACUGCUACCAGGCAAUCAGUCUUAAUCUCUCCAUCUGCUCCACAAACUGUAAACCUUCCCAGAUGGCAUGGAGCUCAACCUGUUGUGCUGAGUCUGCACAUGAGACACCGGUUUGGCAAUGCUGCCACGAAUGCACCCUGUGCAUCUCAUAGAAUUCCACACACACACCCCAAUCCAAAGCACCUGCCCCGAAAGCUCCAUCCACAUCAAGUUUGGGGACCGGCUGGUUUCCGUUGUUGCUUCAGUUUAGCAGCAUUCACAGCAGAGCUUGCUGAAAGUCAGUUAGCGAAGUAAACGAGCUCAGAAUUAAUCUAUAACUUCUUCAUGUGUUUUGCCUUCCAACAAUUUUCAGUUUCUAUUGGUCCACAAUCCGUGAAUAAUCAUAAGGAGCUUUGCAAAUAGAUCACCCUUAGGUUUAAAGCUUGCUCCAAAAGGCUGGACCGGAACGUACGACUUCGUCAGCUGCAGAUAGCUCGUCAACUGGGGCAUGCAGUCCUAAUCUUUUGUCCCCUGGAAUAGCAUGGCUAUUUCACUCGCACUAACUGCCCGCUAAGGCAUGCUUCCUACUGACGCCAAUGGAAUAAACAAUGACCCUACUUUACAGGUUUUUGUCACUUUCUUUCUUGAUGUUGCAUUGUAUGAAUCGCCUGCUCAUUUGCAUCCACAUUACUGGACUCUUCUGGAUGUUUGAUGUAACACAGUUGCAACCAAGGCAUUAGUUUCCCCGUAUUUUGACUUGGGAAAAUUGCGAGCAAAGAAGUGAGAUUAGAAAACAAAAACACCCAAUUUUGGCAAAAGAGAACAAAAAAUACAAAAGAAAGCUCACAGUAGAAGUCGGGAAUAAUACUGGACUGGACAAAAAAAAGUGUUCUGUGUUGACUAAGACUUAUGAUUUUGUAUCAAAUUACACGUAUCGAGCAUGAUUCUGUAAUAUGCAAUUUCGAGCUUAUCAACAUAACGGGCCUUCCCAUUUCACCUUACAACAUUGUAAAUACCUGUUCGAAGUUCAAAUUAUAUCUGACCUGCCCUGUUAACAGCAUCUACUGAGUACAACCUACAAUUGAAUUAAUGUUUCCUAGUAUUACUCGUCCUCCUCUUCAGAUGCCUCCCUCAACCACUGCAACAACAAAAAACACAUAAGAUACAACUAUUGUGAAACUUAAAAUAUGCUCUGCACCCACAUUCUCCAAAUUCCCUCAUUACUUGGGCAACCCUAAGGGAUGAACUUGUCUUUAAUGGAGCUUGUGCGAGAAAAAAUAGACAUCACACAAGGCUCAGGCACUAGCAUGUAAACCAGUAAAGAGUAAAACUAAAUAAUUGCAAUCAUGCACAGCCCAAGUAUACAAAACAUUGUAAGGGAAAACAACGGAUUUUAUAAGCUGACAAUCAUUUUAUUCAAAUUUAGGUAUCACUUACAUGGAUAAAUGUUUCAGCCUGCUUAACAAAAAUUUUGUCUGAUUCAUCGGCAUAUGUCUUUUCAUCAUCCCACCUCAGAAUAGCCUCUUCCUGUAUAACUUCUUGGUCAUACAGCUGAUAGAGUAUCUGUAUAAGAAAAAUCCAACAAUCAAGAGAAUUAAACCCAUCAAAUUCAUAACAGAACUGAAAGACUAAACCAGCUAGGUUCCAACAAAAACUCAGCAAAACUUUGGCACAGUUCUAAAUAAAAAAAAAUAUUUUUGUGGUGGCAUUAUCCAUAGCAAUUUUCUCAUUGCUCAAGAGCCAGAGGCUGGCAAAGCACUAAGCAGAAGCAUAUCCACAUUCAUCCAAGGAGAUGAAAAGUUAUGCACUUUGAAAUAACUGCAAUUCUCUGAUCUUCUAAUACAAAUCACGAGUAUGAUUUAUGAUGAUCCAAAACAACGUAGGCAAGCAUACCUUUUCAAACACAGGGGAGAACUCCUUUGCAGACUCCAAACACAUAUCUUCAAAUUUCAUUAUCACUUCUAUCUGUAAAGUAACAAAGAAUAAAUCAUCACAAAGUAUAACAGCGAUAAGCACUACAUUUAUAACCAUGGGAAAAUGUUAGGACCAGAUUUCUAGCAUUAUACUAACUCUAAGACUAUCCCGACACCAGACCAACAAAACUCUUUAACACUGAACAAUAAUUUAUAUGUAAACUAGGUACUUAUUGAAAAGACCAAAGUUGGAAAAUUGGAAAGUAACAUUUGACGCACUCUACGUAUAAAUUAAUCAAAACAUUAAUAGAUGAAUGCACACAGAGCACAGAGAUAUUAUCGGAAAAGCUUGCUUAAAUAUCUUUCCCAAAAUAACAAUACAUAUAUGCACAAACUUCGAAUUUCUUGUUCUUCAUUCCCAUUAAGAAUAUACAAAAGAAACGAAUUCCAUUUUGUUUCUUCUUACUUUAUUAAUUGCUUGUCUCAGCCAGUGGAAAAUAAAUUUUACUACUCCAUACGUAGUCGAAAGGCUAAAUUACAAUUGUUUAGUUGAAAGACCAAAAAAGUGUCUAAGGGAAGUGAAGGUCACAUUUUACUUCUACAGUACAAAUAGAAUAUGACCCUCUUUCAUUUCAGUGUAUAUAUUUAUAUCUUUCUUUCAUUGCAAUGUCAUGUUGAUGAGAGCUGAAGAUGACUUGAAGCACAAAUAUAAUAUAUAUAUAUAUAUACGGAAACGAUGUGGAGCGCACGUCCGCAGUGCGCACGAAGCUCCGUUCGCCGACGACGGCGCGCCUCCACCCCAGCAGACUCCAGCAGCGUCCCCGAUCACUUUCUCUCCCCGGUGAGGCCGCCGAAUUCCAGUUUCCGGCGAGAUCGACUUUAUUUGAAGUUUUGGGUGAUCUCGCCGGAAAACUGGAAUUCGGCGGACUCGCCAGGGAGGGAAANNNNNNNNNNNNNNNNNNNNCAGAAUGUCUAAACAAAGCAGUGCCUCGCCUCUAAUAAAAGCUGAGGAGGGGGGGGGGGGGGGGCGGCGGGGAUUGGACAUUUUACAAUUAACCAAAUUUGGUGAUGCAAAAAAGAAAUGUACUGAUUGAACAUGUGCAUGCAAGUAUUAGUCAAAAGGACAAAAACCCAAACCUCUUCAUCAAUAUCUGAUAGGUAAUACUUUAGCAGUCCUUUCCAUUUUGUAAUUACCUUCGUAGUAGCUUGGACCAAGUCAACUACAGAUAAAAUUGAGCAUCAUUUGUCAUUAAUGAUAAGAAACAACACAGGUUUAGUGAACAGAACUAACAUCCAAAUUUCCAAAUAGCCGACAGAGUACAGACCAAUAUAAAAGGAUAUAAUUGUAAAUGAAGACUAAAAAAAACUUAUAAAACCAUGAACACUUCAUGGAUGAAAUCUGGAUUACCGUUAUGUGUUUUAACCUAAGAAAUAUACAACCCAAAUCCCAAACUAACCACACCCAGCUUUUUUUUCUUCAGCAAAUAAUCUGUAUAUAUUCCGUUAUAUUUCUGACAAUUAUACAUAUUGUUGUGAAAGAAAUAUGCUGACUCAACAAUCCCUAAGUUAACAUAUCAACAAGGUGAAAAACAAAACCUCAGUGUCAUUAAUUGUUACUCAACAUAAUACCAUUUUAAUCCCAGAGUUCAUAUAAAAGGUUUCCAAUCAUAGAGGGGUUUCUUAAAACUGAAAAGAGAUGGCAGCCUCAGAAAUCUACCUGCUAAACUAUGUGAAGUUUCUAAUGCCAAUUUCAUCAUUGAAUAAAAUAUAGCUCCAGCACAGUCUGCAGUUUGCUUGUUGUAUGACAAUCUGCAGCAUUGACAAGCGUUAAUCACAAAACAGUACACAGUGAAACUUAAACCAAAAAACAGAACAUUUUCAGGUUGAAAGAUGUCCUCAGACGGCCCUCAGCAGAUGAAAAUAUACAGGCAAACACAAGUUAAGGUAAUGAAGACAUUGACUGAAUGUAAGUGUUUGAGCAUAAUUUAAAUUGCAAAAUUUUCAAAGAUAAAUCAUUACUGAAAUGCAUAAUAAUAAUGAUACUCAUGCUACAUGGUAAUCCAUAGAUAGGCAAGAGAAAACCAAAUGGAUACCUCAGUGAGUUCACUUCUAAGAUGACAUUCUCUACUUUAAUAUUUUCAUCCACAGCUCUUACGAAGGUUGCUUCAACCUGCAGAAACCAAUCAACUUGUUCAGGUUAGGUACAGUUUUUAACUUCUUAAACUUGUAUGUAUAUAAAUUAACAUUGUUCACCUCAUUUUCAAAGUAGGAAUCAUCUCUAGAAUCUACAUCAUAAUCAGAAUCAUUAGAAUCAAGUUUCAACUCUCCCGAAGGUGGGAGACUGCUGCCAUCUUGAGCAAACUCCAGAUCAUCCUCUGCAGCUUGUAUCACCUCAGCAAGUUUCUCUGCAGGAAUGGGAGCAACUGAAUGCCUCCACUCUUCAUCAUGGCCUCCUUCACAAACUGACCAAACAUAACCAGCCCCACCAGUACCAAGCUGAUCAAUAAUAACAGUUUGUAUAAGAGAAUAUCAAGAUAUAAGCAGCAGGAUAAUCUAAAUUUUCUAAUCAGGUCACUUUUUUUACUUGUUACUAGAGGAAAAGGUGGGAUGCAAAAAAAGGUCAGCCAUCAUUACAUGAGUAGGACCACUAUGAAAGGAAUUGUAACUUAUGUAGCCCACGAUAGAAAGGGUAACCCCCAUCCUACCCAUAUCACCAGUCAAUGCAUUCCAUGUGCAUUUGUUGAAACUAAACAAAUGCUGAUUCAAUCAAAGAUGUCUUUUUUCUAUUUUUUUUUUUUUUUUUUUCCGCAAUACCAUCAUAAUUCAACCUUAACAAUGUUAGUGCGCAUCACCUUCAUAGUACAUAGUCCAUAAUCAUCGAGGAAAAUACAAAUCCAAAAGCAUGUUUUGAAAAUAUAGGAGAUAAGAUGUUCUCAGAUUGUCACAUGGUCCCAGGACAGUAUCCCUGAUAUUAUCUUGUUAUUUACCAGUUUGAACCUUGCUCCCUUCUAAUCACCAUUACAAGCCUAAUUCCACGUUGAUACCGUUGUCUACACCAAACUAAGUUAAUGCAGCUUCAUCUUUUAUCAGAGUUAUGUCAAAGCAUCCCUAAUUUCUGAUGUGAAAGCUAUAUCCCAUCCUUUAGACAUGGAAAAAAUGACAUCUCCACACAUGCCUAAUCUCGUGUAUAAGCAGCCCCAUCAUUUGUUGACUGGAAAUUAGCAUCAUAUUGCCUGCUACUUGCUGGAAAAAGAAGAUGAAAAAUAUGCAAGAAGCUGCAAGUGUCUCAGUUUAAUGAUACAAGUGACACUCUUUCUUUUCUUUGUGAAUCCGGAAUCACUUGUGAACAUUGCUAUCCAAUGCGCAUCUUAAAUUCUCAACACUUGCGGCAGUUUCUGGGGUUUACCUAACGUGCUUGACUGUAUCACUUAAAACUUUGCAGUGAUUCUAAAACUUGUGCAAUUACAAUUAAUCAAUACAAGACAGCUAUCAACAUUGUCCAACAUGGUUUUAAAAGAUUUUCUAAAUAACAAGUACUUGACACAAUCAGGCAAGAAUCCACAAGAUGCUGAAUAAAGCCAAAACAAAACCGAAUUCGUAGCAAGGGGCUAACCUCAGAUGUAGGCCAACACUGAGUCUCCUGUUGUCUGUUUGCUGUUUCCCCAUUCGAUAUAUUCAGUGCAUGUGUAAGAGCUGCAUAUUAUAACUCAUAAUAAGAGCAUAUAUCACUAGAGAAAGAUGCAUGUGUUACCACCAGCAACUUCCACAAAUAAAACAAGCUCAAUGAGCUUAAGAUACAUAUCUAGAGCUUAGCAAAAUGAAAGUAUGGAUACCAGAUAUAGUAGCUAUGUCUAGACAAAGACAGUUGAAAGUCGAUAAAACUACUUUAGAACACGAAUUCACAUAUACAAAUACAUAAGUGGCACUCAAUUUACAGGUCUGCAUUUGACUGAAAUGUACAAAAAACUUACUGGCAAGCAUGGUUAUCACACCAUAUGGGACAUUGUUUAUAUAUCAAUAAUGGUCAACAACACAGACCAUCCUAUACACGUGUUUUUCCAUUGAAUUGCUUAAUUGAACCAUUUUCAUAUCACCUUGAAGAAACUACCACAAUCCCACAAAGGUACAUAGGCUUAUUUCUACAAUAUCUAAGAAGUGAUGAUGCAUUAAGAGGAUAUCCCUAAUAGAGUUUAGGUACAUACUUUGCAUAUGACAUAAAUCAACAAGAUCAAAUGUAAAGAUUCGGGACAAACGCUAGAGACUUACGGGAAAUUUCUGCAAUCCCGGUGCUAUUGUCAGCAUACUCUAGCUCCUCAUCACUAUCUUGCUUUAUUGGUUGUUGAAGUAACGAUACCUUUGAGUAUGAAGGGACAAUAAAUUGAUGUCCUAUCAUAACCUGGAGGAAAAGCAAUAUCAAGAACACCAUAAGAUAAGACAAAAGUCAGAAAAACCAGAAAUGAAAUGUACUUUGCCUCUUCCAAACUCAGAGGACAAAGCAAAUGAACAAUUAACAAUGACAAGUUAAAGGAAAAUCCAUUUAAGCACUAAAAGAUUUCAUAUUUCCCAGCGUGACAAAUUCUGACCAUGAAUCAUGAGUCGCAGGAAAGCUAAUAUACAUCCAGUCUACUUACAAAGCUGAACCUAAUCAUGCCAAGUAUGUGUCGUUAAACGCAAUUCUUUCGGGAGAUACCCCAUAAUCUGUAACAAAUGCUUUCUCUUGAUGACCUAUAGGAAUGCUCUAAGCCAUAGGUACUUGAUUACCAAGGAUGUAACCUCACAAUACUUCUAUUCAGAGGUGGCAGUGCACAUGUCUUAAGAGUUUACAAUAGAUACAAGACAGAUCCACAAAGUGUUACCAGCAAGGAUAUCUAAGUUACCAAUGAUCAAGUAUUAAAUUUUUCAUAUGAUCACAAGGUUAAGUCAUGUUGUAAUAACUUAAUCAUAUAAGUAACUACCUACAAAUUUAUAAUAUCAACAUCAUUAUACUUUACAUGACCAAAUGAGUUUAUAACAUUGCAAAUAGUACCUGAUUCUAGCAUAUAACUGUGGCAGUAACUUAAUUGGUAUUGUAUUUUAUUCUUUUCGAGCAUUAUAAUAUAGGAAAGGUAAACUAGCAUUCUGAAGUUUCAGAUAGGGCACUGAAAGGUUUUAGUGGCACAUACCUUGAAACACAAAACUACACCCGGUUCCAAAACUGCCCCAGACUUUAUUAUCACUCCAUCACAUACUAUAGCAUGCCUUAGCUUGCAGCCAUCUUCAAUGGUGACAUUAUCCCAUAUAUAAGAACCUUCUAUGGAAACAUUUGAUCCAAUAGAACACCCUUCUCCAAUAACAGAAUUUGAAAUUUUGGAGUUGUCCCCAAUCUCUGUGCCAUUCCCAAUGACUGUAAAAGGACCAAUCUGUGCAGAUCGUGAUUGCCCAAUUCCUGAAGAAUAGCUAGUUUAUCAUAUCACACAGAACGAGAUAGAAAACUUUAACUGACAAAUAAAGGAACAGAUUGCCACCCCUCUUCCUGUAAAUAUGCUGUGUAAAUACAGGUCCUCUGGUAAUUACCUGAGGCUCGAUACAUCCCCUGCCUUUCCAGCUUUGUUGAAGAAUCUCCGAAAAACUUAACAUCUGGAACCAAUGGGUAAGUCCAUCUCUGAAUUAUGUCCUUACUGAUUGUAUCAUAGCUUCUGAAGUUGUCUAUCCUAGCUGCAUAUGACGAGUGAAUUUCAUGUGUGAAUAUUUUGUAACCCAUAAUCUGCACGAAUAGAGUUACUUGUAAGAACUUUAAAUUUGAAAUAAGCAAAGAGAUGAACAUUCCAAUAGAAAAAUUAAAAAUAAAAUGAAAUACAAAAUCGCAGUUUUGUGGGGGAAGAAAAGAUUUGUAUCUUGUUAAUAUCAUCACAAACCACAGCACAAAAUAGAUAUCAGUAGUUGGCAUGCUCCUCACAGGUAAAACAUUGAUGAACUCAUCACUUCUGCAUAUAUAUAUAUAUAAUCUCGAGGUGUGGCAGUUGCAUACUUAAAGAAACAAUACACGCAUGCAUGCAUUCAAGACUUGCAAGUUUUUGAAUAACAGUGGUUAGGAAAAUAUUGAUGAAAACAAUCCCCUGCCUUUGUAAUACAGGCAUCAAAUAAAUCUCAAGACUGAGCAGCCAGUUCUUCAAUAAAAAAUAUGUUGGUGACUCAGUCAAAAAGUCUCAAAGACAUCACAUUUUUAUGGAUGUACUAUAAAAUGCUACCACAAAGAAAACAUAGAUUGCAAAUAUCAGAAAAAUAGCAAAACACUGAACAAGUAAAAAGUAAUAGAUGGUAGCAAAAAAGAGAUAGAAGACCCAUUGCUUAUUUUCAUGCCAGAAAAAUACAUUGGGUAACCAUUGUGCAUAUAUGUGUCUGUAUCCAUAUCAUGCCUCCCUAACAUAAACGAGAACACAAAACAGUGUAGCAGAAUGUUUUGGUUAAGAAGAGAGGUCUUAUGAGAGACAUACGUCAUCAACAAGCAAUCCCUUUAAAAAAUGACGGCGUAAAUGUUGAUAGUCAAAAUUGUCUGUGAAAAGGCUGAGGACUUCAGGAGAGCAGAUGUCAAUGAAGCAAUCCUGCAGAUAAGACAUGGGUAAGAUUCUUCCACAAGCAUUCUGUGUUAUAAAGGAAUAUCCAUAAGAAGCCCCACUAGAAGUCACCAAAAGUUGAGUUGUUGAAGAUCAGCACAAAAGGAACAAGGUGGAUAUUUUAUAUAAAGAUUAAUCAAUCAUCUGAAACAAACAAUAAAAGCUCCAAGGGAAUGGUUUGAGAUAUAACCUGUCUGUCAUUAUGCAGAGAAAUCGAAGAUUUAUCAGCAAGCAAUAACUUAUCAAGAUAUAUAGAUCCUUUUGCAUGGUCUGCCUUGUCCUCAUAAUAUAAGAGCUGCUUUGUGUUGGGAUCUAUUGCCAUAAACAGCUCAUCAGUGCCCAGUCGAGAUUGGUGAGUGAUUUGAGAAGGCUUUGACCGUUUAAUAACAAUUGUCAUUACAGCAUUACUAUCUUUCUUUCUUCUCUCUUUAUGCUCUUGAAGCACCUGAGUAAGCGACAUGUUGCUCACCGUAUCCCCACUGAUUAGGACAAAAUCUCCAUGUAUCUUGAAUGAAGGAGGAUAAGGGAAAAUGUUACUCAUAAAAGAAAUUGGGACAACAAAUAUCAGGAUCAGUUUAAACACACAUCUAAACAAAAGGAAUAAACAUGCAAUCAGAAAGAGUAAAACAAUAAUCCAAAGUAGCAUAGCGAGGAUGAGCAUUACCACAUUGCGCUCAUAUAUCAAGCGCAGAGCAUCGCCGGCACUGACAGAAUCAUGAGACUCAAUAGUGGUGACAGUGAAGUUAGGCUGAGAAAACCAAUCGGAGUUGUCCAAAUAAGAGAUGAUCUGCUUGGAGUGAGCACAGCAGAAGACAAAAACCUCCUCAACGCCGGCGGACUCGAGCCAUGCCAAGGUGUAACUGAUCAUCGGCGCAUUCACCAACGGCAACAGCACCUGAAUCGAAACCAAGAUUAUUACAAAUGCAGGGUCAUGAUAUGUCGACAGAGAGACGAGGAUAGGUGGAUGUUACUUUGGGGCGUUCGAGUGUGAUGGGUCGGAAUUUGGUGGUGAAGCUAUCGGCAAGGAGGAUGGCUUGGAGAGGGACGUGUGCCAAUUCCACAGGCUCUUCUGAAGCCCUAGAGGCGCCUUUCUUCUGUGCGCCCAUUCUCCAACUCUUCUUGCUUCACUCUUGUCUUGCUUUGAUAAACCCUAAUCCACUUCAAACUGCAACCUACUGGGCUUCAAGUUGUGACUGAUUCGGUUUUAUUUUGAUGGCGUUCAUUCUAGUCUUGAGAAUAUUUCAUAUAUAUUUUGGUAUAUAUAUGUGAUUUUCCAUUUAACUCUUUUAUUCAUCUUCUUAUUAAUUUAAACAAGAGAAAUUUUAAAUACACACUCCUAAUCUCUUAAUACACACAUCUAUUAUUUUAUGUUUCUAUUAAGAUUUUAUAGGUAAGUUAAAUGACCAAAACAAACAUCUCUUAUUAAAAAAAAAAAAACGCGCUAGAAGUAUUCUUUUUAACAUCUUCUACCCAAAUCGUUGAAAGUACGUCUUCUCUUAUAACCCAACUCUUCUCCACAAUUNNNNNNNNNNNNNNNNNNNNNNNNNNNNNNNNNNNNNNNNNNNNNNNNNNNNNNNNNNNNNNNNNNNNNNNNNNNNNNNNNNNNNNNNNNNNNNNNNNNNNNNNNNNNNNNNNNNNNNNNNNNNNNNNNNNNNNNNNNNNNNNNNNNNNNNNNNNNNNNNNNNNNNNNNNNNNNNNNNNNNNNNNNNNNNNNNNNNNNNNNNNNNNNNNNNNNNNNNNNNNNNNNNNNNNNNNNNNNNNNNNNNNNNNNNNNNNNNNNNNNNNNNNNNNNNNNNNNNNNNNNNNNNNNNNNNNNNNNNNNNNNNNNNNNNNNNNNNNNNNNNNNNNNNNNNNNNNNNNNNNNNNNNNNNNNNNNNNNNNNNNNNNNNNNNNNNNNNNNNNNNNNNNNNNNNNNNNNNNNNNNNNNNNNNNNNNNNNNNNNNNNNNNNNNNNNNNNNNNNNNNNNNNNNNNNNNNNNNNNNNNNNNNNNNNNNNNNNNNNNNNNNNNNNNNNNNNNNNNNNNNNNNNNNNNNNNNNNNNNNNNNNNNNNNNNNNNNNNNNNNNNNNNNNNNNNNNNNNNNNNNNNNNNNNNNNNNNNNNNNNNNNNNNNNNNNNNNNNNNNNNNNNNNUUGGGAUGUGUAUUAAGUAUAAUACUGAAAUGAAAAUUUGAUAUGUGGUGUAUUAAGUAGGGGUGUGUAUUAAGAUAUUAGAGGUGUGUAUUUAAAAUUUCCUUUUAAACAAAAAUUAUAAAUAGUCCUCGUGGUUUAGGAUCAUGGUUAUGUUUGCUCCUAUAGUUUAAAAAUAUUUGUAUUUUUAUUUUAUAAAUCGAUUAAUUUUGGUCCAGUUAAACACAAUUAUUAAGGUUUUCAUAUGUCUAUCAUGCUUGGUUAAUUCGUCUUUACCUUUAAACCCUAAGUUGAGCAAGUUAAGCACAAUGAAUCUUUUGCACUGAAAUGAGAUAUCGUAACCAAACUAUCUAGGCAUUAUUUGUGUCAAUAACCAAAUUGACUGAAAUUUUACAGAGAUGAUCUAUACAUUAGUAUCUAAAUACUAGACGGUGGAGAUGUGAAUAUUCGAUUAAAAAGUGAAUCUAAAGUGGAAAUCUACACCAUAAGAAUAAAUAAAGAUCUCCUUAGCCAAGAAAGCCUGUAUAUAUAUAUAUAUAUAUAUAUAUUACAAACCAACUACCAUCAAUAAAAGGAAAAAAAAAAAUCGGUGCGGUUCGGUUUAAAUCGAUCGAAUUAUAACCCCAAACCGCUUUUAUGCGGUUCGCUGCGGUGAGACCAUAAAACGUCAUAGUUUUAGUUCGGUGCAGUUACCAAAUUGUUUUUUUGGUGCGGUUCAAAUCAGUAACCACAUUUUUUGUGCAAAUUGUCCACCCUUAACGGGGACUAUUUAUAUCUUUUGCUCUUAAUUUAAUAUUGAAUGGUUUUAGUAUUUGAAAAAUGAAAUUACUUUAUUGAUUAAACGAACAUUCCAAUCAAAUGAAAUAAGCUCCUUAAGAAAGAUGUUUGGGGGCCUCUUGACUCUUUUUGGAGUGGCCUCGCACUUUGGAAACCUAGUUCGGGUUUUGUAAGCGACGACUCUUUUUUGACGGGGUUGCUUAAUCGUAUUUUCAAGGAAGGGGUGAGUAAGGCGGCGAUGCGGCUGGUGGCUUCCCUGUGAAGCUUGGUAGUCUGUGUUUGACUGACACAAUUGUGAGGGGAGAUCAUUGAAGACACAGCAUGGCGCAGUGGCUCUUGGGUGGUGACGGCACGGUGAGUUUCGCGGUAGUCCUUUUGUAUCGUGUUUGGUGCAAUGGAGGUUACUAAAGGACUAUGUUUGGGUCCGGCUUGAUUGUGUGGGGGUUGAGUUGCCUAGGUUGUGUGGCGACGGUGUAGCGCAUCUGGUCGUUUUAGAUCAGGGUGGUGUUGAAGCUACGGAGGAGACUGGAGUGGAAAUGGUUGUUGCCUAUUCGUCAGUUGUCAAUGAUAUCUGCCGAGAAUCACACAAUAUGUUUUCCAAUAAAAACCGUUGUGUGAUUGUCAAGUCACACAAUGGUUUCCUUUCAAGAGUUGUUGUGUGAAUAUCGACAGAUUUCAUCGACAUACGUCGAGAUCAUUCCGCAUUGCAGUGGGCAACAUUUGUCGACACACACAAUAGUUUUCUUGCUGUAAACUAUUGUGUGAAGUUAUCUUCAUAUAACGAGUUUUUAAGUUUCAUGGUUGUCUGAUUGUUAAAUAGUACACAGAGUUUUUAUUAGUAGGCAUUGUGUGAUCAAUACUCACACAACGUGGCAAUGCAAGAGAUUAGUUGUAGGAUCAUAUAGUCAGACAACGUUGGAUUGUCAUUAACCUGUUGUAUGCUGAAUUCCACUAAUUUACCAAAUGAAAAGCAUAUACUACAUUCAAACAAAAAUAUGCUAAGACACAUCCAAACCAUUGUAUUAACCUUAAUAGGGAUAAUCAAAAGUUGAUACAUCCAUAUAUUGGAUCCUCCCAAGAUCAUGAAAGCUAAUAAGCCGAAGUGGCNNNNNNNNNNNNNNNNNNNNNNNNNNNNNNNNNNNNNNNNNNNNNNNNNNNNNNNNNNNNNNNNNAAGUAUAGCAGUGUAACAAAAUUCACAAAUUUUCGGAAACGUUUGGGUAUCGAUCAACUCGGUCAACCAUAAAUCCAACAAUUUUAAUUUUACGUCACACAUUAGUAUUAAAAAAGAACCGUUGUGGCACUACAAUAGGAAAUUUAUUAGGGUUUUUUAGGGUUUAGGGUAUUUUAGGGGUUAGAGGUUACGAAAUAUACAACGUAAUAUUGAAACAAUUGUGUGAUAUACCUUCACACAACAUUUCUUAGUUGAUUGUUGUGGGAUGAAGAACUUAAAGUAGUAUCGCCAAAUGUAAGAGAAGGGUUUCACCAUGACACGAAAAUACAUUAUACAACCAAAACUAAAAAGUCGUUGUGUGAUUGUUGAAAAUACUAUACUCUCACACAACAGGUUUGAGUGUUCCGUUGUUACAUCAAAACCACCAAGGCUAUCCUUCAUAAAAAAUUUAGGUUUUCAGAGGAUGUAAGAGCAAUUUUAAAAGAAUUAAAUUCAGUUUACCCCCUUGUGGUUUGGAGGUGACUUCAUGUUAGUCCCUACACUUUUAUUUUCAUCAGUUUACCCCUUGAACUCUUCAAUUUCUGUCUACCGUGCCCAAAUUCUCAUAUUCCGUUUGAAUUGACCUUUAAUUAUCAGCAGUUAAGGUCCGAUUUGGACAUAUAAGGUCCGAUUUGCCCAAAUUCUAGAUAUUGGCCUCACAGUUAAUGUUAAAAUUAUCAGCAGUUAACGUCCGAUUUGGACAAAAUAUAGAACAUUUGGUCACGCUUGAGGAAAAUUCAAAAGUUUGAGGGGUAAACUGAUGAAAUUGAAAGUAUAGGGAUUAACAUGAAGUUACUCCCAAACUUCAUAGGGGUAAACUGAAUUUAAUUCAUUUUAAAACUAGAAGUCUGCAACCUGACAUGAGAGAUACAUCAUACAACAGAUGUAUAUAAAGUAUUGUGUGAUAGUUUAAAUUGUAUAUAUUCACACAACAUUUAUUUGUUUCACUGUUGUGUAAGAACACCCAGUUAUAUGUCAAACUAGAGUGGGGUUAGAAGUAAAAUGGGCCUCAUUUUUAUCUUCAUUCAGACAACAAAAUAUUGUCCAAAGUGUUGUACGAGUUUAAGGAAAAAAAAACUGGAAUGAUCUCAGACUAUCCACACAACGGCUGAAAGUUUCUGAACGUUGUAUGAAGCAUUUUUAAAAUUUGUACAACUCUGCUAUUGUGCACCGUUGUGUGAAAAGUGUCGUUUGUUGCACUUAUUGGCGUAGUGAGUAUUAGUGCUAUAUGUGUGGUUCUCCUGUCACUAAAGAUCUUGGUGUCUACUUGGGAAUGCUAUCACUAAAAAUCCAAUGAACAAUGCCUCUUAUACACUCAAGGGUAAAUGCAGCUAUUUAUGCCGGUUUGGUGGAUAAGGUCAAGCAAGGUUAGCCAAUUGGAAAAGUAAAACUCUUCACAUGGCAGGUAGACUUACUGUAAUCCAGUUAGUGACAUCUUCCAUCCCUAUAUAUGCCAUGCAAACUGCAAAGCAUCCUGUGCAUACUUGUGAUAGUCUAGAUAGACUCAACAAGAAUUUUUUAUGGGGUGAUACUGAUCAAAAGCGAAAGAUUCAUCUUACAAAUUGGGAUAUGGUGUGUGGACCUAAGUGUUUUGGUGGUUUGGGAAUCAAGAAAUCUGUUGAUAUGAAUAUGGCAAUGCUUGCUAGUUCAGAAUGAUGUGUCAGAAGAAAUACCUGCACGCUAGUUCUAUUUUUCAAGAAAAUUAUAAGAAGCCUUCAAACUGCUCCCACACUUGGUCCGGUAUUGUGUUUGCUGCUAAACUUGUUAAUAGAGGACUUCAAUGGAGAAAUGGGAAUGGUCGUGCUGCUAAAUUCUGGGUUGACAAAUGGUCACAAUGUGGUAUUUUAGCUGAUUUAGCAUUGGAUUGUGCCAGUAUUGAUUUGAAUGCUAUUGUGAAGGAUUUCUGGGUUGACAAAAUGUGGAAUAGUUCCUUACUCCUAAAUUCUUUACCUUUUGAAGUUGUAGACAUCAUUACUGCUAUUCCAAUUUUUACUUGUGAUUUGCAGGACAAUAUCAUUUGGGGAGGAACCCCUUCUGGAAAUUUUACAAUUAAGUUUGCUUAUAAGCUUCUCUAUGAUGGUCAUGGCUUUGAAAUUAUCCCUGGCUGAAGAACUGGUCUAUGAAUAUCCCUCCCAAGCAUAAGAUUUUUCUUUGGACUUUUGUCUCUAGUAAGAUUCUAACUAAUGUGUAGAGAUUCAAUAGAUGACUUUCUGGGAGUUCUUCUUGUCAUCAUUAUCAAGAUACUCCUGAGACUAUGAUCCACCUGUUUCGUGACUGUCCUAUGGCUAUGUUCCUACCAACAUGUGGAAUGCCUAUACUCUGAAUUGGGAUGGUUGGCUUUUUGCUAAUCUAAUGCAAGAUGGCUGCCAUAUUAAUAAUCUGAAUUAGAAUAUCUUCUUUAUUUUCUGCUGCUGGUUUCUAUGGAAGUGGAGAUGCAAGAAUAUUUUUGAGGAAAGAUUCCAUUACCCUUACAAUGCUGCUGAUAUUAUUCUUAACUAUGCUUCUGCUAAGUCCAAAGUGCAAAUGAUAGGGCAUGUGGAGGCUUUAUCAUGGUUUAAACCUGCUGUUGGAUUUCACAAAUUAAAUGUGGAUGGUUCAAGGACCAAGUCUGGUGAGAUAGGUGCUGGAGGAGUUAUAAAGGAUAGCCGUGGCUGUUGGAGUGGUGGUUUCAUGAUUAAUAUUGGUACUGGAGAAGUUUUACAAGCUGAGGCCUGGGGUCUUUUUAAGGGCAUUCAAAUGGAUUUGAACAUAAAGAUUUCUAAGUCAGAGGUAGAAUCAGAUUCUGCCGUUCUUGUUAACCUUUUGCAGAAUUCUAAUAUGGAGCUUCACCCCUCGGGUAUAAUUGUGGCAAACUGCAGAUCAAUGUUGUAGCACUUUGAAUCAGUCCAGGUUAAGCAUAUUCAUCAAGAAAGAAAUAUGGGUUUAGGGUAAAAUCAAGCAGUCUUACCAUAAGAGAGAUACAUUUGCUUGACAAAAUAAAUACGGGGAAAUCAAGAUUUGGGAAAUAGGUAAGCAAAGGAAAUGAGGAGAAGUAAGUAAUAACGUACAAUCUCUUCUAACUGGAAAGUGGGAAGUAAAAUGAAAAUGUCAUGACCCACCCCGGAUUUCACCCUGAAACCUGAAGUAAAUCCUGCGGGGACCACCUCCAAGGAAAAUUUACCUAAAAAUUGGCAAAACCUCCUUUGAAAAUGGACAACCCUUCCUAAAAAAAAACACAUGCAAACACUUCUAACAAUUCCAACUCCAACCUUAUAAACUCCUGGAGCCUUGGUGCUCCCCACAAAUCACAACAUCUCCCAAUUUAUAUUUAAUAAUCUAACAAAAAUCUCAUAAACAACAAUCACAGGUUCAGAGCAACUCUAUUAGAGGAGAUAAGAACUAGAAAUAGAAAUAUGAGCGGAAGCUAUACUAUUGAUUAUGCCUCGUCUCUAUGUAUGUCUGACCUCAACUAUGCUAACCUGCAUACUGGACAUUUAAAACCAAAGGGCCCAGGGGAAAGUAAUUUAAAAAUGUUAGAGUGAGUGGACAAAAAAUGAAUUUAAUGAAAAUAUUUAUGCUUUCCCAAUUUAAAUUUCCAUAGAAAUUAUGCUGCAUACGACAGCUCAAAGCUUUCUACUCACAAACUGGCAAAUACAUGACUAGCUCCGGCCAAUCUCCAAAACUUAAUAAAAUACAACCUCUCAGGCUAAACUAUAUAUAUAUAUGUAUGUAUUUACACUCGUCAUACUCCUUGUAUGAUUUUUUUAUGAAGAAUAAGAAAAAUAGAAAUUCAUACAAGGCUACUACGCUUGCGUCUAACGCUCACGUCACACCAUAAUGGAAUUUUACCUCAUUACGGUGGAAAAACAUGAGUGUAUAUAUACGUGCAUAUUCCCUAUAUAAGUUACUAAAUUUAUAUAGGGCUACGACGAUUGCGUCCAACGCUCACGUCACACCAUAAUGUAAUUUUAUCUCAUUAUGGUGGAAAAGCACAUAUAGCUAGCUAGCAUUUAUUUAUAUACAUACUAUCCUCAUAAUCAUCCAUAUAUGGAUAUAUAUUCACCAAAAUUCUCAAUUUCGGUCAUUCUCCAACAAAAGAAAAUACUCAUCAAUAAAUCAUUUGCAUGCACAUUAUUUAAAAUAAAAGUCCACUCACAAAUUAGGCCUAAGCUUGAUGUCGCUCCGAGGCUUUUUCUGUUCAGGCCUCCUCUCGUCCUGUUCCAAAUAUAAUAUUAAUUUCCCAACCAAAAAUCCAAAACUUACACAAAAUAUGCAUAAUUAAAUGUGAGGCUUAAUCACACUCAUCCUUGCCCAACUUCGCCUUAAGACUCAAAAGGGUCCAAACUUCACCGAACAUACUGGCAGCUUUAAUUUAACUUUUUACCGAUUAUACGACUUUAAUACAACGGCCGGAUUCUACCUUAAAUAACCGCCAAAAUUACUAAGCUUUAAAAAUUCUCAAACAUAUCCAAAACUCCUCCAAAAAUUCUAAAAUUCACAUCAAUAACUCCCAUUAUUAUAACCAAUCAAAAACCAUGAAAAUCCCCUAACCAGCGGCAGCGGCGGCCGGAGGCCGACUCAGCGACCUCCAAAACCUACCAAAUUUUAACAGCAGCUUCCUUUCAACUCCCUCUACAACUUUCUUAACUAGUACAACACCUAAUUCCAAGCCUAACCGUGUCAAUCGAACGAAAACAUCCUAGAAAACCCUAGAGCUUCAACACCAAUAUCUCCUUACCUAGCUCAAGAGAGGGUGAGACCUUUGGAGGGGUUGCAGCACGGGAGGAGGGCUUUCUUCCAAGCCAAGUAGCUCCGGCUAUGGCAGCCGGAGGAGAGAGUUCCGGCGAGAAGACCACCAGGCUUCCAAGGAGGACUUCCUCCGUUUGGCGGCGUUGCAGCGUCGCUCACCAGUCCAAGACGACGGCGGAGCGGACAGCGGACUAUGCUGGACCGGUGCGGCGUCUCCUCUUGGCCGGACGGCGGCGAUGGAGCUCGGGGAGUCUCCGGCAGUGUGAUGAAGAAUGAAGUUAUGUAGGUCUUGUAGUUCACUAAAAUGAAUCUUAUUGUAUUUUACUCAAAAAAAAGAAAUAAAAAAAAGCAAUUGAUCGAAGUUAUGUAGGUCUUGUAGUUCACUAAAAUGAAUCUUGUUGUAUUGCGAAGCACUGGCGGAUCUAGCCCUAGGUAAGAUUUGACAUCCUAAAAAAAUAGCAACGUAUGUUAGAUGAGGUAGCCUACCCAUAUUUUAGUUGUUACAUAGACUACCAGUAGCAUCUUCUAUCUCAAAAUCUCUCAAUUAUCAAUAGCUCUCAUCUCCCACCUCCCCAAUUCCCACUUUCCCAAACCCAACCCUAAUCCCAAAUCCUUUCCCACCACCCAAUUUUGAAGGAUACGAAAAAGAAAACUCUCAUCUCACUGUCUGAUUUCGUCUCCUUUAUAAACACUUGAAUAAUUGACUCACAAUCGAAAAAUUAAAUAUUUUACUCAAAAAAAAUAAAGAAAAAAAAGCAAUUGAUCGAAGUUAUGUAGGUCUAGUAGUUCACUAAGAUGAAUCUUGUUGUAUUGUGAAGCACUGGCGGAUCUAGCCCUAGGUGAGAUUUGACAUCCUAAAAAAAGAGCAACGUAUGUUAGAUGAGGUAGCCUACCCAUAUUUUAGUUGUUACAGAGACUACCAAUAGCAUCUUCUAUCUCAAAAUCUCUCAAUUAUCAAUAGCUCCCGUCUCCCACCUCCCCAGUUCCCACUUUCCUAGACCCAACCCUUAUCCCAAAUCGUUUCCACCACCCAAUUUUGGAGGAUACGAAAAAAGAAAGCUCUCAUCUCACUGUCUGAUUUCGUCUCCUUUAUAAACACUUGAAUAAUUGACUCGCAAUCGAAAAAAUUAAAUAUUUUACUCAAAAAUAAGAAGAAAAAAAAAACAAUUGAUCGAAGUUAUGUGGGUCUAGUAGUUCACUAAGAUGAAUCUCGUUGUAUUGUGAAGCACUGGCGGAUCUAGCCCUAGGUGAGAUUUGACAUCCUAAAAAAAGAGCAACGUAUGUUAGAUGAGGUAACCUACCCAUAUUUUAGUUGUUACAUAGACUACCAGUAGCAUCUUCUAUCUCAAAAUCUCCCAAUUAUCAAUAGUUCUCGUCUCCCACCUCCCCAGUUCCCACUUUCCUAGACCCAACCCUAAUCCCAAAUCGUUUCCCACCACCCAAUUUUGGAGGAUACGAAAAAAGAAAACUCUCAUCUCACUGAAUGAUUUCGUCUCCUUUAUAAACACUUGAAUAAUUGACUCACAAUCGAAAAAAUUAAAUAUUUUACUCAAAAAAAAGAAAAAGAAAAAAAACAAUUGAUCGAAGUUAUGUAGGUCUAGUAGUUAACUAAGAUGAAUCUUUAAAUUAAUUCGUUGAUUAGGAAUUGAAGGCUUUAGGCCUCAUUAGUUAGUUUUUAUUUUUAUUUAUAUGUUUCUUGCAUUUUAUUGUAUCUUAAAUCAAAAUAUUUGAGCGUAAUACUUGCUACAUAUCUAUGUGCGUAUACUUUUUUAUUAACAAAACUUUGUCGCACAGUCGAGAUUUUUGAAAUUUUUGUGUGACUUACAUUUAGCCCCGAGUAACAUUUCUAUCUUGGAUCCGCCACUGUUGUGAAGUCAAAUCGGGUGUUACUAAAUAAAGCUAAGGUCGGCAACGGCUCUUUCUCUCUUUUUGUUCUUUUUUCUUUUAUAAUAAAUAAAUUUCAAAUUGUUAUUAAACAUGCAGCAUCGCAGCUCUAUAUCUUGUGUUGGCAAUGACAUCUUGUGCAAUCCCUACUUCUUGACCAAAAGAAGAAAAAAUUUCAAAAAAAAUAAAAAUUAAAGUACAAUCACUCUGAUGCUCUAAGCCUCUAACUACGGUUUAAGUUUAUCUUAAAACGUAUUUCGGGAAUUAAAAAUCUGUGUUCUUCACAGAAUUGCAGCAUUACAUACAUUGGGAAUCGGAACAUAUUGUUCCAAACACCAGUUGAUGAUCCAGUUUUCGCUUAGUUAUAACUAAUCACAAAAUUUAACGGUUGGUUUUAAUCAUUUCAAUAUAAAAGGAAAACUGAUAAUAGAUCCAAAGGUUGGCGAUUACAAAUGACAACCCGAACACCAUAGAGACUCGUAUAUUGAAUUCAUAAAUAAAAUAAAAUUUAUUGUUGAAUAGUAAAAACAAAACAUCCAGUUCAACAAAGAUUAAUUAGGGAAGCCUAACAAAGUAACAAUCCACAUUAUCCUGAACAUGGAAAUAGACAUACAUAACGCAACAAGUCUGGACAAGCCCGCACCAACAACACAGCAAAUGAAGAAAAGUCUUGUCUUUCUUUCAUCUGUACCUCAGGCCAUACAUGAGCAUGUCAAGUGCUAUGACAGGAAAUAAACAAAAUUUUCCUAUUCUACCCAAUUUACCGACUAUAUUAACACAACCUUGUAUACACUGCAUGAAUCAAAUAGACCUUAUGCUCUGCAGAUUCUCUGAUCCGACUCUUAUGUGAUAUAAUGUUACAAGCAAUCAGAUUUGAUUGAAUGAAUAGCAAGCUUUUUUGCUUCCUUUGGUACAAGAAUAAUACUGCUAUUUGUUAUGGAAAGCAAGUUAGUGCCUCGGCCUCCCCAUGUAACAAAUUGCUGCAUUAAAUAAGCAGGUUUAUGACCCUGACUGCUAAGAUGGCUGAAUUUGCCGAAACCUCUGCUGCAGCUUAAUGACUUCUUCUCGCUGUUCCGGUGGCAACAAGCUUAAUUUUUCAGGUGGCAGGCUCAAAACUUGUUGCAGUAAAGCAGAGUCCACCUCAGGUGGAAUCUGAGGCUGAGAUACAGAGAAGGCAGUGUUAGAGUAUAACCAUAAAAAAUAUAUUGCAAUCUUCUGGUCCAAUGUGAGAGAGUUUAACUAGUGUCUACAGGGACAAAGACCUUUCCAAGCAAAAAUGUUCAAAAAGAAAAAAUAAAGCAACGAACACACGUGUACUCGUUUGCAAGAAUGAACAUGCACCUGCUUGCAUAUGGUCAGAUGCAGCAAAGUGCAACGUCAUAAAAAGUGCAAAAUGGUAAGUUAUCAGUACCAUCACAACCCAACAACUAGCACUCCUAAGUACCUGAUAAUUAUAGGCUAUUGCAUUACAGUGUAUACAUUUGUUACUGGGUAAGGACAAGCAACAUGCCAAUCCCCUAUUCCCUAAACUCAUUUAUACAUCCACCUACUUUAAAUCUUACUUGCCUUUUGCCUUUUGAAUAAUUUCCAAGCUAACAUAAACCCAUCACAUCAUAAAACUGAGCCUAUACGCAGUCCAUUCUGCUCCGGUCGACAAGAGUUCAAAUAAUGCCUUCACUGGGUUUAUUUAUCACUAUAUCACUUCUAAGAAAAACACAGUACAAAAAGUAUCUCUUGGGUACAGAAAAUGUGGCAAAAUUUGAAAACUCAAACAGGUUGUGCCUAUAUUUACUACCCCGUGUCCUCCACCUCGCCCAACAUCAUGAAUUUAGCUAUUAAAAAUUGAGGAAUUCUAUGUCUUACACAUAUUUUGAUCAAUCCAAGGCCACCCCGCCCUAUACCCAAUUGGUUUCAAAGAUACUUUGCCCAGAAGAACACAGUUCAUUCACAUGUUAGGCACAAUUUAACUGCACAUGUUUCAUGUCACUCAAUAAAAUUAACCCAUGUGUAUGGCAUUAUGAAGCCCCAAAUUGAUGGCACGUGUUACAGCUUCAAAUCUCCCAUCUGCUAUAGUAAACUUCACAUCUCAACCCACUGAUAAUUAACUAUUGGGUUGGAUAUUUCAACUUUCAGAAUUGUGCUACCAUUAAUACAACUAUAAACAACACCUAAAAAUCCCUGCAUCAGUGGACAGCAAAACAACUUUCUUUGACAAUAAUAUCCAGUUCAAAGAAUAACCUAUCCAAGGGAUGAAAAUAAACUGGGAUUCAAACAUAUGAAUUUCAAAUAUUGCUGCCAACAAGGGCAGGGGAAUUACCUCAGAAAUUUGUUUCUCAGAGUAUACAUCUGAUGAUUUGUGAACACUCUUUCCAGGCAACAAUCCCACUCCAAGAACAUUAGCAUUUGAAACAUUGAGACCCCCUGCCGACAAAAGGGUGUUCCUUCCAUCGUCCAACUUCAUUAGUUUUGAAGGGCGAGUGACUGAUUCUGAAGAAUCAGCAACCACUCGAGAAGACUUAUCAGCAUCCUUGUUCAUGGACUGUAUGACACCCUUAGAUAUUGAGGGACCAGGCUGUAGAAAACAUUUCAAGUUAGAUAAAACAUUCAUAUUAAAAAUACAAGUAGCAAGAUAACUAAAAACAUCUAAAGUCUGCGGAGUCGAGGGUAGUUUCUUUCAUACCCUAAUGUUGUACAGUUCAUUAAAAGGAACAAGUUAACACCUAAUCAAUAUAAAGUAAGGGACUUUACAAGCUGUAAGUAAGCAUAUACAAGACAACUAGCAAUGUAAAUUAUGUAAAUUCUCAUUCCUCUGUUUUAACCAAAGUAAACCGUGCAAGAUGAGUAAGAGGCACUUUGCUCUAGAGUCGAGAAAACUUAAAUUUAAAAUAUAUAAAAAAAAACAAACAAGCAAACAGAGGAUAUACGUUUGCCCUUCUAGGAUAUAAAACAACCUCCUUGAGAGAUAUUAAUAUUUGCUUAUGCUUAUUCAAAAAUAAAUAAAUAUUUGCCUAUACAUGGGAAAAACACAAGGAAAAUUAGGCACCUGAAAGAUGGCAUCGGAAAAAGGACGAGAUAAAGUAGACUCUUGUACAGUAGCAUUUUGAUGAAUUAUACGAGUGUUAUGUCCCAAAUGUGAAACCCCGACCUGACCAGGGUGUUGUGACAAAGGAGGUUGCAUUUUCUGGUUUAAUACGGAAGAACUGGCAACCUGAGUUUGUGGUCGGAUGGACAAACCGCUUGAGGACUGUGGGUGCAUGGGAGGAAGUGUUGGAAUUCCAGCUUGCCCUAGCAGUGUGGCGUGUUGCAAAACAUUGUGGUUUGCAUGUUGUGGAAGCUGCAUUCGAGGCUGCACGUUUUGUUGUCGGGGUGCAGGAAACUGGCUAUGAACCAAUAAAUUUUGAGGCCCAGAAGAAAAGGGGCUGUCCUGCAUUUUGGGCAUCAGCCCAGACUGCAACCUGUUCUCAGCAGGAGGGGCUAGAUCAGCAAUAUUUUGAACAGCAUGUGACGGAACCUGUUGGCCCUGAUUGAAUAGAGACUGUGAGGGCUGGCCUGAAGCUUGCCUGAUAUUUACCAUCUGCAACUGAAAAAGGGAAGCCAAUAGGUUAAACAAAUGUAAGCACUGAACAACAAUGAUAAUACAAUAAGUAGAGAAACAAACCAUUUGUGGGGUCACCAUUCCAAGCAUUAUUUGUGCCUGAAAGAGAAGUUGAGAUUAUUAUUUCAAAGAUAAAUAGUUAAAAUAUAUAUGCAGAACAAAGGCACAACUGAUACAGAUUAUGGAUCUUAACCCUAGAUGUGCCAGAUAAGUAGGACUCUAUAACAUUAAGAGGUACAAUAUCAUGGUAACAAGCAACCUCUACUUCUAAAUGAAUCUCAAUACUGGAGAUGUAGCUUCUUUGAUAUGGAAUUCCAUACAGAAGGAUUUUGAUGAUUUAGGAUUGAAAUGUAAAAAGCAUUGACAUCAUAAAUAACAUUUUUUUUUUUAACACAACUUCGAUAUUUUUAUGUCCCUCCCCUGUCAUCCCUCUAGGCAACAAUACUAAGGGACUAGUCAUCCCAGCUACGUCCAAGGCCACAACAAGACUUCUAACUAUAAUUUUGGUAGUCUAAGGGGCACUCAUCUGAAUGAGAUACAAUAAAUCAGUUCGAUUUUUUUUUUUUUUUUACUAAAAAGGGGCUCAAACAACCACAUUACUUCUAAAGCAGUAAAAUAAUAGAAAAAGAUCUUCGUACUUGCUCUUUCAAUGUGUCUUACUUGGUAAACACAAUCCUACUUUGACAAUAACUUUGCACGUUCUACAACUUCGUAUGCACACAACUUCAUCUUGUUCAAGAAUAAAGAAGGCAAAAAGGGUAUGUACGGAUAGGCAGACAAAAGAUAGGAACAUAACUGUGUUCCAAGCGCAUUCAAAGGACCUAGUACAAAAUGGAAUAUAGGAAUACUAAUCUCUAAAUCCUCUCCUAGAGAAGGUUUCAGUGUGGGACAUGCGAAAAUUCCUUCUCAAAUAAAAUUACUAAUUAAGAGAAGAGUAUGCAUGAAAACAACCACAAUCUGAUGGACAAGUGGGCAGUAUCAGAAAACAAAUAUAAAUAGAUACUACCUGAAACAGAGCUUUUGGCAACUGAGGCCUUGCAAGAAAUAGCUUCUGAGCUAGUUCCUUGUUUUGUACAGCCAUUCCCUAAUAUUGAGAAGGAAAAAAAUGAAAUUCAUAAAAAAAAAAUAUCAAAAUGAAAAGUUUUACAGAAUAAAGAGAUAAGGUUCACGUAUUUUCUCACCUUGACCUCCGAGAUAAUUUGAGUCAAUUGACUCCUAGACAUUUUGGCUAGAUGAAGUGUCAAAGGAUCAUUGGCUAAUGCAGAUUGAUUAUGCAAACCAUUUUGAUUUGACUGCAAAACAGCCUGAGGACCACCUAGAGCUCCUGCCAUAACGGCUGCUGCAGUUAUUGCUAUAUGGAGACCAAUUGGCUGAUUAUGAAGAGGAUCACCAUGAACCGCUGGGCCUCCAACUUGCUUUUGAGGGUCUAUGAUAUAUCCAUAAGGAAAGAUAUAAUUCAGGUUCUCUUCAGAGUCAAAUAAUAGUCAUAAACAGAUGGAAAAAAAAAAAGUGAGAAAGUAAACUAACCAACAUUUGUGGUCACUCCAGGUCCACCGCGACCCUGCAAGAGUAGAAAUAACUCAAUUAAGUACUUCAACCUCACAACAAAACUCUAUACAAAGCUAUCAGACAUGCAGUUCUGGUUUAAAUGCAACAAUUCAAGAUUACUUCAACCAAGAAGAUCUUACAAAAUUGGAGUUAUCUAGGUACAGGUCAUUCAUGCCAUUCAAUUGAGGAACAAGAAACUGCAAGAGGAAAUUUCUAUCGGAUGGAGGAAGUAGGUAGCUAGGACAACAAAAGAUGCAACAUUUUAGAAGGUACUGAGGAUAACAACAAUUUUCUAACAAUUUAGCAAAUAAGUAUGACCAACAAAUGCAAACAGAAAAUAUAUCAGUGUGGUCCAGCACUCAUAUGCUUUUAGUUUAAAGUCAGUGUCCAAGCAAAAAGAAACACUAGACAACUUAUUGUAAUUUCAUACCAACCAAGAAGCACAAUAUUCUUGGGUUUGGUCCAGACACUUGCAAUUAAGGACACUGUACACUAACAGUUAAGUGCAAUAAAAAUUCACAGAAGCAAGGAGAACAGAAAGAAGAGAGCUAAAAGUAUCUAAUCACCUGUUCCCGAUUUUUGUCAGUGCCUUUGUCAUUUUCAGCAAAAUCAACUCGCAAUUGCCGACCAUUGAUCUCGUAACCCUGAAGAUUACGUCUAGCACUUAAAGCUGUCUCUUCAUCCUUGUACUCACAAAAUCCAUAACCUUUUGGUUUCCCAGUCUCUCUAUCAAUAACCAACCUGAAACAAAUCAAAGGCACUUAUUAAACCUGAGUCUAGGUAGCGCCUUUUCCCAACAAAAGACUGUUUCCACUCUUGUUGAUUCCCUAACUGACAUAGUCUCACCAAGUAUCACUCCGAAUGAAACUUGCUAACAAGGAUCGCAAAACAUACAAGUGUAUCUUAGCUUCCAGGUUUACUUUCAAACUUGUUAACUAUCAGAUUUAAGUAUCACAGUGAUGUACUAAAUGCAUCUCGACCCGUGGAACCUAAGGAAUACCAUCAAAUUAGGCAUGUUUUUGUAAGAGAUCAUCUUUCAAACAGAAAAUUCUUACAAUAAUAAGUGUUGGGUAAGCGAAUUAUAAAUCUAAGACAAUAUUACAAAAUUGAAAUUUUAGGGUUCACAAGAUAGAAAAGGGCAAGAGACAGACCUAAAAGAGACAACAGGCCCAACCUCCUGGCAGAUUUCUAUAAGCUGUUCCUCAGUGGCAUCAUACGGUAUAUUCCCAACUGCAUCCAACAAAUUCAAUCAGUAAAUUUCGAAUCGAGUUGAGAAGAAGCAUGAUUAGACAAGAAAAGAGAAGAAAUAAAGGGAGUACCGAAAACGCAGCGGUGCUGAGAAGAGGAGGCCAUGAAUCAAGAGGAAGAGAAGAAGAAGGUGAAGCACUGCUUCAUCUUCUUCCUCCUUACCAUAUCCUAAGAUAGAGAGAGAAUCUGUGUUGUUGCGGUUGAUGCUAAUACUAGGGGAAAUAUGAUUAUUGUGAGUUUGAGGAGUGCGAAACUCAAGUGGAAGGGAGGGAGAGCCUAUCAGGCAGUCGCGGAACUAAAGCUCAGGACACUCUCGAUCUCGUGUACUAAGGUAAACUGCAACCCUUUCCAAUGUCCUUUUCCUUUUCUUUGCAAGUUUUUGUCUUUAUGGUCUGUGCUUCGUUGUUUUUUUUUUUUUUUUUUUACUUUUACUUUUUGUAAGAGGUAAAUACAUUCUGCGGUACAAAGUAGUUAUCCAAUUGAUAGGUGGCAAGUUCUUUGUUUCGUCAAAUGGUCGUGACCGCUUAAUAGUAUGGUGUCUUCAGAUUCAUCUUCGAGCAGUAACAUAGUUGAAAAGCUGAAUUGUUGAACGUUAGGAUAUGUAAGCUUGUUAAAUAUCUAAUAAACUUUUCAAUAUUUAGAGCACAAUUACUGUUGUGUGAAAGCAAAUAGAGUCGUCGUUAGGGCAUAAUUACUCAAAUUUUUGCAAAGUAGAGCAAAACUGAAAACCUAGGGUUUCGAGUUAUAGGACGGUUGCAACAUUCAGAAUACUGCGUGCUUGGGUCAAUCUCUUUUGUGGGAGGCGUGCGAAUGUGAUAAUUAAAUCAUCAUUGUAAGAACCUCCGCGGUUAGUUGUGCAGUUGUGUCAAUCGGGUUUUUUUUUACUAAUCUGAAGUUGGCGUCGUUAUCUCGUUGUGCGACACGGCGACAAUCUGCCAUAGAAGCGUAGGUGGCCUACGAGUUGGGUCAAAACAUUUGAAUCAGAUUGGGUGAGUUUCUAGUUUGUAGAUCUUGGUUGAAGCUUGAUGCCUGUGCUGACUGCCAUGGGCACAUGGUAUGGAAUACCGUCAGACGGAUUCGAAAACAUAUAUGGGCUAAAGUGGUGUUGGAUUCCUUAACAAACAUACAUGGGCUGGUCUCAGACCUAGUUGGAGGCAAACUUGUCUUGUUCAUUGCGAUACGGGUCUCUAGGCGACUAGAUGGGUAACAGAGGUCUAAUGGAAGUCUUGCUAGGGUUAGGCAUCUUUCAUUUUUUAGUUGUGAGAUCCGCUUUUUUUGACCCUGUUAUUGGUAAGGUUUUUCCAAAAUAUUCUUAAGAUUAAAUUCAUUUUACACCUUGAGGUUUAGAGUUAACUUCAUUUCAGCCUUUAUUCUCUCAUUUUGAAACCCUCUAAAUUUUCUAAUUUUAAUCAGCCGUGCCCAUUUGCAACUUUUAGGAAGGUUUUCUACUUUUCAUUUGCUAAUUUUUUUUUCUUUGUUGAUUUUGGAUUUUUUUUUUUUUGAAAGGGAGGUCUUUUUUGAACUGUCGAGGGGGCCGAAUGGGGAGCUUAGCUCGGUCAUUGAACUUUGUUUAAGAGCAACUCUAACAGCUUCUCCAAAUCUUGAAUUUGUUUUGCUCCAACAAAUUCCGUAUAAUUUUCUUUAAAAUGGGGAACUUAAGGAAAAAUAAACAAAAUUCCCUAUAUUUGCAGCAAACGCUAUAAUUUUAGAGAAGAAUUUUGGAAAUGAUCAUGAAAUGUUUAAAAUGCAAAAAAUAUAAAAAAUUGAGAUGAUCAUAAAAUAUCCGUGAGCCGUGAUCUGAUUCGUUAAGUAGCUUAACUGACGUACUUAACUGACGACAGUGACGUCAUGAGUUCAAAUCUCACUCAUUGUUAUGUAAGAGUGUGCGAGUUGCUUAAACUUACUUUUGCUUCCCUAUAAACUUAUAAUAGAGAACUCCUAUAAAUUAUAGAAAAACUAUUGUAGAUGCUCUAAGAAGCUUGAAGAUUCUCCAAAAUUUGGAUUCAAUAGAGCUGCAUUAAGAUAGCACAAGGCAAGUGUGGUGUGCUCUCAUGUACAUAAUAGUGAUAAUACUACUGAUAUUUUGUUUUUGUCGAGUAAUACUACUGAUUUGUACAACCAUCAACAGUGGGCAGUACUCCAAAAUUUAUUGCAAAGAAUUAGAAUUAUGAAUUUGGUGCAAUAUCAACAGCAAAUCCCAUGAUCCCAUCCCUGAUAUUAGUAUUAAAAAAUGUAUGUAUGCGGGAAACGCUUUCUUCAGCUUCUUGUUUGGAGUACUGAAGGUUCUUAUUUUGUCAACAGUUUCGAUGUAUAUUUAGAUGACUGAUAUUAGUAUAUCAGUUCAUGUGACUGGAUAAUUGCACAGUUUCUAGCUUUCCUUUUACUAAAAACUAAAGCUACUGCUGGCAAUCAUAGUACAUGCAUACAAGUGUGUGGUAGAAUUUGCAAAUGAAAGUAGAGUUUGUGUCAACAGAAUACUGCCACAAGAUUAGAAACAAAACUACCAGCAGACUUCGGUGGCAAAAUGGUUUAGCGCCUACAAUGACUUAAUUUAAGUAAUCGUGCUUCAAACUUCUAAAUCUAUACAUGAGAUCCAUGAGCGCAGGUGCAUAUUAUGGUCAGGAAAAUGUGUAGGUGUAAGAGUUGCAGGCUACUUUAGUGCCCGCAAAACAACACAGCUUGUCGAGAUUUUUCUAUAUACAAAAGAGAAUUAGAAUAGAAAAAUUCACCCUUUACAAUCAAAUAUCAUAUAGGUCAUUAGCAUCCUAUAGUUUCAUUCAUAACAUAAUCAACUUUUCCAAGGAGGUGUGUAGCAACAAAACUUCCCCUCUCUCUUCCACUUACCGACUCAUGAGGAGAUGCAUCUCCCCCAUUGCCCGAGAGAUGCCAUCAACACCCAAAAAAUAGCACAUAGUGCCACAAGAACUGGAAGGAAGAAGAAUCCCCUCUUCCAGGAUUCCCUCAUAGUUUCAGAAUCCUUACCGGCAGGGACAUUUGUGCUCCUCGCAAUUAUUCUCAUCCUGCUAAAGCUAGACAUCCGUUCAAAGGCCCGACUCACCAAGGCAUUCUCCGAUGCAGAUGCAGGAGUAGUAGGUAUAGAUUCCACAAAAGACCAUAGGGCAGAAGAAAACUGACUAGUAACACCGGCAGCUUCAUUGCCAUUUUGAUUUGGAUUUUCUUGUGGACAAUGAUUUGACGAGUCGUGUACCACACCUAUACAAUACCAGAUAAGAGCUACCUAUAUUAGUUGCUACUUACAAGAUUCAAUUUCAGUGUCAUAUUCCAAUAUCUUACAAAUGUAUUGAAGUUAGUCUUGACAAAGCCUGAAAGCAAGCGAUGAUAAAUUAGAGGAAGACCUCUUAAAGUUGAACAUAUGCAUGGACAUAUCAUCUUCACUGUUAUAUAUACCUGAGGUGAAAGGAGGUCCAGACCCCUUUGUUGUUUCUGUUGAAGUAUAAAAAUCACGCCUUUCAUUCUGCACCCAUAGCUGAUUGUUAAUCUGAGUUGACUCUUGAUUCAGCUGAUGGUUGAUCUGUAGAGGUGCUGGUUGUAUCUGGUAAUCAAAUUGGUUCACAACAUUACUCCCCAUUGAAUUCAUGAAUUGAUGAGAAACAUUGCCUUGAUCCAUGGGACACAUCUCAUUAAAAAACAUGGCUGGAUCCUGAAACAAGUCAAAUCCAUCCAGCUCAUUAAACUGCAAGUUACCCCCAGAAUUCCCAGUGUUUGAAACAGUAGGUUCAGGACCGAGAAGAUCAUCCAUCUCCAGGAAAUCCUCUUCACGUAGUAUGGGAGUGAAAGACUCCAGUUUAUGAACGUCAGAAGCAGAUGCUUCAGAUGCCUCGUACAGUUGGGUCUGUGAAGUAGCUGACUGGGUGAAGUCAAAGCUUGCAUAUUCAUUUCCCUGCUGACCACUUGGAUCAAAUGUUGUAUGUGAUUGUGGACACUUCACUUCACUAGAGUACAGAUCCACCACAGUACUUUGUGUUUCUUCUUCACUAACAACCUACAGAAAGAAUUACAAGGAUCAAUUAUAUGUAAUCUAUGCCAGAGACAAUGUACAUGAAAGGCUACAAACAUGCAAAAAAGUACUGAAAUAAAGUGAUGACCAUUAAGAAAUCCGAAACAGUUGGCCUGCUUAACAUAGCAAGUUUUAUUCAGCCAUCUUCCCCAAGAAUGGAAAAGACCACCAUGUUUGCAACCUUAGGUAAGGCAUACCUAAUACACUGGAGGUCUGUUUAUGCAGAAAAUUUCAAGCAGCUUCAAGAAAGCAAGAGACUUUAGCAAAGUAAGGAGUUACCAACCUGAGAUAGGGAGUGAACAAGAUCAUCAAUCUGUGGCAGGUCAAGCACAGCGUCAUCAGCAAUCUGUUUCAUGAACUCUUCCAAGUCAUCUAUUGUAGAAUGGGCUUCACUGUUAUUGUUUGCAUAACCAUUAGCAGUAAUCUGUUCGACUUGCUUCAAUGGAACUUCUCCAAAAGGUUUUGCAUUAUAAUUAGCAACAACCUCUCCAAUUUGCUCAACUGAGAUUCCCCUAUCAGCUGAGCUAUUUAUUAUUGGGCAUUCAUCAUCAGCCCAAUCUUCUUCUCUAAAUGGCGCCCCAUAUUGCUCACCAUUUUUAGGACCAGGUCCACUUUUCUUGAAAACCUUGUAAAGAGCAUAAUAUUCCUGAAGGAAAGGAGGAAUAAAAAGAUUAAACUUCAGCAAAUAAAAAAUGGUAUAAAAGAACAUGAAGAAGAAUAAAAUAAGCUGCUGAAGUUGAUACCUGUACAUUCUGGCAUCUCUUCAACUCCUCCUCAUCCAAGGUAUACUCGUGCAUCACCCAGUCAGUGCGCUCCCCAGUAGGUGCACGGCCUUUAUAGAAAACUAAGGUCUUCUUCAGUCCAACUGAUCGGUUAUAACAGGUGAUGUUGCGAUCUUUUCCAGUUGCUUUCCAAUACCCAUGUCUGGUUGCCCUGUUUGAUCUACCCCCACCAUUAGGGUACUUGCGAUCUCUCGGACUGAAAAAGAACCAUUGCCUAUCUCCAGUUUUCAAUAUAGACAAGCCUGCAUAUCACCAUCACUUUCACUAUUAGGAAUCUAAAUUCAAUGUAUAACUCAUAACAGUAUAUACAACAGAGUCAUCCAUUAGGUCAAUGCAUCCAAAUGAGAAAAAUUUAAAUCAUUCAAACACGUUCCAUCCCAACCGAAAUCCAAAUAUCAAAAAGAUAAUGUUUGAUAUCAAACAGCAAACAAGAAAUAGCAAAAACCAAGAUAGCAAGCUUUACUCAAGCAAGACCAGAAUUUUAAACUAUCAAUGCAUCCUAUUCACUGCUAGUUAAAGUUAAACAUAUGAUACAUGUGUAUGUAUGUGGCCGAAGGUGUAUAUGACAUAAGAGGGCAUCACAUCCUAAAUCUUUCAAAGAACCCAUGAGGAGAUCAGAGCAUAAACUAAAAACAGCGAAUUCAAUUUAUAUCAGAUCUUUAUAUCGAAGCGAAACACAGGUUACACAACCAAACAAGUCCUAUAAAAAAAUCAAACAACUUGAUUCUGGGUUCAAGAAUUAAAACCCAUAAAGCACACAUUGUGAUCAGUGCAUGAAUGAAAAAACCAAGUAGAGGGGCAUACCAGGAAGCUCCUCGGGGUCCCAUUUGUAGACGUCAGUCUCGGCGAUGACGUUGAGCUUGAGCUUCUUCUUACAGAUCUUCCGUUUGAGAUAGUAGAGGACGAGCUCCUCGUCGGUGGGGUGGAACCGAAACCCGGGCUGCCAGAAGUGGCCGUCGCAGAAAGCGGAGACCAAGCCGUCCUCAGAGACCAUCACCGAUUCGGCGAGAUCAAAUUCAAAACCCUAAAAUUUCAAGGAAAUCGAAACUUUCUGGGUUUUUGAAAUUGGAUUAAAUUAAGAGAAAGAGAGAAGGAGGGUUGGGACUUGAUUAGAAGAAGAAGAACAGAGAGAAAAAUCUACAAGAGAGAGGAGAGGAGAAGAGGGAUUUGAGAAGCGAAGUCAAAGAAGGGGGAUGACGAAGGAGUGGAGUGGGCUGGGCUGAAGCUUCCUGGCAACUUUCGUCUCGACUUUAUUUAUACACACAAGGGUGAUGCGUGGGGGUUAGGUAACUUGAGAGGGUUUUAGCUGUGUGUUCCCGUACUAUGGUGUCACCUUUUCUGAUUGGCCGUUUCACUUUGACACGGAGACUACACCAAAAUUUUAUACAUAUAUUCUGUUCCAAAAGGGGUAAAAAGUAAAAACACAAACAAAAUAAAUCGGGUGUUGGUAGAUGUACCCAGCAGACUACUUAGUAGACCCAGCAAUUAAAAAUUAUCCUGUAUUUUCCAGUUUUGCCCUUGUUAUAAUAAACCCAGCAAACACAAAUUCUUCUCUUAAAGUCGGAUCAGAGGCAUUAAAUUAAGAAGAAGAGAUGUGGCAACGACUGCGCAAACACAACAUCCUAUCUAGGAGGCUAAAGUGGGAUCUGGGUCAUACCAUCUUAUCGUUGCUUUGCUUUGAGCCUUUGAGUUGAAUUGAAAUUUUGUGAUUAAUUGCGUAGUCAUCUAUUCAUCUGCAGUGUCAAUCUUUGAUUAAGAGACUUUAGCCGAUUUUGUUCUUCUUCUCCAUUACCUGUAAAUAUAUUCUACAAUUAUAUGUUUUAAGANNNNNNNNNNNNNNNNNNNNGAGAUAUAUGUAAUGGGAUUAUCAUUGAAUUGGAAUUUUUUUUUUUUUGAAGGCAAUCGGUUCCGAUAUCCCGUACAUCAAAUCUUCUCAAGAUUCUAUACUUAGAUCAUGGGAAAGCUCCUCCUGAUUUCCUCCCCCAUAUUAGUUCUCUUUCUGGUCUCAACGUGGUGUUAGAGAUGAUGUUUGCUGGGUUUAUUAUAACAAGGGCAAAACUGGAAAAUACAGGAUAAUUUUUAAUUAUUGGGUAUAUUAAGAAGUUUGCUGGGUACAUCUAGCAACACCCAAUAAAUUAGCUGUACUAUUGAAAAAUCUAACUCUAGAGUCUAGACAUUCCAACAAUAUCAUCUAAAAGCAAUUUUAGCAGACUCUUUAUUUUAGCUUUAGCUAUUUUAGAGAGCGCGUUUAGUUUUUUUUUUAAUAUUUUCAUAGCUCCAGCAGACUAACCAAAGUUUAGCUAUUAUGACUUUUAAAUAUCUCGCUAGCUAAAUAUAGAGAGCGAGAUGACUCAAAUAAGGCUAACUAUAAUUUAAUACAUUCAUUUUAAGAUAUUUUAAGUGAUAUAUAAAUAUAUUCAAACUAUUUAAUCUUUAUUUGAAGAAUAAUGUUGAUGUAACGUUAGUUAAAAUAGAGAGCAUUGAUGUAGCCGCAUUUCUAAAGUGGCUAGAUAAAAUGACAUUUUAGCUAAUUCGAUUAAAAUUUAACUCAAAAAAGACUAUUAUUGCUAAAAAUGUUCUAAGAGCAAGUUCACUCGUUGGGUUAGAUUUUUUAAGUGACCUAGGUCAUACCCGUUUCAAAUGUGAGAUUCUUGUCACGUGGCAGUGACUGUUUAUUGAAUUGUUUUUUAUCAGGUAUUACAACUUCAUAUGCCACUAGACCAAAGCAUUGUUUAUUGAAUUUAAAAGAAUGUUUUAAAGUGUGAAUAAUGGUUUUUAGAAUAAUAAAAAUUAGGGGCGUCUAUUGCCACCCCACAAAUCACUUUGUUCUUACUCAUAUAAUUUUAAUUGUAAGUCUACUUUGUUCACCUAUUAACAAUACCUAAAAAACCAUUUUCUCGAUUCUACUUUAUUCACCCUACAUUCUCUUCAUAUAUUUUGUCAAAUUCAGAUUUGCUCAAGGUAAUAAGUAAAAUCACCAAAAUUCAUAUGAAAGUAUAAAUCCAAGUUAAAGAACAAGAAAAAACUCUCAAAUGUAACAACUCAAUAGUAUCAGUCGAUAUCAAGAUACAUAAUGUCUGUAAAUGUAUCUCUACUUCUCUAGUACGUAGCAACGCUUUCCGUACUUCUAAGUUUCUUGAACUGAUCUAUUCGUUGUUCAUAAAUACGGUACAAUAGUUGUCCAUGAGAAUUUACAUACAAAGUCACCAUGGGAAAUAAUGAGUAAAAGGAUAGACAAAUAAUCAUCAAAGAAAAAAAAAAUACAAACAAUUUACCUCAUCUUCAAAUUAAAUGUUAGUGUCUUUAAACUUACGACCGAAUAUGAUAAAUUUAGGUUAGAGUUAUGAAAUUUGUGUUCAUCCAAAAUAAAAAGAUAAAAAAGAAAAAGAAAAAAAAGUAAUUUAUAACAACUUGUUGUCCCUUGCUGUAAUUUUACAUCAGGGUAUUUUGGUAUUUCAAUAAAUCAACAACAUGUGGGGUGAGCAAAGUGGUUUGUGGGGUGGCAAUAGACGCACCCUAAAAAUUAACUAUUAAUGUAAGCAAAUAGUAAAUAUUAGUCACAAUAUAAAAAAUAAGUGAAUUUAAGAUUAUGUAAAUAUUAACACAUUAUGAUAAAUAUUAAUGUAAAGAAGAUUUUAUAUCUGAUAAAAAAAAAAUAUAUUAUUUAGAAUAUAAAAUAAUUGAUGUAAUUAAAUGUUUAUGUUGAUUAAAAUAUACGACAAAAUGUAAAAAUUGAGUCAUUUUAAUGAGGACUCUUAAGUUGAUGACUAGUUGAAGAUUUUUCGAUCUUAUAUCCACAUCUUGACCGUUCAAUUUAUAGGUAUUUAUGAAUAGAUCAUUUAUGCAAAUUUUCAGCCAUAUUGAAAAUUGUUAAGACAUUCAAAAGUGUGAUUUACUAAUUAUGAACUUGAACGGUUCAUGUUUGACAAAUUUUGUUCGUCCAUUAAUUUGAUAUAGUUUGUUACCUUAACGAUCACCGAUUUGGCUAAAAAUUUGUAGGACAAAUAUACUCAUAUAGAGCUAAAAACUGAACGGAUGAGAUGCCAAGAUGUGAUCGAAAAAUAAGUAUUUUAAACCAUAAACCGAAAAGUCCUCAACUUAAAAAUCUUAUGUAAAAAAGAGGUCUAUGUAAAUACAAAUAGAUGUUUAUACAAACAAGGAUUUAUUUUUAAAAUAGUUUCUGAUUUUUAUAUCAUUUUCAGAUGUUUUUUAUAACCACGCAAAAUGACAGAAACGUGAAUAGCACGCUACUUUGAUUGGAGGACAUCAGGUCGUGUUCCUCACGCGAGCAAGGAGAGUGUGACAUCUCCUUCACGUAGGUUAAAAAAAAAAGUAGUUGACGCAUGUCACGCAGCCAUGUUUGGCUUUUGGCUGAAGUGGAAGAAUUCAACUUGGGCUAGCUUUCUCAUCUAGCCUGAGUUAGUUCUCUCCCCAUAAAUCUCACUUGAGUGAAUUGGGCACAAAACCCAUUCAUGGGUGGAAUGUGAGUUUUUUUUCUUUUGGGUUAGAUUCUUAGGUGUCAUUUAACCUGGGUUGGAUUUUUUUAUAAGGGGUAGACUUGCUCUAAGAGAGUCUCAGUAGUGUAAAACCUUAAAAUCAUGCAUAAGAGCAAGUUCACCCGUUGGGUUAGAAUGAAUACAAUGACCUGGGUCACUGUGACUGGGCAGCAGUUUCCACCUGUUUAAAAUGUGAGAUUGUUGUCGUGUGGCAGUGACUGUUUAUUGAAUUUUAAAUUACAUUUUUAAAUGCAAUUAAUCUUUUUAUGUAUAAAUAAAUAGUAAUUUAUAUAUAUUAUAUGACAUAUUAAAAUUAAUGUUUUUAUUUCAUGACAUUUAAGUAACAAGUCAAGUUUAAAAAAUACCUUUAUUUGAUAUUGUCUAAUGAAAAACACAAUCUAAAUUAACUAGGCAUAUGUAAAAUUAGCUAUCAAUUCACACAGUAUAAAUUUAUUUAUUUUUACAGAUUUUUUCUAUAAAAUUAUAAAUAAAAAAAGAAAAAAACCUUAAACUUUCUUCUUUGGGCUGCCGUAUUUCUUCUCUGGGCACCCGUAUUUCUUCUAUGGGCACCCAUAUUUCUUCUCUGGGCUGCCGACGGUGACGACCCACCUUCGCACGCUGCCGCUCCGCACAGUUUGUCGUCACAGUCUCCCUGUCGUCAUCACACGCGGGUCUUCCUUCGCUGCAAUUCGUUUGUGCGCAAAACGCAGCUUCCAGGCGCAUCGCUCGGUGGAGGCUUCAUUGCUGACGCAAGUCACGAGCGUGGGCUGGGCUGAUGUGGAUCAAUCUCGCCUGGGUCAGUCUUCUCCUCUCACUUGGGUUGGAUAUCUCCCCAACAAAGUGACCUGGGCUAGAAAAUGAGUUAUCUCAUUUUAUGGGUGGAAGCAAAAAAUUUUGGGAUGUGUUGCUUUGCCUAUGUGGAUCCAACCUGGGUUGGAUUUUUUGCUCAUCGAUGGACAUGCUCUAAGCCUUUUGCAGUUCAUAACAAGGAAACCUAAGGGAUACAUCUCAACUUUAUCACUUUAAAUCACAUUAACUAAAACAGCUGAAUCAGACUGAAUCAGAUUCAAUCUCCAAAACUUCAUGAUGUGCUGAGUGUGAGCCAAAUGAAGACCAUGAAACAAACCCCAGGUUUCAGCUUGAAGGACCUCACCAGUUCUAAUGUUGACCAUGAAGCCACCACACCAAGAACCAGUCUCAUCCUUCAUCACCCGUCAUGUAUCACCAUUUUUAGUUCUAGAACCAUCAACAUUGAGCUUAUGAAUCCUAGUUGCAGGCUUAAUUCAACCAAGCAUUUAACAUAGGUAUUCUUCACCACGCUAACUUUAGCAACAACUCUACUCCAUUCCUCAACAUUUUCAAAGAUAACUUCAGGAGGAUUGUGAGGGUAAUCAAAAUUGUGAGUCAAAGAUACCUUUGCAGCGCCAUUUCCACAAAAACUAACAACAACAUAUGGAAGAGAUAUUUCAACUAAGCUCUCUCAUGUAAUGACCCUUCUACAACUAGUUAGCAAUGAUCCAAUUUUUCCAAUCCAGAUUAGAAGACCGUGAGACAUUCAGGGGAAUAUCAAAACAAUUCCAUACCUUCUUAGCAUUAACAUAAUCACUAACCCUGUGCAACAUAGUUUCAUGACACAAAAAUGACAGGAGGCACUAACAAAAAUCCUUCUUCUAAACCGCUGAUCAUUAAUUAGUAGUUUACCAAAACAAAGGAACAAUGACAUUAGAGGUUACGCUUGCUUGAUCGGUCAACAAUCCGAUGGAUCAAUCGACCCUAGCCCUCGUACUUCAUUUGAUCCCAUUGAUCCACUUGGCCCAGCGUCUCUCCAACCAUCGUCACUGCAUCCUCUAUUAUCAACUCCAGGGGUACGCCAAAGAUCUCAACCUAGAUAGUAAAGGUUGAGAGUGGAACCCUAGUCACAUCAGCCAUCGUACACCGUACCACCACCAUGAACAAAGACCCUAAAGAUUCACGACCCUCCGUUCACUGCAUGACAACAUUCCUCCUCCUUCGUAAGCUUCAUUUUAAAACGAUCUCCUUGUGUCCUCAUCAGAAGACGAUUCAUGUAGCCCGAAACUGAUGUUAGGGUUCCAAUCACCGCCUUAAGAUUAGACUACUUAUAUUUAGAGCAGACGACCCACUGCGUAUGAUUGUUGGGAGAUGACAACUUCCAAGACCACCUUCCCUUCUCAUUGGAUAGCCAACGCCGCAGCAACGUCAGCUGAUGGAGAAUUGGAGAUGAUGAAAGAGAGAGCAGAGAAUUGCAAAACAAGAAAAAAAAAAAAACCAACCCUAGCAGCGAAGAUGGGUUGUUGACUUGUUGCACCCGACCAAACACUUCAAUUAAAAAUCUUCAAAUUAUUAGACAAAUAAGUGGUUAAUUUUUUUUUCCCUCAAACAAGUGGUCAGAAUUGAAUCAAAUUCAAACAAACAAAUCAAAACCAGAAUAAAACCCACUGUCCUACCAGAAAAUAUCAAACUUUGGAUCCCGGCAGCGGCCUUCAUACCUCUCUUUCACUGCUUCCAGUGAAAUCUACGUGGCUGGCCUGGAUGUAAUAAAGAAAAAGGGAGAGAAUUCAAUCAUUAAUUUUCUUGUCUCCCAAACAAGAUCACUUUAUAAUGUUUUAAAUUUUUGGGAAUCUCACAACUGUCAAGGAAAAAGUGUUCGCCAAACAGGGUCUUAGAUCUGAAUGAGAACCCACAUUCUCUGUAUGUUCAUCUCCUCAAUUGUUUCUCAACUUCAUUUCAUUAAGUUUCAGUGUCUUUUCUCUGUUUUGGGUUCUGAGGAAAGCUGAGGUAGAAUUUAGAGAAUCAUUGAAUUCUGGGAAAUGGGCACUUGUGUAUGUUGCUUUGAGUGAAAUAGCAACGAAAGUUCAGGGGUUAAUCUAAUUUUCUUCAUUGUGGUUUCAGGGUUCAGAGAAUGUGCAUUCGAAUUCUAGAUCUUGAGCUGUAAAUAUAUUCGAUUUGUUUCGUAGCUAGAAUUCCACUUGAUUUUUAUUCCAAAAAAAAGGAGAAAGAAAUGGUGUUUUGGGAAGGGUAUGUGAGUGAUGAGGCAAUGGGGACCUUUGCACCAAUUGUGGUUUACUGGUUGUAUGCUGGGAUUUACCAGCUGUUGCCGCCUUUGGACAAUUACCGGUUGCACACUCGAAGAGAGGAGGAUGAGAAGAACUCGGUGCCCCUUCCCUCUGUCGUCCGGGGAGUAUUGCUUCAACAGCUAGCUCAGGCUACUGUAGCUCAGGGGCUCUUUGUGGUCAGUUACUUCAACUUCACUCUUUCAUUUCGUGUCGUUUCUGCUGAACGUGCUUCAUUUUCAUGCCCUACUUGUGUAUAUGUAUAUGAGGUAGAAAAUGUUGCAUUUGCAUUAAGGGCCGGCUUGUGAAAUAAACAACAUGGAUUGCAGCCUUUCUUAGAAAUGAUUUUAGUAAGCUGUUAGUUCUGCAUUUUAACAUGGCUGAAGUCCAUAAGAUAGAACAAAAGAAGGUUGAGUAAGCUCUGAAAGAGUGGUCCUUUAUUUCUCCUUUCCACAUCUGUUGUAUGUGAUUAUGGUUUGAUCUGAUACAUGCUUUCAAAUUUGUUAGUCGAUAUAAAAUUACCAUAUUGUCAUAUGGAUAUGGUGAGAGGGCCAAGAUGCUGAAUGUUGGUGAUGUUAUGGGUCAUCUGGAUGGAGAGGAAUGGACAAUAUUUUGAGGAUUUUAGAGUGGGGUGGUGGCAAUGUCAGAAGUGGUUUUUGGGUCUUCCUGAUGGUCAUCUGUUUCAGUUGCCUUUAGGGAUGAAGUCUCUAAUCAAUUUAUUGAGUUUCUGCUAUUUAGGUGUUUCUAUAGCUGUAUUCAAUCAUUUUUCAUCUACUACGGGAUGUUGCUCACUGUGUAUACUUUUCCAAUUAUUUAUAUACAAGUUCUACCGAAAGCUAGUGAAUGUGCACUUAAAAGGAUUUUGUUGGAAGGUUCACCUAUUCGUGGUGGAUACCAGUGAUUGUACGUUAACAAAAGGGGUAAAUCACCUAUAUGUCCUUGUAUUUUAUCCAGUGUUUUUUUUAUUUAGCCUAUUUGUCCCAUGUUUUUAUCCCAGCACUUUAUGUGGUGCUUUCAAUUUGGUCCUAAACCCCUUUAGGUAGUCUGGUCACUGUGUUUUACCUCUUGAGCCCUUUUUAUCCCUGUGGUGUACGAUUUAACACCAAUUGAAUAAUGGGAUAAUGUUCCUUUACCAGUGUUUCCUACAGACCAAUAAGAUACUCAACCCAAAAAAACAUGAGAGUAUGUUAUUCUCUCAUAUACAUUAAUCGGUAUCUCUUGAUCAUAGUUUAUGCAGACUUAGUAGCUCUUAUUGGUUAUCACAGAGCUUUACCAAUUAUCAUCUACUGCUGAAGUAAUUUAGUCUAGCCAAGCUUCAAGAUUGUAGUAUAUGGUGUUUUUUCUGUUUUCAAAAAGAUGUAGCUUUACUGUAUAGUCUUCUCAGACAUUUAAUUUAUUUUCCACUUUGAUAGCAUAAAGUACUUGAAGCUUUACAGAGAUAAUCACAAUAGUUUAGGCAUUGCAACCUAAUGUAUUGGAUGUGUAUGGACUUCGUCACAUUUAUAUCACUAUAAGUGGAUUCAUGAUGCUUUUGGUACAUAUUUUAAGAUAUAUGAGAUAUCAUCUUAAUGAAGAAGUGUAAAGUCUCUGUAGACCCGAAAUAAGAAUUUAGUAUGUUAUUCUGAAGUCACAGGUUGGUUUGUUAAGAAUGGAGAGACAAGGAUGUGACUUGAAUCAUUUAUAUCUGAGUUAGAUAUCAAUGAUGGACAUCCCUUGAUGCAAACAGCAUUGGUGACUGAUUGCAGAGACUUCAACAAUUUUAUUGUCUUUCAUCUUUGACUGCUUCUGAUACAUUGAUUAUGCAGAACAAGUUCUGCCCUUUUCAAACAGAUAAGGAUCUGACAAGAAGUUAUGUAUUUAGAGUCUAGAGUCUAGCCCUGUUCUGAAUGAGUUGGUUGUAAGAUGACAUUACUUGUUUUAGUCAGAGUUAUUCUUAUUUGGAAGGAACAAUGAAGUUUGUAAGGCUUUACUUUCUAUAACUAGUGACAUCUGGGAGAGGGCUCAGGAUCUUGGAUGUGGUGUAAAUGCUUUUAACUAGUAAAGAUACAGGUCCCCAACCACUAGGAAAUAACUUUCCUAUAUUUCUCAUGCUUGAGAAGGAAUUGUAUUACCAUGUAUUGUUAGGGUGAAAUGACAUGUCUUUCUGACUUGCUUUAUUUAUGGUUAUUUAAAAAGACUUUGUUUUUUGUUCUUUGCCAAUCUUGUUGAUCUGUAAAAUUUGAGACAGUAACUGAUGGACUCCUUUUCAUUGUCAUGUAUUUUUCACUUUUUUUUGUAUGUUUCUCAUUAAAAUGAUAAAAAUUGGUACUGUAAACCUCUUGUUUGUUUUUAUGUUCGAUGUCUCGAUUUAGUAGCUUUACUGUAGCAUGUGCUGUGCAGUUUACCCUCUUUAUGAUUGGAACAACUGGACAAGUCGUUUAACUUAGACAUAUUGUACGGUAGCCAAUUCAUUUUCUGCAGUGAUCUAUAACUCAUAAAUACAAAAUUAACUCUUUUUUUUUUUUCUUUUCAGAAAAGUAGACUUUACUCUUAGGUUUUUGUUUUACUGGAAUGAAUCACGGGAGAAAUGAUCAUUACUAUACCAUUAUUUGGUUGUAAGAAAGAAAUAAAGGAAUGGACAUUUUACCAAAUUAUGGAUACAAGCAAUUGCCUUCAUUCUUGUUUUGAUAUCAAUUCUAGUCUCGGUUCCUGUUCAUUCUUGCAAUGUAAUAGUAAGCUAGGAUGUCUCUGUCAGUUUGGAAUGUUACUUUAGAUAUCUUUAUGACUAAUGCUCAUGCAUUUUCACUGCAGUUAACUUUAAAGGCCAAUACAUCUGGUAUCACAAUUCAGCCGUCCAUCCUUGUCCAGAUUGUGCAGAUUGUUGUUGCAAUGCUAGUCAUGGACACAUGGCAAUACUUUGUGCACCGCUACAUGCAUCAGAACAAGUUCUUGUAUCGACAUGUUCACUCUCAGCACCACAGACUUGUUGUUCCCUACGCAAUUGGAGCCCUUUAUAACCACCCACUUGAGGGUCUUUUGCUUGACACUUUUGGUGGGGCUCUCUCUUUUCUAGUCUCGGGAAUGACUGCACGGACGGCUGUUACAUUCUUCUGCUUUGCUGUGAUUAAAACGGUAGAUGAUCACUGUGGACUUUGGUUGCCUUAUAACGUCUUCCACACUUUCUUCCAGAACAAUACUGCUUAUCAUGACAUUCAUCAUCAACUUCAAGGCUUGAAGUAUAACUAUUCUCAGCCAUUCUUCCCGAUAUGGGAUAAGAUUUUUGGAACUUACAUGCCUUACAGUCUUGUAAAGAGACCUGAAGGGGGUUUUGAAGCGAAGGCAAUGAAAGCAGCGAAAGACUAGUCAGAAGAAAACAGUGUACUAAUCCAAGCUCACUUCACACAGGGAAAUUAUUUUGCUGAGAUUUUCUCAUUCAGAGGAUUCUGAAAUAGAUCCGAUAUAUGAGGCUAUUGUCUAGGCUCUAGCAGGAGGGUUUUGUUAUCCGAGUUAGUUCCUUUUUCUGUUGUGGUAUAUCUUUUCUUUAAUUGGUUGUGUUAAUUCUACCAAGCCUCCUUAUGAAUGUAAGCGUGAGAUAUUGGGCUGUCUAAUUUGUAGCAUAUUUGUUCAUGAUUAUGCGGCAGUUAGUUUUCAGGGAUAUCAGACCUGUGGAGAUUGAUGUACUUGGAGUUGUAUGUGGCUUGAGAAGGUUAGAUUUGUUUAAGAAAAUAGAUCCUAUUCUUUCAGAAGUGCCAAGAAACGUUCUCUUGACUGGAAACCACAAAGCAUUAGCCAAAGUAAUUCCAUUGAUUAAAGCAUGUGAUCAAACCAAACUAGUGCAUAUUUAAAUGGAACAUUUUUAUUGUAAUUGUUAGUCCUGCGGAAAUUUUUAUUGUCCCCAUGUUUUUGUUAGGUGAUAUAGGCUCUGUUUGAGAUUGUUUCUUUGGAAGUGCUGUUUAUACCCUUCACUAUAACAUCACUACACGAUUUCAUAAUUUAUAGUCGAGACGUAUACAAUACAACUCAAUAACCUGCUUUCCUGACCUUACACAUAGCAAAUGAAACAUCUAAAACUUCAUGGAGUACUGUCUCCUCAUUCAAAUCAAAUCACACAUGAUUCAUGAUUGGAACGACACUAUUCACAUAAGAAACACCACACAAAAUAAAGAGUGGGUCUAGAGGAUGUAAAAUAAUCUGGAACACUUUGAAUCAGAAGAUACUUGAUGUUUUGUAAUAAGGUUAUAACAACCAAUACUCCCAAUAGAUCCAUUUUCUUUGAGGAAAAUCGACUAAACAAUACCCUAGUUAUUGCUCAUUCUAAACUUUCAUAUCUCAUGUAUCAAAACCAUCACAUUAGUACCUCAGUUAUUUACGUCGCCCCAAUACUAGUACACGCCAUCCAUAACGGUGUUAAGUGGCUAAACAUAUGUCAUAUCUCGAUAUCUCCUCUUUACCUCUCUAUUGCCGCUUUACCCUCUUGGCCCCUUCUAUCUAUAGGUAAAUAUGAGAAGUCUCGAUGGAAAGAUAUACAUACAAUGAGUCAGUAUGAGCAUUUUGUUGUAGCAAUAUGCUUGUUGGUUUUUGGAUAUCUACAUAUGCAUUAUGCAAUAUACGGACAAAAUAUUUUGUAUAUCUCCAAGUUGUAUUUUAUACUUGAGUUCUGUUGUAGUAAUUUAAGUAGUUUAUAAAUUUCUGGAUACGGAAUGAGACAAUGAGUUGUGGUAAUGUAGCAUGUUUCGAGAACUUUUUGUUUAGUAUGAGGUGAAUUUUGUAAGUUUUGGUUAGCUUGUGUAACUAAUUCUAAAGACAUAGAAUAACAUUGCAGGUGUAUGUAUAAAUAAAUUCUCCAUGUUUUGGCGUGAAAUGACUCACCAAAACAGUUGUAAAUGUACAUUUACAGUAAAUAACUAAUUCUAAUUUUUCAUAUUCAGUGUGUUGAUGUAAUUUUCAUUUACCAAAAAGAAGAAGAGAAAAAAAAAGGAAAAAUUCUGUAUUCAAAUUGGAUUAAAGGGAGCAGUGGAGCCGAAGUAGGUGUGCAUAAAAAAGAGAGAGAAAUCGGAGAGCUUGUAUCACACAAAUCCCAAUAAUGAGCUUAGCACUCGUCCAGGGCUAUUCUUCCUCUGAAGACGAAGAACAAGAGCCCCAACAUGGCCUCCAUUACCAUAACUCCUCCUCCUCCGAAGACGACGGCGACGAGAGCAAACCCGCAGCGUCCUCCUCCAUUUUGGAGCCUUCCCGACCCACGUCCUCCAACGCCUCCGCCCUCCCGUCUGCUUCCGACGUCUUCUCCGAGGUACCUCUCUCUCUCUCUCUCUCUUUCUCUGCCAUUAUUUAGUUUCGAAUAUAAUUAGGUUUGAGAAUUCAACUGUUUUUGUGUGCGGAGAUUUCGGGACCCCCAGCUUUUUUGAACAACUGCGUCCAAGAAUACGCUCCCCAGCAAGUGCGGCAUGCUUCCCGUCACAACAAACACCGCAAGGACAAGAAACACUUGCCUGCUGGUACUCUAUUCCCCCCCCCCUCUAUCUAUUUUGAGUAUUUCCUUUGCGUUAUUAUGCAUUACACACUGCUUAGGGCUUAUCAUGUUGUGUGUAAAAUUAUUCGGAAUUCGAAGUGGAUCUAAAUCUGUGAACCGACUUAGAUCAUGCAUGGAUGAGUGGUUUAGGUGUUAGUGCACUAUCAUGUAUAACUGUAUUAGUGAUUAUGCUUAAAGAGCUACAAAUUUAGUAAACAGCCAUGUGACUAUCUGGAGUUUCGUAGCUCAACAUGGCACCCCUGAACAAUCUUGUUCCGAGGGCUCAAGUGAUUACUGAUUAGACAAUGUGAAAGUAUGCGAUAUUCAUUCUCUCUUGGUCUUUGGUUUACACAUCAGACUCUUUCUCCAUGACAAGUACAAAAACAAGGUCUGCUGUGCUCAACCAUAUUAGUGGUAUUUGUCUUCCUUUGAGCAAUAAAUCCAAGCUACUACCUGUACCUUAGGCCCUACUUUAGCCUCCCAAAUUACAGAAGGAAUAGAUUGAGUUGAUAUGGGAUUCUAUCAAGUCUUCGGAUAAAUUGUGCAGCACAAGACUCCAGCAACACACUAUUUCAGGGGGAUAUGUGUUCCCCACCUUCUGGAUCCUUGAAAUACAAUUGAAAACUAUAAUCAUAGCUUAGACGCAAGGACAAAAGAAUUAAAACACAUGACAUGUGAAUGAGGAAAUCAAUGGGAAAAAGCUAGUCCAACCCAACCUUCUUUCAAAAACAUUACCCUUUCCUCCAUCGUAGAAUUGCAACAAGCAGAUAAUGGUUUGAUGCCUAAUGAUAUGUAUUUCAUUAAGACUUUGAUAAAAUCCCACAAAAGAGCCUUCAGGAUGUCCAGGUGAUGCAGGACAGAGCAGGCAUGGGGCUAGGAAGUGUAGGAAUCUUUAAGAAAUAGGUUAUUCUAGAAGAAAGAGAAGGAUGUAGCUGCUGUAGUCUUUGUGGAAUUAGGGAAUAGCGCCAAAAAGGGGGAAAAACAAUGGGGAAAGAGAAGAGAAACCAAGGUACUGAGCCUUCUUUAAAAUUCUAUUCUAUUUGACUCUAGUUCUGCUUUUGCUUACAAUAGGUGAACUUAUACUUUAAGCUUUAGACUCUCAGCAGACUAAGACUUAAUAAAGACUCCAACAAGUAACAUGUGGCCUUGGAGUAUUUAAAGACAAGUUACUUAUCUUAGGACUUAAUUAGACUAUCAAAGAAGUAGACUUUAUAAAUGCUCUUCAUAAAACUGAAAAUGAUUGUUGAUUUGUUUUGAAUUACCAAUUCAGACUCAACUACAGACACUUCACUUUGAACCAAAAUGGGCUGGACUUAUACUUAGGGUUCUAAAGAGCGUAAAUAUUUACCAACCAAGUUGUGGCUGCCACAUUACCAGGUGACUUCGCCUUACCGCCUUCAUCACCUCAUCUUUGUCAAAAGGUCUCUAACUGAGUUGCCUCAUCUUCCCCAAUUGGAUGCCAUUCCAGGCCUUCGAUUUUGCCUUUCUAGUUCUUUAACAUAAAGAACUUUGUAAACCUGGUUAUUUCCUAUAUCUUCCUUCCUCUCCAGCAACUGUCCUAAUCACUCAACAUGAGGCAAUUUCUACAUAAAAACUAUUUAAAAGGUCUGUUACGUAUGAAUUCAUCGGAAUUGGAUAGGCAACAUAUUGACAAAAAAAGAACUGAUGUCUAUUUGGAAAAUCUUUGUUAUGCAUUAUUUGCAAUGUGGUGUGUAAUUGAUGGGUUCUACUGUAUAUGGAUGCCCAUAUACUGCUUCUUCAUCAGGAAACAACUAUCUGAUAGAUGUUUUGAAAUUAAUCAUGCAUUUAGUUCUCUGACACUGAGCUAUCAGUACCAUUCUUAUUGAAGAUAUGGUGUUCUGUAUGUCCAUUAUGUACCUUUCUAUUGCAUCAAUUGAAGAGACUAUUGUUUUAUUGUCUAUAGGUGCAGUAGUGGAGUCCAAAGCUAAUUUAGUUGGAAUCCAUGAACGAGUAAGAAGUGAUCUUGAUGGUAAGCAACCUCGAUCUUUAGCUGAUACAAGCACAAAUGAAGGAGGUAAGCGUGUGGCAACUGUAACAAAUCCCAGUGCAGAGGAUGCUGCAGCGCUUCUCAGGUACAUAUUUGCCUUCCCUUGGAUUCUGCUCCUCCUAAGAAACUUGGCCUUGUAAUCUACUAAUCUGAAAUAUUUCUCUCGAGUAGGAUGUGCUUGCAGUGUGGAAUUCCCAAGACCUAUUCCAAUGCACGCGGAAUGGUCUGCCCAACAUGUGGUGAUCGUCCUGCAGACGCAACUGACGACUCCAAGAAGAAGGGGUCUACAAUCAAAGAUAAGGAGAAAAACAAGAGGAUGAAAGGCCAGUCAUCUCAUGCUACAUGGAAAAGUGAAACUGAAAUGCAGCUUCGACAGCAAUUUGAUUAGUAGGACCAUCUCAGGUAUUACCUGGAACAGAAUAGCAUAACAUGUCAUAGUUUUCUUGUUACAUCCGUGUAGCUACAAUCGGUAGUUAGACUGCCAAAAGUGCAUCAGGUGAGUGUGAUGUAUGCUAUGCUCUGGUAUAGUGUCAAAAUGUGAUCUGUUCUUUCCUUUUCACCUACUGCUAGAGGUGGCUCUCCUUUUUUAGAUAGUAAUAACUCUCCUGGUUCUAAGCUUGUGAAACGUCAAAACUGACUUGCUUGAUUAACUUUAUCUCAGUAGAAUGAUCUGUUUUCUAUUUUUUUGGUCUGACAUAUCAAACAAAUUCAUCUAGAUUACUUUUCUUUUCUGGGCAAAGAAAAAAAAAGAACAGAGAAGAAAAGAUGGUCAUAAACUGAAUGCGAAUAUAAUCUGCAAAGGGCAAGAGGCAAUAUUAUCCUUGAAAUGAUCAUAUCUUGUCUGCUGUAUUUCAUGUCAUUACAAUAAUUUGCUUUUGUGGGUAGAAGGCUAAUUCCAUGUUUUACCUCCCUGAUCUUUACACCUUAGGUUAGUUGUACUUGUACUUGUACGACGUUCUUUUUAUCGUAUCAUAUGUACUGCUGUACUCUCUAAUUUACUCAAUCUUCGCCCAUCUGAUGCCCAAGUCUGUUAAUGUAUUAGGGUUAAACAAGUAGUGAUAAGUGAAUAACGAAUGCGUACCAGUAAUGAAGAGAAAAUUUGCCUUAUGUAGAGGAGUCUAGGUCGGUCCUCUUUGCAUGCUUCUGAUGUUGGGUAAGAUUGUGUUCAGUGGUAGUGGUUUCAGAUUAGCUGUUGGUUUCCUCAUUUGGCUUGUGGUAGUGGUUUCAGAAAUUCGGAUUAGCUGUUGGGCUGUGUUUCUACAUGGUGGUAUUCGGUAUGGAAAAUUUUGUAGCAACUGGAGUCUUUUAUGCAACACAUUUGUGUGCUUAGUUGAAAGAACAGCCAGGUGAUUAUAAUUGUUCUUUGUUUGUAAAUGUCGGUUUUGUGCGAGCGCAAUUUGAGCUUGUAAUGAAAUGAUAAUAGGGUUUCAACUUAAGAAAAGGGAGAUUGGUCUUUUUAAGUGUAUAUACCACUUGGUGAGAUUAACUUUUAUAUUUUGAUACAGGGAUGAAAUUAUUGGAUCCAAAAGUUCAAUUCCAUUGUCAAAAUAACAAGAUAAUUUUAAAUUAUCGAUUUCUUCACCUUUAUGUAUUAGCAAUGAUGUAAACCCUUAAAAGUAGACGGCAAUAACAUAAUACUUGUAGUUGUAGGGUAGAAGAAUUGGAUGCUUUAUAUAAUUAGACAUUAGUGAUUGAUCAUUGUUUGUUUCAUCAGACAAAGAUGAACUCAUUAGGUAAUUUAUAACUUAAGGACUAAUUAGUGGUUUAUAAAUAAUAUACAGGAAAACCAACUUUCGAACUACCUGUCCAUCUUUUGGAUCGAAGAAUCUGUCCAUGUCACGAAGUCUGUUUUUUUUAGCAAACUACAUUUUAGUUACUAACCAAAUUUCAGUUUACAAAUACAUCUUUUAUACAUUAUCUUACAUAUAUAAGGACAAAAUUUUACAAUUAAGGACAAGUGGUUAUGCUGUUGACAUGUGUUGGCUACAGAUUUACAAUUUUACCUUUCAUUAAAAUUAAAACAGAGUCAACUGAACUAAAAGUAAUGUCGAGUGCUACUGCUGGCUUCUACUAUGUCGAGUGCAUCGAUGAUCGUUCAAUCGGUUUCAUAUCAGUCUUUCCGAGGUCAGGUGAUGAGAGUCACAAGGCUGAUAUCAGUUAUGCUGUAUCCCCAAAUUACUGGGGACAUGGGAUAGUCACUGAAGUAGUUAAGAUUGCCGUCCCUCAAGAGUUCAAGGACUUCCCUCAUUUGCUUAGGUUGCAAGCUGGUGCAAUUCCAAACAACAAGGCCUCUCAGAGGGUUUUGGAGAAAGCUGGGUUUCAAAGGGAGGGUUUGUUCAGGAAAUAUGGAUAUAUGAAGGGAGAAAUUAUUGAUUUGGUUGUUUAUAGUUUUCUUUCUACAGAUUAGAUUAGUAGAUGGUCCAAAAGUCCAGCAAUGAUUAACUGGUCUUCUACGCCAAGUAUGUGGACUUAUAUAUAUGUCUAUCACAAGCAAUUGGUCAAGUUUGCUACUUCCCUUUGCCUUAAAACAGAAUAAGUUUGCUACUUCCCUUUGUCUUAAAACAGAAUAAGUUUGCUACUUCCUUCUUGUGUUUGGUUGGGCAUUUGUGUCUUUUUUAGUCUGUGUGCGUUGGCCUGAUUUUGUUCCAAAUUCAUGAGCUCUAGCGGAACGGUCACUUAUGGACCUAAAUUACGACUGUCUUGAUUCGGUGCAAUAUCUAUACCGUUUAUGUUUGUUUUAUGUUUUUUUUUCUUUGAUUCUGUUUGUUUCUUUCCGUUGUAUGCUUCCAAUAUGAAAUCUGUGUGUUUGCAUCCAUCUCUUUUUGUAACACGUUCUUAAUGUUCUUAAUGAAUGAAGUUACUAUUUGAUAAAAAAAGAAAAAAUUGCUACUAUCACAUCUGCUUCUCUAUGUUAAUGUAUGCAAGCUUACACUGUUAAUGCGAUGUUUCCUUGAUUUUGACAAGUCAUCUUGCUUUUUUCCUUCCAUUCUCACUUGGGGUAUUUUCCCUAGCUUCGUUGCAAUUUGGCUGGUUUGAGUGACUGAAGUGGUUCAAAUACAGACGAAAGGCACCAUCUCGUUGUUUUCCUCAUAAGCAAUGUGGAAACAUGCCUCAAUGAUGACAUACCCCAUCAUGAUGUGGUCGCUAACACUUCCACCAACAGAUUACCCGACUGAUUGACACCACAACGGUGCAUCGCCAAAAAAAAAAAAAUGGUACCAUGUGAGACACACGGAUGUCAUUUAAACAAAAAAACAAAAAAGGUUUCAAAACGUAUUUAAACAUUACCGUUAUUUGAGCAAUGUGACGUGUAACUUUAUUUUUUGUCAAAAGCAACACCUGAACCAAAGGUGUAUGCCGUAAGUUUCAAUCUGAGGUGGCGAAGUUUUGGUGGGGGAAAAAAAAGGAAAUAAAAGAGGUAUUCAUUGGUGCAAAUGGGAGUUGUUUUGCCAUAAUAAGGAGGGAGGACCGAGUUUCAGAGAUCUGGAAGGAUUUAAUCAAGCCCUGUUAGCUAAGACCCUUUGGAGGAUUGUGUUACAUUUAAUAGAGUGCUUCAUGGUAAAUAUGUGCACAAUGGUGAUUGGGCAGCUGCUAGAGUGGGAGUGAAACCAUCUUUUGUUUGGCGGGGUUUGAACUGGGGAAAAGAUCUGCUGUGUGCUGGAAUGAGAUGGUGAAUUGGAUCCGGUGAAUCAGUUAAAAUUUGGGGAGAUAAAUGGUUGCCGUCUCCUUGGUCUUUCAAGAUUGUAACUCUUUGCUUUAUGGAUCCAAAUGCAAAGGUCAGCCAGCUUAUGAGCCAGCCAGGUAUGUGGAAGAUGGAUUUUAUUAAACAACAUUUUUUACCGGUUGAUGUAGAAAAAAUAUUAGCUGUUCCUUUAUGUGAUGGGAAUAGAGCGGAUGUGGCCGCGUGACACUUUAACGAAGAUGGAAGAUAUUCCGUUAAAUCCGAAUAUUGGUUUGGGAUGGAGUUGAAGAGGCUAAAGAAGGGAUCGAGUAGUGGUAGUGGGCAUGCUAAUUCAAACUCCAUUAAUAUUUAGAGCAUUAUUUGGGACCUAUUGGUUCCCAAUAAGGUCAAACUUUUUUUAUGGAGAGCUUGCCAUGCCUCUCUACCUUGUGUUGGGCGCUUGUUUAAGCGUAAGAUAUGUUCUCAUAGUGGAUGUUGGAGAUGUGGAGAAGGGGAGGAGACGGUGAUUCAUAGUUUGUGGAUUUGUUGUGUGGCAAAACAAGUUUGGAAGUGUACAUGGGAAGGUUAACAAAGGAUGGCAGGUUCAUAGCUUUGCUGAUCUAUUGGGUUUGAUUGCCCUAGAAGGGAACAAUAAAAACACUAAAUUGUUUACGUAAUUUGCUAGUGGAUAUGGAAGGAUAGAAAUGGGGUUUGUCAUGGGAAAAAAGGCAUGGAGUGGAAACAUGAAUUUGCUGGCGUAAUGUUGAGAAAGAAGAACUUACUGAUGGGUGGUGUUAAUAGGGCUGAAAUGCAGCAGAGUUCUGGAGAUAUGGAGAGGGGUAUUAUACAUGAACAGGCUACCAGUUUGUACUUUGAUGGAGUUUGUGAUAUUUAGUACAAACAUUGUGGGUCUUGGAGUUGUAACCUAAUGGGGGCCAUUGCGGUACUCAUGAAAGCUGCAUUCAAACCACACAACAUUGAAGCUUUGGUUCUAUGGCAUGGUACGAAGGUCUGCAGGCAAAUAGGCGUAACAAAGUUGGCUAUUGCAAGUGACGCGGUUAACGUGAUUAAUGCUAUUGGCAAAAAUGAACUUGACUUGAGCGAUAUUGGAGGAAUUAUGGAUGCAGUUCGUAAGAUGAAAGUGGAGUUAGAAUCUUGAAAACAUGUGCGCAAGCGCCAUAACAAAGUCGCUCAUACUUUUGCCCGAAAUGCCUUAAUGAUGGUUCAACCUCCUUGGCUCCAUGUAGUUAUUGACACUAUUAGUAGAAGCUAGUCUGGGGAUUCUCUCAUGAGAAGCCCCUGGUAUUGAUGUACUUCAAGUUGAUUCAAUAAAAUAUUUUUCAAUAAAAUAAAAACUUUUAAAGUGAAAUGGUAAGGUCAUCUAUAGUCAUUCCGGCAAGAUAUAACAUGUGAGUCACACAUCUCAUUUCAUAGGGUUAAAUAUGACAUUUUGUAGUCAUUGUGGGUAUCAUGAAUAUUGUCUAGUGUCUUUUUUUAUUUUAGAAGUAUUGUCUAGUGUCUACUCAUGAUAAGAUCUAAAAGAAAUACAUAAAAAGGAGAAAAGUCUAAUCAUUUUUGUUAUUGUAUCGUUAAAAAAUAGUGUUACUAAAAUUCUAGUGCCGUUCAUGAACCGAGCAUUGUUAAAUACUAUUGUUAUUGCUAUCCUCUGUACUUGGCUUAAGAAUGAAAAAAAAAUGAAGGGAGCUCAGUAAGAUUCACCUGACUUGUUAUUUUAAGCCGUAACAAAAGUGAUUGUAGUUGGCUUUAACGUUCAAGCAAACUCGAAAAGUUUAAAUAUUGAUUAUGACAAAAUUAAAAUAUAGAUACAAUCGACAAAACGAAUAUAUUUUCAGGUGUCAUUUAGAGUUAUGAGUUUAAAUCUUAUUAACAUAUAUAUUGUUGGUGAGCCAUGAUGUGGUUGGUCAGGUAUAACAUAAGUGAUGACGUUGAGGUCAUAGUUUCAAUUUCAUUGACAUAUGUAAGGGUGAGUGAGUGAGUGAGUGAUUAGUAAACUUUUCUUAUUUAAGAUAAAAACAAAAUGAAAUGCGACACGUGAAAAAUAAAAUUAUAUUAAUCUGCAAUGUAAAUUUAUUUCAACUUUCGUCUCUCUUCUUAAAAAGAAAAAAAGGAAAUCGGUUUUCUUCUUGUUCAUCUUUAGUUGUUGAGUCGGGGCGGGACGAUGUGGAGGAACUCGGUGAGUUUCUCGUCUCAGUUGAUUAGGUUGAACAAGACGCUGUUCAAUCCUUCCACAUCAGGAAACGACGUCGUUCGACCACUGCUGCACUGUCGCUCCGAAUUCCACCCUUACUCCUCUUCACCUCCGUCGUCUUCCGAUUAUCUCAAGCUAGGUUUUCAGCCCUCCGAUGGACUCCAAGCCCUUUCUGCUACCACCUCUGAUCUCGCGUCUCUCGCCUCCAAAUCUGCAGACCUCACUCGUCAAUAUGCCCGCUGCUAUUGGGAGCUCUCCAAAGCUCGCCUCAGGUACCUUUAUCUUGUUUUGUUCUGUAAACAAUACCAUUUCUUCGGAGAUUGUAGUGAUUUUGAUCCUUGCGUGGUGUUUGUUCUGAUUCAAAUGAGUUGAUACAUAGGAAUAGCUGAAAAUAGAGCUUGUUGAAAUUUGAGUUAGGGUUGAUUGUUAUAGAUGAUUGUGAUCAUGUAGUUUCGUUACUUCUUUAUUAUCACAAGGCAUUACAGCUUGGCUUUCGUACUGGAUUCUCAUAGGGUCUCACGGGGGAAUUUCGAACAUUUUGUCUCAUGAACUCGGUUUAAAAAGUUGUCUGAUUGUUUUGGUUUUUUUUUUAAUUGUAAUUCAGCAUGCUAGUUGUUGCAACUUCUGGAACUGGAUAUGUUCUCGGGAGUGGCAGUGCCGUAGAUCUUGCUGGACUUUGUUACACAUGUGCUGGUACCAUGAUGGUUGCUGCAUCUGCUAACUCUUUGAAUCAGGUUUGUUCUUUUUCUUGCUCUUCUAAUUUUGCACUUAUAUUUUAUUUUAUUUUUGCACACUUAUGUUUGUAGAAUAUAUGUGUAGCUUGUAUAUUAUGGUUAGUGUUCUUACAGAUAUCGACUUGUCCUGCGAGUUUUAAUGCGCCUGUAAAUAAGAUUUUUCUCUUGUUUCAUCUCAUGUUAUUUUUGAUAAAGGGUUACUAUGGAGCCCUUCUAAUGAGGGACCUCUAUAAUGAGGACUAGUUGAGGACUUUUAGGUUUGUGGUUUAAAAGACCCAUUUUUCGAUCACAUUUUUAGCAUCUCAUCCGUUCAAUUUUUAGGUCUAUAUGAGUAGAUCACUUAUACAAAUUUUCAUCCAAAUUAGUGAUCGUUAAGGUAACGAACUAAAUCAAAUUAAUGGACUAACCAAAUCUGUCAAACAUGAACCGUUCAAGUUCAUAAUUGGUAAAUCACACUUAUGAAUGCCUUAACGAUUUUCAAUAUGGCUGAAAAUUUGCAGAAAUGAUCUACUCAAAAAUACCUAAAAACUGAACGGCCAAGAUGUGGAUAUACGAUCGAAAAACGGGAUAACCGAAAAGUCCUCAACUAGUCCUCGUUAGAAGGGCUCCCAUAGUUACUAGUACAUAAUAUAGUAGAUAAAAACGUCCUACUCGCUUUGUUAUCUUGUACGUGCUUAUGAUAAUUGUAUGAUGCAAUAACAAUAUAUUCCGCAGCUUACUUCACAAACUCUUUCUACAUUCUCUAAUUAUGUUAACAAAGUAAACAACUGAGAAAAAGAUGAACCCGAUGCGGUAAAUAGGCACUCCUGAUACAACAUUGAAGGAACCUUAAGAGUUCCCUUUAACUGUUGACUGAUUAUGGUGCAUGUUUAGCUUGCACUAGUAAAAUUUUGUUCAGCUGUUGAUCUUGAGGUGGGUUAUGUGGUGCGAGACUCCGAGUAGUGGAAUAUUGCAUGUGGUAUCCUUACUUCUCGAGUGUUUUAGAGUUGACUUUUUGACUUGAUACCAUGUUGAGCUAUUGUAAUUUUUUUUGUUAUAGGUGUUUGAGAAGUAUAAUGAUGCCAAAAUGAAGAGAACGAUGCAAAGACCCCUACCUUCUGGACGCAUUACGAGGCCUCAUGCAGUUGCCUGGGCAUGUACCACUGGUUUAGCUGGCACUGCUUUGUUGGCAAGCAAGGUGGCCCAAUGAAAAUACUCGCUUAUAAAACUAUUGUAUGACAUUAGUACUUAUUUGCUAUCAGUUUGGGGACUAAUGUCAGUUUUUAUGACAAGGUUGUUGCAGGCUAAUAUGCUGGCAGCUGGUCUUGGAGCUUCCAAUUUAAUACUUUAUGCAUUCGUGUAUACUCCAUUGAAGCAGAUUCACCCAGUAAAUACAUGGGUUGGCGCUGUUGUUGGUGCUAUCCCACCACUUCUAGGGUAAAGUGAUUCUAGGACUUGCUCUGUUAGUAGCUUUGACUAUUGAAAUGUGCUCUGUUAACUCUAAGUGGGUGUAAUCUAAGUCUGUGAGUGUGCAUGCACGCACCUCAUGCAAUUGCUUUCUGCUCUAGCUAGGGCCAUUUACUGGUUAAUCUCAUUUUUAUGUAUUUUUUUUCUUCUUUUGUGAUCAUUCAACUUCCCCAUGUUAGGUUAUACUCUUGGUAAAUUCAUAUGUUUGUUUGUUUGUUUGUUUUUUUUCUCUUCUGUUUUGGGCCUAUGGCCUCACCUGUACCAAAAAAUAAAAUAAAAUCAUACAGUAUGUUUGUUUCUCUCAAGAACUUCAAUUUUAACCUUGAAAGAAAAAGAAAAAAAUGCUCGUCCAAGGAUCUUAAGGAAGCUUUUCACUGUGUUGUAUAAUUAUUAUUAUUUUUUGAUCAAACUCUGUUGUAAAAUUAGAAAAAGGAUAUAUGACAUAUGUAAAUUUUGGAAGUCUUCAACUAAUUCUAUAGAUAAUGAUAUUAUCACUUGUGCACAAUCCUAGCUGUUUGUGAGUUCUACUUUUGGGAAGUGAAAUCUUGCAGAACACAUAUUGAUUGUUUUCCGGUUAUGGAAGUGCGGCCUAAUCCCUGUAGGAUGACUCUAAAAAUACAAAUCUGGAAAAGAAGAAAAUUUUUAUAAACGUGCGAAGAACUUCUAGAAAUUCUUUCCCAUAAUCAAAUUAUUAUGAAAUUGUGAUCGACCUCGAUUCAUUACCACAUUAAAUGAGUUGAUAUUGAUGCUGAAGCACAUAUUCCUGCAUGCUUUCUCAUGAUUCCUGUUUUGGACUUUCAGUUGGGCGGCAGCUUCUGGCCAGAUUUCACUCAAUGCAAUGAUUCUCCCAGCUGCUUUAUAUUUCUGGCAAAUUCCUCAUUUUAUGGCCCUUGCAUACUUGUGCCGCAAUGACUAUGCUGCUGGAGGGUAUGUAUGUUCUCUCAUCUGAAGUCCUGCUGUCUGAAAGUAAUUGGUGAAUGUCACUAGUUCUUUCAUCGUCUUACUUUAGCCAUUUUGGCAUCAGUCGGACUGUCUCACCUGUUUUAUUCUGAUUAGUUUUUAAAUGGGGUACUUAUUUCUACCUUUGUUCCAUGAUCUAUGGUUAUGUAUCAGAAUCAGUCAAUAUUUGAGAAUGCACUAUGAGUACAAUGCAGAUAUGAAUAAUAUCAUUCAAAUGACAAAAAAAAUUGCAGAUAUGGUUGUAUUAUCUGAAACAUUAUCUAGUGUCAAGGGUAUUCAAUGUGCGUUCACUAGUUUUUUUUGUGAGACACCCUUUAAUGUUUUUCUUAUAUGCUAUAUAUAUAUAUAUAUUCAGGUUUAGGAUGUUUUCUCUUGCGGAUGCUUCUGGUCAAAGGACAGCUUCAGUGGCUUUAAGGAAUUGCGCUUACCUUAUCCCUUUGGGAUACGUGGCAUAUGAUUGUGAGUCAGAAGAUUCCCAAACAGAAUAGCUCAUGUUUUUUAAUCCUACUUUCAUCAAAGUUUCAUUUGUAUCUCUGGCAUUUGUGGUGUUACUUUGUUUUUCAUUGUUCAGUAUAGGAAAAUUUUAUGCUCUGGACUACUACUGAUCCCAAUGCUGAUGAUUAUUAUUAUUAUUAUUUUUCUGUAGGGGGUGUCACUUCUGGAUGGUUUUGUAUUGAAUCUACCAUUCUUACUCUCGCAAUCAGUGCAACGGCGUUUUCAUUCUAUAGAGACCGUACAACACAUAAAGCUAGGAGGAUGUUUCAUGCCAGCCUUCUUUAUCUUCCUGUAUUUAUGUCAGGGAUUCUGUUUCACCGUAUCUCUGAUAAUCAACAAUGCCUUGCUGAAGAGAGUUCACAGAGUAUUGCUGAGCUUUCAAUGUCCUCACAAGAUGGAAACGCUAUCCAGAAACACAAGUUAAAGAAGCAUCGCCCACCCGUAUCAUAUGCUUCUGUUGCACCUUUUCCUUUUCUUCCGGUUCCGUCAUAUGUCUCUUCAUGAAUAUUCCAGUCCCCUGGUUUUGUAGAAUAAAGGUCGAAAGCAGCCCAAUAACUAUUUUUUUGUUGCAAAGAUGCACAUAUUUUCCAGUCUUGCAUAUCAGGUUGAAAACCUGUAUGUGUUGCUAAUGCAAAUCCUUAUUUGUUUUUCCUUUUCCGGCAAAUGCUCUAUUCUUUUGCUGUUGCGACUCAGCGAGUUUAAAGUACAACUUGUGAAUCAUACAUGUAUUGUUCAUUUGAGAUAUGACAAACGAGUACUUCUACACGUCAUUAUUAAGGUUUCAAGUUCUUCCAUUGCUCGAUCUUGAGAAAUUCUUCCUCAAAAUCAUUGGUAGGCUUUGGCAACUUUAAGCAAACCAAAUAAAUGAUUGCAAUGCAUCAGUAUAUCUUAGCAUCAGCCAACUUUCUUUUAUGCAAGUCAGUGAAGUAACCUUGUUGUAAGUUCUGUAACGGAUUACAACAGAGAGGCUUCAACAAACUGAAAGUUUCACCAACUACCAAUUACAACUUUAUCGAGGGCUUUCAUACGUUCAACUUUAUUCUUCGACCGUAUGACUGCCGAUUCAGGACAUCCACACCAAGUUAUUCAUGCUGAGUGAUGAAUUUAUUGCUCUUGCACAAAUUAUGCCUGGCAUAAUGCACUAACGUACAUGAUCAGCUACAGAUUGAGUCGGAACUCUACUGUGUAACAGCAUGAAUCUGCCACCCCAAGUCUGAGUCUGAACAACAUGUAGCAGAUAUUCAGACAGGUCACUGGAUAAAUAAUGAAGAGUCCUUCUCAACCUUAUUAUGUCCCCUGGUUCCGGGAAAUACGUGCAGUUGAACAAGAAUAAACUAGAGUUUUAAUUGUUGAUUCAACCUCCAAAAGUCUGCUCUUCACGACUUCACUAAAGUAGCUUUCAACACCAGAGGAGAAAAGGCUAUCUAUUCUGUGGAUGCAAUCUAUUUCCGUUCCCUGCUUAGCUAUAUGUUACGACAAAUCUAUGUCACCAAUAAUCUCUGCAAGAACAAAAUCCGUCUUGAAAUCUGUGAAACCGGGCUCGAUCCCUCACAAUGAUUUCCCUAUUAUAAACUUUUGAAACAAGUUUCAUCACCACAUGACAAUCAUCACAUAUUCUUAGGUUCUUGAUCACCUGAAUCGGUGUCCCCUCACUAGUGCUGAUCAAACCAAAAGCCACAGCCAACUUUUCACAAUGGUAGCCCAAUGCAUUUUCUUUCUCCUCCUCUCCAAUAUCAUGCAACACAUGAUUUGUCUUUGCCACAUAUCCAUAGUCUUUAAUCCUAAAUUUGAUCUCAUCUAGCUUUGAAUAAAUCUCACAGCUGUUAACAUGGCUUUGAUCACCAUUCAAAAACUUGUGUAUCACACCUUCCACUUCUAUGUAACCAAAACCCGGUACCUUCUUCACAUCCCUUCUCUUCAUGGCCUCCCUCACCCUUCCCACAUCAUCCCAUCUCUUGUGAGCCGCGUAAACAUUUGAUAACAACACAAAAUCACCACAACCCUCAGACCCCAACUCAACCAGUUUCCUUGACGCCAUCUCUGCCAUUUCCACAUUCCCAUAGGUCUUGCUGGCACCAAGCAAAGUCUGCCACAGUACUACAUCCGGAAACAUAGGCAUCGAUUUCACAAUCUCAUAAGCCUCUUGAAGUCGCCCAGCUCGUCCCAACAAAUCAACCACAGUCCCAUAAUGCUUAACAUUCGGCACCAUCCCACCGCCCGCCAUUGAAUUAAACAACUUAACGCCAUAAUCCACAAGUCCUCCAUGAUUGCACGCACACAACACAGCAAGAUACGACACUGCAUCAGCCCUAACUCCAUUUCUACCCAUCUUCUGAAAAAGCUCAAGCGCUUUCUCGCAAUCCCCAUGGAUCGCAAAUGCCAUUAUCAUCGUAUUCCAAGUAAUCAGAUUCUUCCCACAGUUCAUACUCUCAAACACCCGAUACGCUCUAUCCACAGAGCCGCAUUUCGCAUACAUAUCAACAACUGCGUUGCAAACAAUGACAUGUGUAUCAAGCUUCGCAUCCACUAUAAAGCCAUGAACUCUCUCUCCUCCACUCAACGCACCCAGUUGAGAACACGCCGAGAGCGCGCCGAGCACAGUCACUUCAUUCGGCUUCAACCCCUCAUCCUCAUUCAUCCUCCAAAACAAAGCUAAAGCCUCACUGGGUCGGCUCCCCUGAGCCAACCCAGCAACCAAAGCGUUCCAACAAGCCAAAUCCCUCUUCGGCAUUUCGUCGAACACCUUCUGGGCAAAACCCAGAUUCCCAACUUUAGCGUACACGUCAAGCAAAGUAGUCUGUAACAACACAUCGCCUCCGAAUCCAAACCUUACAACCUGCGCGUGAAUCUGCAUGGCCUCCGAGGACGCCAGAGCGCGUGCACACGCUUUGAGAGCGAAGGAGCAAGUGAGCGCGUCAACGUGUUGGGGAGAGCGGGAGAUGGCGGCGUACCAUGAGAUGGCUUGGAUGGGUUGGAGGCUCUGGGCGAGGCCGCGAACGACGGCGUUCCAGUGGCGUGUGGAGGGAGUUUGGAGGUAGUGGAAGAGGGUGGUGGCGUAAGGGAGGUUGGCGACGGGGGGAAGAGCACAGAGCUCGAGGAGCUUGAUGGUGAUGGAGGGAUAGGAUUGGAAUCUGCCGAGGGUUACGAGGCGGGCUUGGAGCUUUUUGAUGUGGAUGAGAGAGUCGCAUUUCUGUAGCAGCAGCUCCAAGUUGGCCAUUCCAUCACAAAAUGACCAGCAUGUCGCGACUCGCGAGGCUUUUGUACUUAACGUAUUCAUUUCACGUCUUACGUUUCAAAAAAAUUAAUUUUCUCCUAUUUGCAUUAGGAAUGGUUAUCACUCAAAAGGGUAGCACAGUGAUGUGCGCAUGACCUGCAUGGUGAAGCUCAAGGGGGCCGGAAAACCACCGUCUCCGCCGCCUGAUGAUGAACCACAAGUUUCUGGUGAGUUAUGUCUCACUUGGAAUAUAAGCUCCAUGUGAUAAAGAGUGUUAGGCUCGACCAGAUACAAGCCUCAUUUGCAAACCAUUUACAACUUACAAGCAUCAUUCGUUGGCCUCUUCUCUAGCUAAGUUUCAAACCAUAUGUUGUAAUCGGGAUUCAAGCAACAAAUGACGAAGUUCAUUCUUAUAAGGAGCCUUCACACCACCCUCUCCCUAGGUUGAAUGGUACAACCAUCACUCAGCCGGUCGGAUCUGUCCGCUUUGGCUCUAUACCACCAUCUCAUACUAUCCAGCAACGAUUUGCUAGUAUCUAUGAGGGCGCUCUUCGGCUUCUUCGAAGUUCGACCAUUGUGGACAGAUCUAAGGGCAACGACUUUUUUUUGAAUCCCAAAAAAAUCUAUCCCACCAUUAAAACUCCAUAAUCGUGCAAAAUAGUCCUUAUUCUCUACUAGUGCAGAGACUAUUAAUCAACCAUAGUAGCAAAAGAUUUUGACAAGUCAGAGAAACACAGAAAUCCCACGAGCUAAUUAGAAAUGGCAUACAUAACAACGAUGAUAGGUAACAAAUAUAGUCGAGCGAAAUUAAACAGUUACAUAUUAGGAAAAGCAUGAUGUCCAUCAGAUAUGCAGUGCAGCUUGUCCUUCCUAUUCACCAGCAUAGUACAUCUUGGUUUUAUGUGCUAACCGAGUGAUGGAGUUACAACACAAAGAGACCACCCAAGCGGGUACGUAGCAGACCAUGAAAAUUAUAGUACAGUUCCUCAGAUAGGAUACUUGUAUCAGAACACGCAAGAACCCAGGGCUUUGGCAACGAAUGAUCCACAAAUCGAGGUGCAAAUCAGAGAACUUGGAUUACUGCUACUAAUGUCAGAAAGACUAGUGGCACCAGAUUUCAAAUAGGCCAAUUUGAGAGUCCAGACAGCUACAAGUUUGAACUAACUAGUAAAGAGUAUUGCUCUAAUGGUGACUCCAUUUGUUUUAAACAACGGUAUUUUAGAAAAGUAAUUAGAUAAGUAACACGAUGACAUAUUCUAAUAUCUAAUAAUGCAACAUUCUUAUACUAUGAUUAUGGUGGAGAAUAAACCUGACGACUUUUAAUUUCAUUCAACAACUAAGAGGUUGUAAAUAUUUGACCACGCAAGACGCGCCGACCAAGUAGAGCAUAUCUUAAGAGCAAAUGCAGCAAAUGUCCAAUUGUAUGGGUUGGAUUGAGGGUUGGACCAAAAACUGCAUCCACCGGUAGAAAAUUGGUCUAGGUUAAAGCUGGGCCCCAUGCGGGACCUACCUAGCUAGACCAUGACCUGGGUUGAGAAUUAACCUAUCUCUUACCCCAGACCGGUUUUUCAACCGAGCUCACAUGACAUCAACUUGCACAUAAGGGAUAGAUCUUGCACAUGGGGCUGACGCCUUUCCUCCAAUGUUAAUUUAAUAUGGACAGUUCAGAUCAAGAUCUAACGGACCAUAUUAAAAGACAACAUAUACUUUAUAUAAUGUAUUAGUAAUUGAUCUUUGGAUUAAUCUCGUUGUUGUAUUAGAGUAUCUUUAGCAAUGCUAGCCAUUUUUAAGUUAAAUUUUAGUCAAAUUAGCUAAAAUGUCAUUUUGGCUAGCCACUUUAGAAAUAUGGCUACAUCAAUGCUUUCUAUUUUAGCUAGCAUUACAUCAACAUUAUUCUUCAAAUAGAAAUUAAAUAGUUUAAAUAUAUUUAUAUAUCAUAUAAAAUAUCUUACAAGGGAUGUAAUAAAUUAUAGCUAGCCUCAUUUGAAUUAUCUUGCUAGCUAAAUAUAGCUAGCGAGAUAGCUAAAAGUUAUAAUAAUUUAAGUUUGGUUAGUCUGCUGGAGCUCCUAAAACAUCCAAAAAAGUUUAACACGCUCUCUAAAAUAGCUAAAAGCUAAAAUAGAGAGUCUGUUAAAGUUGCUCUUAUCAAACCAAAGACUAAAGACUGAUAUGGAUGAAUGGUGUAUUAACCCGGGUUGAGAAUUAGUCCAACCCACUUAAAAUGGGUGCAUUUUCUCUAAGGCACACAAUCAAGGUGCAUAGAACGAGACCAAACCAUGUUGUUCUAUCAAAAGAAGGUAAGUUAUUGCCAAUGUAAAGCCGUAAUUAGCUAAAAAUAAACCAUACAAUAGCUGACAAUACAAGAAAGAAAAAAGCAUAACAAAAUGGGUUUAGUAUCCAGCAAGUCAAAGCCCCUACCCAAAAUUUAGCAGGCCUAAGUAACAAGUUACAGAAGACACCGCGCUGCCAUAUUCGCGCCUGGCCCAACGUUCCACAACCUACAACCCUCUCCCUUGCUAGCCAAACAUUCCCCUCCCAAGACCAGAAUCUAUCUGGCCAAGGCCAACCAAUCCAACUAGCCAAGGCCAACCAAUAUCAGAUCCAAACAAGUCAACCCAGAUCAACUCACAAGUAAGGCGUAGAUAGUUAGGGGCGAGAGGAACCCUCUCAAAUUUUCAAAAAAAGUAAUUAGCCUUAAUUUGUAUUAGAUAUUAAUGGAAAUAAAACAUAAAUGGACCCUUCUCCUCUAUGAAAUCCUUAAUUAGUCUUAAAUAUUCUUCAACAAUAAUGGAAUGAAAUACAAAUUUAUAUUAUUAAAAUACUUAAUCCAAUUAAUAAAAAAUCAUGUCAAGAGUUUCUUACCUUACUAAUCCUUACUAAUAUGUAAUUUAAUGCUUUGAAUUCCAUUUACGAUUUUUUUCCUUUACAAAUAAGCUAGCUAAAUGGAAAUAACACAUUAAUGUUUACCAUACAUCGACGUAUAUUAUCUCUCAAAAAAAGAAAAAGUAACAUGUUCUUUUUCAAUAUUUAUCGUGCAGAAAUUCUAAAAUCCAAAGUUUAUUUGAGAUGAUUUAAUAACCUUUUCAAGGGUGCAUGUUCAUUUACGAGUUGGUACAUAGAACAAAAAUAUUGUUGAAAUUAAGUUUUCGUCAUUUUUUUAAGCAAAAUUAUGUUGUUGUUAAAGAGUGACUGAAAAUAAUUUAAUUUUUUAAUUAAUUAAAUUUGACCCUUUUAAGUAAGAUGUCUGACAACGUCACCUAUCUAGAUCGACUCCAACCCUCCCACUCGAGAUUAGAUUCAAGAAUCCCCAAGACGAAGCCCAGAUUGGAGCCCAGCGCCGACAUCCUGCUAUCGAACUGUUGCCGCUCACCCCCUCCCCGUUACAGGCACCUUACCACUAGGCCCUCCGAGACCAAUGCAGCUUUACGUGACUACGUCCCAAAUUUGAUUGCAGUUUGGAAUUUCUAUAUAUAAAAUUUCGAUGCAGAAUAACUCCUUUUGUAUUGGCUUGAUUCUUUAUUCUUGAACUCACGUUGGAGAUACAACUCCUUAAUUCCAAAACACUAGUUGAUUGCUAUCAUAUCUAGACAGCCAGAAACAAUAUAGUUUUUCUACAAAGUCAUAAGUCCCCUGCUCAAAUUUCAUUUGUUGUAAAUUUCUUGCAUACUUAUUUUUUUUAUCAGGUAAACAACUCAAAUAUUACAACCUUUCACUUACUAAGGGGAGACUAUGCCACUAAACCAAACUCAUUGUUCUGCUUUAAAUAAUAUACCAUUGAUUAACAGUUUCUCUUCUUUUGUUUUAAAUUACUCCCCAUUUGAUUUUAUUAAAUGGAAGUGAAAUUCACACUCCUCAAAUUGAAAUUCACACUCUCACUUUCUAUUUUUAGUCAUUAUUAAAAUACAAAAUUUGAGUUACUAAGGAGAAAAUUUAAGUUACAAAAAAUUGAAAGUGCAUGUGUGGAUUUCAAUUUGAGAGUGUGGAUUUCACUUUCCUUAAAAAAUUGAAUUUUUUGGUUCUGUCCUGGUAAUCGACAAACAGCUGCUGGUUUUGUGAUUCAAGAUGAUUAGCUUCCACACAAAAUCAAUUGUUUUGCUGGCUGUAGCCUCAGCUAUAAAUAAGAGAGCAAGUAUAAUGAAGAAUAUGAAAAGUGAGUGUAUUUCCAGUUUCAUGAAUGUCCUUGUUGUUGCCAUUCAUGGAUACCCAAAUAUGAAGAAUGAGUGUAAGUACAGUUACACAAAGACUCCAUUAAAAACAAAAUCAAAGGUCCUUCACGCGUCCAGAGUAUUGUCUAAAACAUCAGACAAUCGGUUAGCAUAAUGAACUUCCACUCUUCCAGUCCUCUUCACAUGGUUUUAUAAGUUUUCUUUGUAUUCCUUUGGUUCAUCGAACAAAAGAAAAUUGGCGAAAUGUACUUAAACAAAUCGACAAGCAAACAUAAAUUGACAGUCGAUCUGCAUACCACAAGCAUAAUGUUCCAUAGAGUUUCCGGCUUCUUAUUCAUGACAUCUUGCAUAUGGCUUCCUAGUUUGAGUAUUUUGGUUCCCGGCAUAUAUUUCGAUAAGCAAAUUUCGUUGCAGACUGACUAGUAGACAAUGCUCAUCAUCAUUUUUCAUCGACCUUCUGCAGCUGGUGGUUUUGUUUUCAGAGAUUGUUUUGGAAGACCCCUGAAUACUGCAACAAUCAACUCAGGAACGACUACUGUACCAAUAGCUGAAGCUCGCGCCCUUUGUGACUGUUUAAAAGUGGCGCUGCGAAAAGGCUACAACUAUUUAGAGGUGGAAGGUGACUCCAAACUGGUCAUCGAUGUUGUUAAUGACACCUCACACCCCUCUUGGAGACUCCUUAAGCUGGUUCAGGAUAUCAGAAAUUUGGCAACGAACUUUGAAAGCAUUUCUUUUUCCUAUGUUUAUAGGGAGGCAAAUUUUGUUGUUGAUAGCUUGGCAAAUAUAAAACACAAUGCUUCUAGCUUAACUUUGUGGGAGAAUGGAGUUCCCGCUUCUGUCUUGGGAGCUCAUCUCUACGAUAUUGUAAACCUUGGGUGUUUCCACGAUGCCUCUAUUAAUCAAGUUCUUUUCUAAUAAAAAAAUAAUAAUAAUAAUUAUUCUUCAUCAAUAAUAUGGUUUCACCGGUGUGCCUCUAUUAAUCAAGUUCUUUUCUCAUUAAAAAAUAAUAAUAAUAAUAAUCAUCCUUCAUCAACAAUAUGAUUUCACUAUUUCCCUUUGUAGUGUUCUAUUUGGAUCAGUGAGGAAGGCGUGUAGAUGGAGUUCUUGUAAUUUUAUUGUUGACCUUUUACUGUCAGAAAAAUAAAAUAAAAAAUAGAUGAAAAAUGGACCAGAUAGGAUCUAGAACGAAAACGAAAUGAAAGAAUAGAAGGGUAGAGAAGCGUCUAGAGGCAGAGGCAGGGAGUAAAAGAAAAACAGAAGCAUCUAGACCAAUUGGUUUUACCGUUUCAGUGCUCCACUCUAAAACCCCUCUUCUACGUUUCGUCCCGUUCUUACUCGCCACUCUCUCUCUCUCUCUCAAGUGAACUGUGCGGCGAUCAUGGGGUGUGUAUACCUUUUCUCUCUUCCCCUGAUUUCUGAUAUUCGAUUAGAGUUUGAGCUACAUGUAUUUUGCUGGUUUCUUCUUUUCGAUUUUCAGUCUAGGGUUUUGGAUUCCGCAAUUUUCCUUGGAUUGAGUGUACCGAGUUGUCAAUUAUAUUUCCCUCAAUAUCCAAAUUAAUUCAAAAAGUUGAAAAUUAAAUUGGAUCCAGUAAGAAUUUGGUGAAAAAUUACAUCACUCAAACUGUUGUUCCUUUAUUGCUUGAUUUGUGUCUAGAAAUCUGUUUGAAACUUUGGUAACUGCUCUAUGGAAAAGAUUGGGAAUAAGAUUUGCCUGCGGUUUGUUACUGCUGUAAAGCUCGAAACUUGUCGAAUUUUUUGUACAAAUUUUACUGUUUGAUUUCCUUACUGCAAUUCUUAAACUAGCCAUUCUGUUAUCAGUAUCAUUUGGUCUUUGUGUAAUAAUAUUGUAGCAUUUAUUAGGAAACCAGAAAUUAGAUAAUGUUUCGCUGUGUUUGUGGCAUCACAAGUUGUUGUCUUAGAGGACUGAUAACCAUUUUAAACAUGUAAAUUUUCAGCCGACAUCCUAUUGUCAAGUGGGCGCAGCGGCCUGAUACGCUUUACAUCACUAUUGACUUGCCUGAUGCCCAGGAUGUAAAGCUCAAGCUGGGUCCUGAGGGAAAGUUUCUAUUUUCUGCUACUACUGGAAAAGAAAAGACACCUUAUGAAGUUGACCUUGAUCUCUAUGACAAGAUUGAUGUAAAUGUAGGCCACCACUUGUAAUUUUCUGGCUGUCUUGUGUUUUACUGCUCAAUUAUAAGUUUUGUUAUUUACUCAAUUCUUACUGCAGGAGAGUAAGGCUAGUAUUGGCUUGAGGAAUAUCUGUUACCUAGUAAAAAAAGCUGAAAGUAAAUGGUGGAGCAGGUUGAUAAAGCAAGAAGGAAAAGCUCCUGUGUUCUUGAAGGUUGAUUGGGAUAAAUGGGUGGAUGAGGAUGAGGAGUCGGAUGCCCAAGGACGUGAGUAUUCCUAAGCUCCUUUUAAGAUUGUUAUCCAUGUUAUUUUAGUUUCCUGAAAAUAUUCUUACCCUGGUCUGCAUGAUAUUUAAUUUUGGAUUUCAGCUGGAAAUGACAUGGACUUCGGCGACUUAGAUUUUUCUGUAAGUAUCUAUAACAUGAUUUAUCAAACUGUAUAAUGAUGAAUUAUUCAUGAAGUUAAACAAUUGCUGUUUUUAUUGUUUCAGAAGCUGAGUAUGGGUGGUGGGGGCGAUGCUCUUGACGAUGGUGAGUUCCUGUAGUACUGCUUUGCAUUUAUAUCAUUCAGUUAAUAUGAUAUUCUGUUGGAACUGGACCUAGAAGUGAGCUACAGUGUUCAGAGUGAAUAUUCUGACUGUUUCUUUACCUUGUCCUAAUAGAAUUUGACGAUAGCAGUGACACUGAAGAUGAAAACGUUGAAGCACCAUCUACCACUGCAGAAUCUGAUACCAAGCUUCCUGCAAGUGUGGAGGAUGAAGCAAAGCCUUCAGUCUGAUGAGAAAGCUUUCAACUGGUGUGGUGUGUGUUUAGAUGCUCAGCCUGUUUGACAUGUCUUAGUUUAAGCACAUAAUGAAAUAGGAGUGUAAGGUUCUCUUCGUUUUUGGUUUUGUUAUCCUUAGAGUCGAGGUUCUCUUUUACAUGAUGUGGUACUUUUUUUUUUUUUUUGAAUAAUGAUGUGGUACUUAUAUGAUGGUGGUUGUUUCUAUUCUUUGUACUGCAUUGGAGCUGAAGUCUUUUCCCAUCUGCGUUGCAUUGUCCAACUUUCUGUGUCAAUAUAGCAUCAAAUCUCGGUCUUUAGCUUGAUCGACGAGGAAUAAGCAGUUUGGAACCAUAAAUACAUAUCUUAUCACCAUGAAGACUUGAGCGAUCUUCUAAUCUUGCUAUGUAUUUUAGUGUUAAUAACAUGUUAAUAGGUUCCUUAUUUAGUUAUGCCAGUUGUGUUUGGAAUAUGUUUUAUUUGUUUCAUCACUCUACCAUCUGAGCUCCAUUAGGACUAGUGUGCUCGAGUAAAAAUUUACCCAGUUGGUAGACACUGUUCAGUGAAACAUUGUGAGCAGUGGUGUUGGCAUAAAUAUGGGGAACAACUGUUACAAGUUCCAGGUACAGGUAUGGGUUACAAUUGUUUUUAAGUUCCAGGUUUACGACUGUGACCAGUGGUAUUCCUGAACCAACUUAGAUGCCUUGGAAGGCAACUGUGUUAUGUCAUGAGGCUGGGGGGUCGUUCUUAUAGCUCAGUAGGCUCCGGAAGUCCUUCUAACGGAGAACUACUCCUCUGAUUGGGUUCCAAGUUUAAACAUUUUGUGCUUGAGAUAUGAGGCAUAGGUGAAAAGUGAUUUCGGCAUUACACAAAAAUUGGAGUACCAAGUGAUAGAAUAAAUGACAAAAGUAUUCCCAACGUCGGCAGUAUAUAGCGUCUCAUCAUGUAAUGUAUAACCAAUGGUACAUGCGAUUUGCAUUUGUGUGACAUACAACAUGUGGAAAGGGCGUAACAAAUUCAAAGGGACCAGACACUGGAGAGAUUCACGGAGUUGUAUUUAGUCUCUAAAGCCAAUUACAACAAGGAGCGAGAUGAAAUGAAUAUUGUAAAUUUGCAAGGGCAAUUGAAAACAUCAUUUGAAAUCGCUCCAAAUUUAGGCGUCUGAUAUAACUCGAUGUCAAUUGGAAAGCCACAAGAUUUGGUGAGGAGAUGAUAUGUUCUCCGAGUAAACAGGCAACAACUAAUUAGACAGUUAGGCGAUAAUCUUCAAGUUUUAUGCAUCACUCCAGGGAGUAUCACGUCCCUCAUGGGCAGGGGUAAAAAAAGGAAAGCUUUAGCAGAGGACAAUGAAGGACAUCAAGGUGUCUUUGAAAAUGAAAAGUCCACGAGGCGCUUCAAUUGACAAACCAGACAUCUCAAUUGUGCAGUAGCAGACUGACUCUUAAGUUAUCAAAUACAAUAACAUACCAAGUACACAAACAAAAAUAUAGUUAAUCACACUGUCAAGCAAAUAUGAGAAGAAGCAUAUGCGACAGUCUUCCUUUUUAAUUGUAAUCGCCAUACAAUGCCACCUCAGCUGCUUGGCAGUCUCAUCACUACUUCAGCUGGUGGUCUUAGAGUGCAAACCAUUUCUUUCGUCUUCCCAAAAUAAACCUGCGAUAUGAGUUGUGUAAACUCUUAAUGAUUGAAUUUCAAAUUCCAACCAACUGCGCAACCUCAUUAUUUUGAAAUAUUGUUUUUGAACUGUAUAACAGGAAUGCAGUAAUAGAGAGAAGAAACCACAGUACCUGUUCCAGCGAGUUUCGCAGCUUACCCUCCAUUUCUUCUAUCAUUCUUCCCAUGUUACACAGAUGACCUUCUUCAACUGAGAGCCUCAUAUUCAUCUACAAAGCCAAAUGGAGAAAGUCCUCUUAAUAUCCCACCCAGGAUAUUAUAAAUAGGUGCAAAGCAUUUUAUCUAUUUCUUUAUUUAUUUCAAUCUUGAGACGAUGAGAACUUUAUUACUUCAAACUCAGCAAAAAAUCACAUGCUGUCCAAAAGAAGUUGAUGCAUGACAAACAAGAGACAAAACCUAUAAAAAGAUGCAAAACAAACACCUCAGAGACCAGAUAAUAAAGUAGCUAGUUAAACGAUCCCACAUAUCAGAAGCAUGGAAAACCAAUAGUGUGUUAAGUGCUGUCACAGUAAAACAAAAUUAAUAUUGAGACUACUCAAAUAUUUGCAUAAAGAAAAGAUAAUAUGAUUAGUUUCCUUUCAAAGCAUUUUCGAGGUCUUUUCCCCUCUACUGCUCUGGGUACUCGAUAGAUAGAGUAGAUUCUUUACAGUCUACUGCUUAUCUCCAACAAUUAUGUACUUUUUUUUCUCACUACUGCCACCAUGGUAAAAUUUGUUUCCACCUUUUUCUUUUCCCUUUCCAUGCUAGUGCAUCUUCAAGGUCUUUACUGAUAGAACCAAGAUUUCUCACAAACUACAUAUGCUGGGGUGCGGAGGCAGUGUCAAGAAUCUUUUUGGUUUUCAAGCCCAACAGAAAUUAGGAUGGAAGACCAAAAUAACUGACAUUGCAUAAAUAAUUAUAAACUCAGACCCAAUUCAUAUCAAAAUAACAUAUAAAGGCUCAUUGAAAAAAAACAAAUAACAUAUAAAUUAUAACAAAAGGAGAGUUCUGGCACUGGGGUAGAAUAUAUAAGGCAUAUAUAAGGCAAAGGUAAGUUGGAAUAGAAUCAUAUAUUUACCUGUCUUCUAAGCGAACCAGACAAACUGAAUGUGCCAGAUGGCUCAUUAUCGGUAGUCAAAGAUAGCAUUACAGUGCUGGUUAAACGGUAAUUGGUUGUUCCUUCCUCCUCUGGACCCACCUAUGUAAAACUCAAAUAUCCACACUGAAUAAGUCAGUCGACAGACCUUCUCACCUGGAAACUAAAUAAGUGUGAAAGGAGAGAGAGGUGUGACUGCAUGAAUAUCCCCACCAAAGAUAGAUAUUUUUCCAACAUGGAAGAUGGAUUUUACCUCAAUAACAUGUAUAGCAUCCCAUGCCCCCUCCUGCAGAUAACCUCUCCGACCUUGCCCUGUCUUGGAGCCAUCUUCAUUCACACACCCAAAAAAAAAAAAAAAACAAAAAAAANNNNNNNNNNNNNNNNNNNNNNNNNNNNNNNNNNNNNNNNNNNNNNNNNNNNNNNNNNNNNNNNNNNNNNNNNNNNNNNNNNNNNNNNNNNNNNNNNNNNNNNNNNNNNNNNNNNNNNNNNNNNNNNNNNNNNNNNNNNNNNNNNNNNNNNNNNNNNNNNNNNNNNNNNNNNNNNNNNNNNNNNNNNNNNNNNNNNNNNNNNNNNNNNNNNNNNNNNNNNNNNNNNNNNNNNNNNNNNNNNNNNNNNNNNNNNNNNNNNNNNNNNNNNNNNNNNNNNNNNNNNNNNNNNNNNNNNNNNNNNNNNNNNNNNNNNNNNNNNNNNNNNNNNNNNNNNNNNNNNNNNNNNNNNNNNNNNNNNNNNNNNNNNNNNNNNNNNNNNNNNNNNNNNNNNNNNNNNNNNNNNNNNNNNNNNNNNNNNNNNNNNNNNNNNNNNNNNNNNNNNNNNNNNNNNNNNNNNNNNNNNNNNNNNNNNNNNNNNNNNNNNNNNNNNNNNNNNNNNNNNNNNNNNNNNNNNNNNNNNNNNNNNNNNNNNNNNNNNNNNNNNNNNNNNNNNNNNNNNNNNNNNNNNNNNNNNNNNNNNNNNNNNNNNNNNNNNNNNNNNNNNNNNNNNNNNNNNNNNNNNNNNNNNNNNNNNNNNNNNNNNNNNNNNNNNNNNNNNNNNNNNNNNNNNNNNNNNNNNNNNNNNNNNNNNNNNNNNNNNNNNNNNNNNNNNNNNNNNNNNNNNNNNNNNNNNNNNNNNNNNNNNNNNNNNNNNNNNNNNNNNNNNNNNNNNNNNNNNNNNNNNNNNNNNNNNNNNNNNNNNNNNNNNNNNNNNNNNNNNNNNNNNNNNNNNNNNNNNNNNNNNNNNNNNNNNNNNNNNNNNNNNNNNNNNNNNNNNNNNNNNNNNNNNNNNNNNNNNNNNNUCCAGCGCCGGCGACACCGUUUCUUCUCCUCGGCGUGAUCCGAGACCUCCCCGACGGUGUUGGAAUGAAGAAGAAGGCCGGAGAGAUCACGAUCGGAGGUCCACCAUGAUCGGUCGUGAAGUUCUGAGUGAGAUUGUUGCACAGACCUCCGAUCGAUCUCUCCGGCCUUCUUCUUCAUUCCAACACAGUCGGGGGAGGUCUAGGAUCACGCCGGGGAGAAGAAACGGCGUCGCCGGCGCUGGAAUGGUGGAAAAACGGCGGAAAUCGGUACAGAAAACCCGUACGGACGUCCGCACAUGAUAAUCCUUGUAUAUAUACAUAUAUAUAUAUACACAACAAGCUUCCUCUAAGGGAUUCCUUUUUUGGGGUUAUAUGAGGGAUUAACGAUUACACCAACUUUUCGAUCACCAUUUCCAAUCUUAACCGUUCAAUCUCUUCAUAUAUAUGAGUGGAUCAUUUCUGGAAAGUUACAUUUCAAUUGGUGAUCGUUGAGGUGCUCAAAACUGCGAUUUGCAUGAACGGUUCAAAUCUGGCAGAUUUGAACCUUCUAUUGAUUUAAGUUAGUUCAAAGCCUUAACGAUCACCAAUUGGGAUGAAAAUUUUCAGAAAUGAUCCACUCAUAUAUUGAAGAUUUCCAGAAAUGAUCCACUCAUAAAUUCGAUUUUCUGUCCGUAUUUAUUCUUACGGUGCGGAUUUCCACUUUACACUCACUUUUCAAUCGAAUUUUCACAUCUCCACCGUCCAGUCUUUAGAUACUAAUGUAUAGAUCAUCUCUGCAAAAUUUCAGCUAAUUUGGUUAUCAUUAAGGCACCCAAAACUGCGUUUUUCUGUUAUAAACAUGAAUGGUUUAAAUUCGACCUCAGAUCCUCCAGGACUUCGAAACACCACUACUUUUCGGAAACAAUCUAUUAUAGCUCUAUAAGCCUCUAAAAAGUCAAUUCCCAAGAUCACAUCAAACUCCACAAUGUCUAAUGGAAUUAAGUCGGCCUUGAAAUUAAAUUCCUCCACUAAAACUUCACAACCAUUAAACACCCAAUCUAUUCUCAUUACCUCGCCAGAGGGUAGAGACACAUGCCACUCACCUGGAAGAGACGAUAAUGGCACAUUGGCAUGGAGAGCAAAUCUACUAGAUAUAAAUGAAUGUGUAGCUCUGGGAUCAAUUAAAAUAAAUGCAGGCUGACCAAAAAUUAAUAACAUACCAAUGAUGACCUCUAGUGAAGUACGACCCUUCUGUUGGGUCAUAGCAUGAAGUCUAGCACGAGUCAUGGGACAUUCACGUUUACCACUACCCUGCUGAGAGCCACCCCUAGCUGCUGAACUGACAUGAGUACCACUGCUGGAGCCUCUGGCUGAAGACUGUCAGACUGGAUGAGUAGGGGUGGGGGCGGUCCUCUGAGCCUAUAAGGGAUAAUCUCUCUUGAAAUGAUCUUGACUACCACACUCAAAGCAUCCCGCAGACUGCUGCUGCCCAAAGGAAAAAGCCUGACCACCAGAUGUUCCACCCUGGAAGCUGCCACCCAAACCAAACUGUCUAGUCUGCUGUUUACCCAACUGACUCCGGGAAGACAUCUUGAAACGUCUUUUAGCUCUGUUCCUAGCACCAGAGCUCGAUCCACUACUAUGGCCACUACUAGCUGAAGAUCUAGAAAUGGAUGAGGAAGCAGCCUUCUUAGAUGGACCCUGACUAGGACCGUUGAAAUCUCGGGGCCGAGCACUAUAUGCUCUCUUGGUCUCAAUAGCCAUAGUUGCACCAACCGCAUCAAGAAAAGUCGGGUACACUACCCCGGUCAUCCUACCUGCAUACACACCACUAAGUGCCCCAAUGAACAUCUCAAUCAUGGUCUUCUCAUUAGGAAUCAGGUAAGGCACAUGGUAACUCAAGGUAGUGAACCUCUGCUCGAACUCUAUCACACUCUCAUCAUCACUCUUUUUCAUGUUCAGGAAAUCCGACUGUAUCCUGCUACGGUGGGCUUAGCCAAAAUACUACCCCAAGAAAAGUGUCUUGAAUUGCUCCCAUGUCAUAUCUCGAGCACCCUCAAUAUUCCCAUUGGCAAGCACCCACCAAUGAUAUGCAGCAUCAUCCAGAAAAGUUACCGCCAUCUUCACCUUCUUGUAUUCUGGGAUUUUAGUACCAUCCAAAGCUUUCUCCAUCUUAUCCACCCAUGUAUAUGCAUCAAGGGGUCCCUUGGCACCCUUGAACUCAAUUGCCCCAGCCUCGUUGACAUCCCUCUUCUUCAUAGUCUGAGGGUUUUGAACUCUGUCUAAAACACUCCUCAGCAUAUUCCCAACAUAGUCAACUAUUUCUCUGACUUCAUUGCCCCCGUCUGCGUUGGUCGAGGUAGCUUCAAGGGGUCGGGGUCUAGGAGGCAUAGUACCUGAGGAAGAAGAUAUUUAGUAGUCUAUAAAUAAGACUUAACACAACUAUCACACAUACCUAACAACACAUAGCAUCCAAAACAUAUACUGCUAAUGAAUCAGCCACGGUCGGACCGUCACUUUAUAGACACUACGUACUACUUAGGCAAAUAUGAUAGUGAUAAAGAGUACAGGAAACGAAAACAUAAAGCUCUGAUACCAACUGUCAGGACCCACCCCGAAUUUCACCCUGAAACCCGAAGUAAAUAUUGCAGGGUCCACCUCUAAGGAAAAUUUACCGAAAAUUUGGCAUAAUCUACCUUGAAAAUGGACAACUCUUACAUGAAAAGUCCAGAUAAACACUUCUAUAAUAAAUCAUCCAACCUCAACUCUUGGAGACAUCCUGUCAGGACCUACCCCAAAUUUCACACUGAAACCCGAGGUAAAUCCUGCAGGGUCCACCUCCAAGGAAAAUUUACCGAAAAUUCGGCAUAACCUCUUUUGAAAAUGGACAACCCUUCCUAAAAGCACUUGCAAAUACUUCUAAAAUUCCAAAUCCAACCUUAAACACUUGGAGUCUUCGUGCUCUCCAAAUUCAUAACACCACCUAAUUUAUUUACUAAUCUAAACUAAUCCUAUAUCCAAUAAUUUAUAGGUUCAGAGUAACUCUAAUAGGAAAGAAAGAGAACAGAAUAUACAAAUAAACGGAAGCCAUAUUAUGGAUUAUGUCUCAACUCCAUGUACGCUCGACCUCAAUUAUGCAAUCUUGCAAACUGGGCAUUUAAAACCGAAGGGCCCAGGGGAGAAGCAAUUGAAAACGUUAGAGUGAGUGGACAAAAAUAAAGUUUAAAAGAAACAAAUCUUUAUGCUUUCCCAAAUUUAAUUUCUAAAGAAAAAGAGAUGUAUGCCUCAAGCGAUAAAACUUUUAACUCAUAAAAUAUCGAGCCUCUCAAGCUCUAAUAAAAAUCAGUAUGUAUUUACACACGUCCAUACUCCGUAUAUAAAUUUUAUGGAUUUAAAUAAAAUUAUAUAGGGCUACUACGCUCGCGUCUAACGCUCACGUCACACCAUAAUACGGUUAUUCACUGCGCCAUUAAGGUGGACAGACAGGUGUUUAUAUACGUGUCUAUACCCCUUAUAUGAGUUUUAAUUCAUAUAGGGCUACGACGGUUGCGUCUCAUGCUCACGUCACACCAUAAUGUAGGCUAAUUGCUACACCAUUAAAGCGGACAGGCAUGUAUGGCUAGCUAGCAAUUAUAUACAUACUCUCCUCAUAAAUAUAUAUAUAUAUAUAUAUAUAUAUAUAUAUACUAGUAAACUACUUAGUUUACGUACUACUACUAAAUAAUUAAUAAAGUUUAAAACUUUAACUUAAAAAUAAUGAAAAUUUUCAAUUAAUAAAAAAAAAACAAUAAAUCCCAAUAGAAGAAUAAUUUAUCAUCAAAAUAAAGCAUCGCAUGCUUUUAAAUUAAAACAAAAGUCCAUUCACAGUAUUUGGCUUAAACUUCCCAAUAUAAUAAUCAGAAUACUCCUCGAGCGUUGACCCCAAACAAAACCUUAACCUGAAAUCGAUGUCACAAUUAAUUUCCAUGCCUUUAACACAUCAACCAAUUUAUUUCCAAAUUCAUCACAUAGUAAUCUGAUCUAGAUUCUAGAGUUACUAUGGACAGUGUUCAUAUUACCAAAAUUAUAUUAUGGUCUCCUACGUUCAUGCAUGCCAACAUAACAACACCAACAAUUUCAUCAUUUCCUCUCUACACAACUUCACACCAAAAUUUGCUAAGGUCACCCAAAAGGGUUUUCAUAAUGGAAAGUUUCCAAAAAUAGAAACUUUCUAAAUAUGGCAGAUUUUCCUAAACCGUAAACUACAACUUAAACCAAAAAGGAAAGUCGACAAGGUACUUUCACGGAUUCUGUCGGAACUGCUGCCUUGUCGGAAUCCCUCCCGGGAUUCUGCAACUGGCCGAAAUAUUCUGCCGGAUUCCGGCCACUUGCCGGAAUUUUGUCAUGACCUCCCCGUAUUCUUCAAAACACCAAGUUCUCGAUAGCAAACAACAAAACCCAAGAUUAAUCACCACUUCACCGUACCACAAAACACAAUAGCAUUUCAAUCAUCAAACCGUGCAGAUUCAUAGAGAUUUCUCACCUUGCUAAAACCCUCACCGGACUGAGUUCAUUCUCAACCUAGACCGCCGCUGCAAACCAUGGUCUUCAACCACACACAAGCUCACCAACGCCUCUAACACCACAGCAGCAGUGCCUUCUGCCACGAUGUCGUACAACAAUAGCUAUCCCAAAGCUUCCCAACUCUAUGUCUCGACUUUGCCAAGGAUGUACAACUUUAGAUCCUCCCUAUAUAUAUAUAUAUAUAUAUAUAUAUAUAUAUUGUAAGAGGAGUUGCUUGGGGGUGGAGAUUGAAGUUUUAUUUGGUGGCACCAGUUGUUGACUCCACAAUGGCAAAGUUUAAUUCAACUGCUUCUGCCAGUGACUUUCAAUUUUUAUAUUUGUUGAAAAGCCACAGACGAUCUUACUUGAAAAGCCAAAUUGGAGCCAAAAAAAAAAUGGAGGAAAGGUCCGUUAACACGGUCAAUUGGACUGUCCAAUUGUCACGUCUGAUCUGAUUGAUCAAGUUCAUUAGUGGGUCCCAACUCCGAUUGCAAAAAUUGACUUUUGACUGAGCGAGGAGGUGGGGUUAUACUUGGUAAUUUACCAGGAAGCUGCUGCUCUUUUUGUUUGUUUCAAGGAAGCUGCUGCUCGAUCUCAACGGCUCUCUAAUUCUCCAAUUAAGUCACGUGCUGUCCUAGUUUCCUUAAGAAAGAAGAGUGUCUUGCCGACCUAUUUUAAAAGUUAAAACCCUUUUGGGGGCAGAGAAAGCGAGAGAGAGCGAGAGAAAGAGAGAGAGAGAGAGAUAGAGAGAGAAAGAGAGAGAGAGAAGGGAAAGGGAUACCCAAUUCCAUUUCUGUCGCUCAAUUCCACAUAUGUAUGUUAGACUCUUGCUCUCUCUGUUGCUUCGUGUUUGCUUGAAUCAAAUAAUUGGGUCUUUUCUUGAUUCUUUGGUUUAAAUUGCUUUUGAAUUUGUGUUUGCUUGAAUCAAAUAAUUGGGUAUUUCUUGAGUCUCUGGUUUAAUUUGAUUAAUCGGUGGGUGCGCACGCAGUAUAUGAUUUUGUUGCCCUUGACCUUGAAAACCCUGGGGUUUACCAUUUGAUAUGUUGUUUGGGUUUGGGUUUCUCGGCCUUGAAUAGGGUUUAUCAUUUGAUUAAUUUGUUGUUUGGGUUUGGUUGUGAUUUGGAAUUGGAUUUUAGAUCUGUGUGUGUGAGGCUGUAACGGGGUUAACUUGGCUUGCACUGGGUUCGUUAUUUUUGUGGGUUUUGAUUUUGUUUUCUUUUGUUGUUGGUUCUUGAUUUUGAAGGAAUUUUAUUGAUGCUAAAGUCUGAAAGGUGAGAGGUAUGCUUUUGUUGAGACAUGUCAAUUUUGGCUAAUUAUACUUUAUAAUUUUUCAUUAUUUAACUUUUUUUUGAUUAAUUGGAUAUAAUAUUUAUUGAAAAUUUGCUUGACUUAGAUGUCUAUCGUGAUUUUGAUACCAUAAGUGAUCAAAAUCACUUGCUUUGGUAUAAGAAAUGUGUAUUUAUGCAAAUGGAGAUUACUCUUCACCAUUUAUUUGUAACGGGUUCUUGUAUCAUUAGAUUAUGAUGAAUUUGAGUUUUGUAAACAGAGACUAGUGUACAGAAUAUGAUUAUAACUGUUUGUUGGCUGGAUGUGACAUGUUUUGAGUCUCAUAGGUUAGACAGAAUUCCUUUCAAAUGAUUAUUGAAUAUGUUUUUACAGGACAUGGAUACGUCAAACCCUUCCGUUUUUGUCAAUGUAGAGCUACUGAGGUUGUAUGUUGGAAGGCAGUUCAGGCAUUGAUUCAGACUGUGCAACCGAGUGUUGGAUCUGUCAUUGGCAAUUCUACUGAUGAUGUUCAGUUAAUUGUAAAGAGCACCCCACCCUCUUCUCUUACAAAGUUUGUUGAGGUCAUAGGUAUUUCUGACAGUGAUAAAUCUAUCCAAGUUAGCAUAUGGAACAACUUUGGCAACACAAUUGGUAUGCAUCUAUCCACGUUGCACCCUCCACUUUGCAAUUUCUAUAUAAUAGUGGUCGACCAUUAUGCUUGGACUGCAUGAUGCUAGUUCUGAAGGAAGUGCUUCAGCUUCUUGUUCUUCUAUUUGUGUGUUUAAAAGUACUGAGGAUUAAACUUGUACCAACAUACACAAUAAAUCACAUCUACAGAAACUGCAGUAUCGAUCCCAUAAUAUUUGAAAGUUGGUUAGGCUUUGAUGGUGGUUUCUGUGCUGUAUCUAUUGUAGGCACUCUUCACUAGGACUAGGAGGGAUGGCAUUUGGGCUAUCAUGACUUUUGUUGUUGUGCAAGAGGUUGUUGUAGGUUAGUUAAUAAUUGGUUUUGGGUAUCUUUUUUCAUAGUUUGGUUUAUCUCUGUUCGUCUCCCACAUUAAUAUGUGCCCACAAAAUUUUCAUUUAAAUUCUCAAGAUCUACAGAAUAUAAAUCACACGGUUUAUUAUCCACUUUAUAAAUAGGGAAAAAGACCAUUUGCACAAAAUAGAAAAAGUUAAACCCCAUUUCAAUGAUAAUAUUUUUUAUUAGCCUAUUUGAAUACAAGAUACUUAUUUUAAACCCAAAUACACAAAUCUUUAUUAAAAUAUAAUAAAAUUAUAUUUUUAAAGACUUUUUUACCCUUAGCUUUUACUUAAAGAGAAAAAGUGAAAAAGUUGGAGGUAAGACUUUGCCGGAAGCACACCGGGCUCCGGCGCCAGUCACCGGCGGCCGCAUUCCGGUCACCAGACUCCGAACUCCGACCGCCGGAAUCCGGUCACCAGUGGCUGGAAUUUUCCGGAAAUCUCACUGGAUUUUUUUAAAUGCCAUCAGAAUUUACGUGAUCUUAACCCAAGUAUGAAAAAUAAAGUUUACUACCCUAGUAAACUUUUACUGCGGGUAGUAAACUUAAAAUAAAGUUUUUCCAUGACCAUUAUACACCUUAAAACAGUGAAAAAUCAACUUGGAUGCAGAAAAAUAAAGUUUACUACCCCUAGUAAACUUCUGCUGGAGGUAGUAAACUUGCAAUACAGUUUUCCUAUGACCAUUAUAGGAAGCCCUUCUAGUGAGGACCCUUAAGUUGAGGACUUUGUGAAGACUUUUCGGUUUAUGGUUUAAAAGACCUAAUUUUCGAUCACAUUUUGACAUCUUAUCUGUUUAGUUUUUAGGUUUAUAUGAGUAGAUAAUUUCUACAAAUUUUCACCCAAAUUGAUGUUCGUUAAGAUAACAAACUAGAUCAAAUUAAUGGACGAACCAAAUCUGUUAAAUAUGAACCAUUCAAGUUCAUAAUUGAUAAAUCACACUUAUGAAUGUCUUAACAAUUUUCAAUAUAACUGAAAAUUUGAAUAAAUGAUCUACUCAUAAAUACCUAAAAACUGAACUGUCAAGAUGUAGAUAUAAGAUCGAAAUGUGGGAUAAGCAGAAAAUUCCUCACCAAGUUCUCAACUUAAGGGUCCUCACUAGAAGGGCUCCCGACCAUUAUAUACCUUAAAGGAGAGAAAAAAUCAACAUAUAUGUAAAAAAAUAAAGUUUACCACCCCUAGUAAACAUCUUACUGGGGGUAGUAAUCUUGCAAAAUAAUAUCUCUAAGGUUAUAAGUACACAUUAAAACGAAGAAAAAUCAACUUAGAUGCGAAAAAAUAAAAUUUACUACCCCUAGUAAACUUUUAUUAGGGGUAGUAAACUUGCAAAACAGUAUUUUCAAGACCAUAAUACACAUUAAAACAGAGGAAGAACAGUUUAGAUUCGAUAAACUAAAGUUUACUACCCCCAGUAAACUUUUAUCAAGGCUAGUAAACUUGCAAAACAAUAUUUUCACCGCCACCACUCUGUCAUCAGAUACAAGCUCUGAAACCACCUUAGCCCUCACUUUUGAUCCCUCACUGCAACUCUCCCCAAGAACCUUGUGAGAAACCAUUACCGCUGUGCAUGCGCUGACGUGGCACCGUUGCCCUAAGAACACUCCCUUCGCCGUCUCUGCUCCAGCCGUCCCAGCCGUCUCUGCUCCAGCCGUGCCGGCCGUCUCUGCUCUUGGCCCGGUUUAGUAGCGCCACCACGAGAUUCCGGUCCGAUACCUCCCAGGUGGUUUUUGACCUCCCGAUGCUCAAAUCCAGAAACAGCUUCUUCUCGCCGGCGUCGGAGAUUGUGUCGAUUCCGAUCUUCGAGAGCAGAUCGGUGGCUCUCUCGAAGCACGACGAAGCGAGGUCAAACGUCCGAAGCUCGUGCCAUUUGACGCUGGUCUUGUACGUGGUAGAACGAGGCGGACUUGAUCGCCAGGGAAGGAGAUCUGAUUUGGUGCGGCGUCGCAGGCAGAUGAGAUGUGGUGCAGUGGAGGAAGGAUUAGACGGCGUCGCAGGCGAAGGAGAUUUGGUGCGGCGUAGCAGGCGGAGGAGAUCUGGUGUGGUGCGGUGGAGGCACCAAAUCUCCGUCACCGGUGCGGUGCUUCGCCAGUGCUUUAUGUCGUCGGUGCUUCGCCGGAGAGAGGAAUCAGAUUCACGUUUGAGAGAGGAAAGAGAGUGAGAGAGUUUUCUGAGAGAGAGAGAGAGAGAGUUAAUGAUACGGGAAAAAAGAGGAGAAAGAGAGUUAAAUUAGGAUGAGGGUAUUGACGUCUUUUUGUUAGAAUUCAUUGGAAUUGGGUUGCUGAAUAGAUUUUCAUUGGAAUGGGUUAAAAGGAUGUUAAAUUAGUAGUAAAUGGUCAUUUACUCUUAUAAAUAUGAUUAUGUUGUAUGUAACUAUUUGACAAAUUCACAAUUCUUAUUCCUCUUCUCUGAAUAGAUUGAAUCACUUUAGGUAUUAGUAUCAUUCUCUUUGCUUUUAGUCAAUACUUUUCAUGUACCUCUCCAAGUAAGAAAAACUAGAAUAGAUAUGGUAGAUGAAACUGCCGAGGAGUUGUUAGUUUGAAGAAACAUAUAGAUGACACCACAACACAUGCAAGCAAAGGCCACAUUUCCCUUGGCCACAUAUGGGCUCAUUUGUGGAGAAUUUGAGCAAAUAGGUAAUAUAGGUGGUUUGUUAUCCACAUAUAACUGAUAAAUGUGGUCCAUCCAAUUUUUUAAUAUUAUUUUACAAGGUAAAGUGUGCACGGAGACCCACUAAAAGGAAAAUAAAAAAACCCACUUCUCUGAGUUCUUUCUCAAUCUUCUCCUCUUAUCCGGUCCCUCUUAUCCUCUUCUCGCCCACAUCGGCACAUCUCCCUCUCUCCUCUUUUGAUCCCUCUCUCCUCUAUGUUGCUCCCUUUCCUUGACAAUUUUUUGGUAGCUCUAUCCUAAAAUACCGAUCGGAAUAAACCGAGCUGCCCUUUGACAUGGUGGGUGUGGCCGGGGACAGAAAUCGGCACGGACCCGCUAGGUUUGGGUGGAGGGCUUUAGACGGGUGCAUUUGAAAAAGAGCUACCUUGACUUCAUCAGUGGAGUACAGAUUCAUCUCCUUAGUAACUCGCGGUUGUAUCACUUGUAAGACACGAUCUUGGGCAUCCCGAUUCGAUCCGUUCUGGGCAAAGAGGUCCUGAAAGUAUUGGAUAAUGACCACGUUCUCAAUACCCGGUAAGGAAGACUGCCAUGUACCUUGGCUGUCAAACAACCCCUUCAAUUUGUUCCGCUUUCUUCUAUUUGAGGCUUUCCUAUGGAAGAAUUUCGAGUUACCUAGUCCGCUCGAUCGAAAGGGUUUUGGAGCAAUUCCUGCAGAGUUAAUCGUACAUUCUCUAAUUCCUUUCUUCGGGCUUGAAAAACAGUGUAGUCCCAAUUCAGAAAGUGACUUCCAGAAUCUCUUAUCUUGCAGCAAACUUGCACCACAGGGCUGCCACUUUGAGGAACUGCCCAUGAGUUAUCCACUACUUGUGAAAAGGAGGGAUCAGAACACCAAAUUUCUUCAAACCAGUAGGGAGGUUACAAUCGUCCAUUUCCAGUCUCUCUUUUCUUACCUCAAGCAGGAGAGGAUGAUCUACUCGGAGGGAGUGCUAUGACUCUUGAGAAAUUGAACUCCGCUAGCCAAGCUUGAGUACACAGCCCUCUAUCAAGCCUUUCUUUUGUAUGAGAAUCAUUCCAAGUGAACCAACCUCCAGCAGCUCCCAUGUCAUCAAGGUGACAAUCCGUUAAAGCUUCCCGAAACGCUAACAUCUGAUAAAUAUUUCUGAUACGACCUCUCGAUUUCUCACUCAGUUGUAGGAUCUCAUUGAUAUCCCCAGCCACAACCCAUUUGUCCGUCUGCCCUCGAUACAGAGAGAGAAGUAGAUUCCAUGAUAUGUGUCGUUGUCCCGUAUCCGCAUGCCCAAAUCGCCAUUCGCAGUUCUCCGGUUCAAUCACAUCUACAUCGAUAAAGAAGUAGUUGUGACCCCUGACUGGAAUCUGGACAGUGUCGUCCUACAGAAGAGCUACUUCGGCCAAGUCCUCGCGAUCAUCGAACUCGGCAUGAGCCAUUCCAAUUGCUUUAUGCAAGGACUGAUGUUGUCUGGUGUUGCACUUAGUUUCCGAGAGGAAAACCAUAUGAAUCUGGUGUUUCUGAAUUAGAAGUUUCAAGGCAUGACGAGUUUCUCGAUUGGCGAUGCCUUGACAGUUCCAAACGAGAACUUUCAUCACAGCGAAGGUGGGGGGAACCUUCCUGGUCAUCGGAGAUUGACAGAUGACACUGAGAAGCCAAACCCUAGGCAGCUACGCUGUAGAGAUGUUUUCGGUUAUUUUUCUUGUUUGUGAUGGAAGAUCCUGUAUACAAAUUAUGAUCCUAGUUGCAUAUGUAUUAGGUUGCUUUUGUAUCGUUUUAUUUUGGUUUUAAACCAAUUAGGGUUCCUCCUAAUGCAUGGGUGAGCUAUUUCAAUGUAACUUUUACACACUAAUGGAUUCACAUACCUCUUUACAAAAAAAAAAAAAUCCAAAAUUUGUGUUAUGUUAAUUUCAUUUAAUAAUUAAUUGGCUUGUAAUCUCUAGGGAUUUUUUUUUUNNNNNNNNNNNNNNNNNNNNUAUAUAUAUAUAUAUAUAUAUAUAUAUAUAUAUAUAUAUAUAUAUUAUAUUAUAUAUNUNUNUNUNUNUNUNUNUNUUUUUUUUGCCAUGUUUGUACAAUACAGUCCCUAGCUUACACUUACCAGUAUGGCUAACCUUUUUUCCUUCACAAGCAUGAAGAGUAACAUGCAAUUGAGGUGGACCAGUCUUCUUGGUCGGCUUGGGAAUUUUGUUCUUGCUUCUCAAAGACCUACCAACCUUCCUCUUCUUGGUCUGGAAUCUUACAUUCUUUCGAUGAUUGAUCACCUCAAAAAUGUCUUCUUCACUAUGUUUCCUCAUCCCCAAAACACCUGGACUCAUCAAUGUCAUCAAAUCUGACCCAUUCAAAGUCCCCGCACCAUGCAAGCCUAGCUCAGCUCACUAUCUAGUCCACCAUCAUACCGAGUUAAACCCAACCUUGCCCACACUAACCCUAGUUUGAAGCUAGGGUUUCACGCUAAAAGAACCGGCCAGGUUCUGUCGAAGUUAGGUUCUCGUCGGGGGCUGUCAGAGCGGAUGAUGGGGCGGUGCUGGUAGGUUGAGUGACAGGGGUUGUCGUCGAUGCAAAUGGGAAAUGUCGUCAGGGAUGUAGUCGAUUCCUGCAUGGAGUUGUUAAAAAACCAAGGCUUCCAUUGAGAACAUGAUUCUUCAACUCCUUAUCGAUCCUUGAAUUGUAACACAUAAAUCCCCCCAGCCACCUCACGGAUCAAAACUUUCUCUUUCAAAUUCCAGAUGGUAGACACACCAACGAAAGCUACGAAAGCAUCACCGAUUUCUCAGAAAGAAGACAUCCACACAAAUAGAAUAGGAAUCCCUGAAUGCCUCCACACCUCCAACAAGAUGAAUAGUAGCCGCCUAGGCCUCCAUCACAAACCAGAUCUUGAUCGGUUCCUUUGCUAGUGAGAAAACCCUAGCUAGACGAGAGAGAACGUCGACAAGCAUAGAAACCCUAUGUUUUGUCAAAAUUAUCUUAGUUAAAAAAUCUUUAUUUACAGCUCAUGCGCUGAACUUCCCAAGUAUAUAAAUGACUGGAACUAUCAAAACUUGAGGAGAACCCUACGAGGUAGGAGCAGAUAACUGAGAAUGAGAGGCAUCAGCAAAGCAUAAAUGUGAUUGCUGGAGUGUAUGGAAGCUACAAGAUCAAGUAGUGUAAUGAAACGAAGUUGGAAUGUAUCCUCUUUUAUAUGAUGAUUUUUGUUUCAGCUGGAAACUGAAACGAAGAAAUGUAUCUUCUUUUCGUUCCAGAUGAUGAUUUUUGUUUUCUCUUCUUUAGUGUAUCUAAGUCAAACAAGAUUCAUAUUUAAAAGCUGAAAAAUGUGAAGUGAAGUUGUUUUAGGUCUUGUUAAGAAAAGCUCGGCUCGACCCGAUAAAAUAACAAGCUGGCCCGACCCGACUGGCCUUGUGUGGCCUGAUGCAUGGGCAGCUCUGAUGCUUGUAAUAUAUGGAGAUGGACAGCCUUGAAAAAUAUAAAAAGUAGGUUAAAGCUAGGCCUGACCUAAACCUACUAGCUUUGGGUCAGGCUGGGCUGACCCGGCCCAUUGCAGACCCCUAAUUUGAAUAGUUUCUGCCUUCUACAAGCAAAACAAAGAGGCUGAAUGCUGUAUCCAAAAAAACAAAAAAUACGCUGAAUGUGACUCCAAAUCCGUUGUCAAUUGUGUCAAAGGACAUAUAUAGAGUUCCCCGGAUAUUGAAAAAGAUCAUCCUAGACAUCGAGCAUAUUGGCUGAUCAUUUGAUUCCAUAUAUUUUAACCAUGAGUGACAAGGAUCACCACCAAGUCGAGGACCUAAGAACGACAAAUGCUAUGCUACUCAAACCUUUGUUAUAUUGCUGGCUGCUUGAACUCGAGCUGUGCCUGUGAGCUAAUUAUUAUUUUCCACUUUAACAUGUCUAACAAAUCUUGAAAUUCAGUUAUCAAUCGAAUCAAACACAAAUAUGAAAAGAGAAACCACAUUUCCUGUUAUAACUAAAAGUAAUUGGUACAAGCCAAUUUGGCUCAUCCACAACCUAAGAAAUCAGUCAAGUAGCAAACAUAACUCGUUACUGUGCUACCGAAGAAAAAUCUUGUUUAUAAUUGAUAAACAUAAUAAAAAGUUAAAUAACUAUAAAAUUAAAUCAAAGGCAAUUCUGAAGUUGAGUUGAGAGCUUCCCCUGGUUUCUACCUAGUCUGACUACUGGCCUUAGAGGUGUACGUUCAUUCAUUUCAGAAUCAUAUCCAAUUGAAUCAAUCACACAAGGGUUAAACUUCUCAAAAUUAACAACCUAUUGACAAUGAAAGAAAAGUCUACCGCUGCGUGAUGCAAAUGCCAGUUUUGAUUUGUGUGUAACUCUCACAUAGACUCAAGAACAAGUGCUACAGUUUUACUUGAGAAGGAAAUUAUAUGGAGGAAUGUUAGAGAAAGAUGGGAGAUGAAGAAAGAGCUAUGAAACUAAAGCCAAAAUAAAAGUACAUAUACUAUAACAGUUCUCAUUCUUCUCUCAUCUACCAUCUAAAUGUAUAUUUCUAAAACUUUUUAAUUCAUUUGGCCACAAUUACUCAUUGGUUUUAAAAUUCAGUCUAUCCGAAAAAUAACAUUGCUCUGAAUAUUGUGUUCGGAAAAAAAUCAAAGAACCGGACUAUGGUUUUAAAAUUCUGUCUGUAACUAUUCUAUUCAUUUUUUUUUUCUUGUGAAAACCAUCACAACUAUUGAUACAACAUGCUCUUAAUCUCCAUGAUAAUGUCAUAAACUCUUCAGUCUGCAUGUUCUUGUGUUUAAUUUUGCACGUCUCUCUUCAUACGAUGCUGGGAUCAAUUCAUUAACAGUUAUUAGACAGGAACAUCAGAAAUCACAGCUAGAAAGAACAUGAAGUAUGAACUCAUCCUCAUAUGAAGUACCAAGCAAAUAGAUUCACUUUCGGUUUUAACUUAAAAAAUCGAGUUUUCGACCAUCGUAUAUUAACUGCAAUAGAAAUAAUAAAUCACAAGACAUAGUAACAAGUUUCCCUGAUAAUUCACUUGCGAGGAGCUUAACUAGUUACUGUUGGAAGCAUUUUUAUGCUUAUGCAGCAUAAUUAUAUAUGAUGCAUAAGUAGUCAAUGUUACUGUAAGUCUGUAACGACCGUAUUGUAUGUAAUUUCAAAGACAUGGUACUUACGCUCAGUUGGGCGCGACAUGAGUGGAACAUGGGAAGAUUUCUUUUUCAUUGUUCCAUUAUUAUCCAAGGAGCUCUGAUCUGAGAAACAAGGUGAUCUCAGUAAUAGUGAUGUGUGUGUCUGUAACAAUAUAUUUAGUUGUUUUGCUGAGUAAUAAGAGGGAAUAUAUCAGUUUCAGCACCUUUUUCUACUGGCAAACAGCAUCUUAGAGCCUCAUUAAAAAUUGCAGCUUGGAGAUGAUAGUUUCGACAUUCAGAAGCCAAGUGUAUUUGCAAAGCUUGACAGGCAUCUAGGAACACAAGAAAAAGAAAUAUUCAGAAUUUGGAGAGACAUAGCAGGUGGCAGUUUUGAUUCAGCCAGCAGUGUAAAGAAACUAAACAGUAAACAACAAAGAUAAAGCAUCAUCAUAAAAAAUAACAAAUAUGUCUAAUGUUUCUACACAAGAAGGAAAGGAUGCAUCUCUUGCCAUCCAAGUACCUGAAGAGCAAGUGAACUUGAGACCCUCAAAUUCACAGAAUUGAAGAACCAAGGGAAUCUCUGGCGCCAUGCCAUAUUGAGGUUUUCUCGGGAUUUUGUCAGUAUCCAGUAAUGCAUCUACCACCUACCAUUUAGCACAUUUAGAUCGAGUUACUUUUAAAGAAAGUGAAAGCUUAAAGGUAUAAACCACAUUUUGAAUCCAAUUGUCCUAUAGCAAAGGAAAGUAUUUGAAUUUCUGAUACUCUAUGAAACGCUGCCAGUGUUUAGCAAAGCCCUUUGAGCACUUCUUGGCGGUUUCAAUUUCAAUGGAAAGUACAAAUCAAAGACUUUUCCACAAAUUCCCAAUGGUUGGGAAUGUGAAGUGUUUGGUUUGAACCAACUUACUGCAGCCAACACUAUAUUUUGAUUAUUAAACAGUUUUAAAACAGCAUGUGCAUACUAGUACUAUAUAAAAAAAUAUGCAGUGUAUCAAAUGGACUGUCACACUCAUAUUCUUUUGGAUGCAUGCAUAGAUUAGUGCGCAUGUCAACAUAUUAGUUUUGACUUUUGAGAUAUGAAACUGAUUAUUUGAGACAAUACCCAAUAGCUUAAUCAAACAUAAAUUACAACUUAAGAACCAACCAAUAAAGAAGACACUUCAUACUCACAUCUGGAGAUUCAUGACCUUGGCCAAUCAAGAGUAGUAUAGCAACCAUGCAUCGGACCUGAUGCCAGAGGAAAGCACUCCCUUUGAUUUUAAAUGCCCAAAGCUGAUUUCCCUCAAACCUGAGAAUCAUGAAAUACAUAUCAAUUUAUUCUCAAGAUAGCCCCAGUCUUAAGACAAAGUUCUCGUUUCUUCUUGUUGUCAUCUUGAUAAUAUAAAAAAUUUAACUUGAUAAACAUGACCUUACAUAUAAGACGAAGAAACAAAUUCUGUUUUCUCGCCUAUUUACUCCCCUCCAUUUCUAAUCAAGUAAAUAUGGUAAUCUGAAUUAACUAAUUCUAGAAAAGGGAAGGAGUCUGAAGAUUUAUCUACCCAUAUUAACCUCACAUCACAAGGAGAUAUUGCAAAUGAAGUGAUUUUCCGCCUGUAGUUGUGCACGUUAAGUGCAUCCAUCUUACAGAAGUUUCUGAAGUCAUGUUCACCAACAAAUUUCCUACCAGCAGUCUCCAUAGCCUAGUAAAAUAUGAACCACAAAAAAACCAAUUUCUCCUUGUCUUAAUUUUAAUAAUAGAGCCAUCAAAAUGCAUUAAAAAAAAGAGGCCCAAGAUGAAAAGAGAAGAAUAACCACAUACCAAGAAAUUCAGAUUUCCCCCCCAAAAUAAAUAAUAAUACUCCCUGCUUAGACAGCUAAACCUGUAUUAAUAAAGGGAAGAAACAAGUUAUGGUAAUGCAAGGUCCCAACCUUGACCUCAAACAAAAAAGAAACAAGAGACAGAAGUACGGUCAGUAAUUAAGGAAUACGAAAAAGUGCCCAUGACCAUUUGGUCUAGUGGCUAAGUCUCUUUCCCCUUUAAGCCCAAGGUCCCAGUUUGACUAAACUACUUUUAAUCAAAAUAAAAUUAAAAGAAAACGAAAACUUUGUUGUUCUAGAGUUAAGGACUUAAAAGUAUAGGAACUUAGCCAUAAUCAACUGAUUGUGUUCAUUAGAUUUAUUAAAAAAGCAAGACAACUUUUUAUUGAAAAAAAUCGAGAUUUGUUUAUCAACCUCAAUAUUCACCAUCAAGGCCAGGUGGUGAUGACCCAGACAAAUACAUUUACCCCCAUGUCAGUGUAAUACACCACGCAUGAGAAAUCCUAAACUACAUAAUCCUUCACUUUAUUAAAGUGAAGCUUUAAAGGCUAUAAACCUUCUCAGCAUUUCCUUAACUGACAAUUAUGCUUAACAAUCAUGAUGUUAGUGUUUUCUGAAGUCAAGUUAUACCAAGGACUAUCUAUAUAACAUUAAGACAUAUACACCCAUUUUGUGGCAAUUAAGUCAAGCAGACCGUGCAAAAUUUGUGAUGAUAUCAUGUGGACUGGCAACAAAGAAUUGCUGGUCUAGCGGUCAGACACUUGGUUUGCUCCCAAGUGGUCUGGGGUUCGACCCUCUCCCAUGGUACCCACCUAGCAAUUGCUAGUGUUUCCAGUUUCCCAAAUGUUGUGGGGUCAGGCGGGAAACCUAGGGAUUAGUCGGGUCAAAGAUCCGGAUACCCUAGUUUCAAAAAAGAAAAGAAAAAAAGAAGAUAUUAUGUGGACUGGCAGCUGACUCCGCAGGGGUUUCCUCAUUCUAUGUCUCAAUGCUUGAAAAUGAACUGGUUUCAGUAAAGUGUCAUUGUAAGCCCAGAACACCUGUCCUUACUGGUUUAGUUUACGGUAUUUCAUUAUAAUUUAUAAAGAGAAAAUAGAUGCACACAAUAUGACAAUGAUAGAACAUUUUGCAAGUAAAAGGUAGUUUUAUCUAUAUGAACUCAAAAUAGUGGAAACCUUCAUAAAAGGUAGACAAACCUCGCACUGAAACCCAAUGGUACAGGACACCAACCAAAAACUCGAAUAUCAUCCGGAAGGGCUCGAUUCAGCACCCUCACAUAAUCGAUUUCACCUUCUGAGGGAAACAAAGGAGAAUGUAUUAUGCAAUUGGAAUGUGGUGAGCUUAUAUAUGAGAUCAAACUCAAAUGAGCUACAAAUCUUAAAAUGAAGCUCUAGCAAAUUUCAUACGGCUCAAAUUCUCAAAAUAUCUUAGUCAGGUAAGAAGUGAGCUUUAUAAUCUCAAAUACAAUGCUACGAUUUUAUCCCUAACGGAACUUUUCAUCCAUCUCCAUGUCUAACAUUUUAUGGUCUGAAAAUUUGGGUCAGACACCAAUUGACCGAAACUCUCCCAUGAAGGCCAGCCUUCUGCAACUUGCGUCUAAACCGAUUACUCAAAACUUGACCAACGAUUAAGAAUUAUGUAAGUAAAAUGAAUAUAAGCAUGUAUAAGGUCCAAUAUCCAGAUUCACAACAAUAAAAGCUUGUCAAACUUUUAGGUGAGUGUACCAUCACAAUUCAAGACAGACAAUUGCUUGACAGAGCCAACUAAUUGUGCAACCAAAUACCAAGAAAAAAAAUCAUCUUUCCAUUCCACAUGUAUCCUGUGAUGCCUCUGAAAGAAAACACCGAGUCUUACACCAGCCCAUACCCCAAUUUUCAGGCAUUAGAUGCAUGGGCGCAAAGUUUUUUUUAUCUUUCAAGCAGUAGUAAGCAUGGACUUGUUACUUAAGUGAUUAUCAACCAUAUAAUCCACAGACGAUUUCCAUAUAACGUUAUAGUUCACCCAUUUCUUGAGUCCAACCCUUGUGCACCUUGAUUAAUGUAGCAUAAUAGACACAUAUCCUAGUAUGCAGUUGCAAAGAAAACAAGAUUAUUUUAUAUCUAUUCAGAGUUACCACUCCCAGACCUUAGGAAUAUUGGAUCUGGAAUUGCCUGAGCCAAUAAAGCUAGGCCUACACAAUGCUUAUCAGCUUCAUUAAUUCUGUGUUAUAUGACACUAGGCCAAGCAAUAAGACACAUUUACAUAAAAGCAUCAGCCAACCCAAUGUACAUAAAAUUGACAUGGCAAGGACCCCAUCCAAACAUCAUAAUUCUACAGAAUAACAUAUCUUACUCAACCAAUAGAAAUUGAUUACUAUCUAUUGGCGGAUAAAUUUCAACAUUUGAUUAGCAAGGAACGUCGAGAUGCAAUAUCAGGUCUGAGUCUUGUAUACCUAUUUCAAACCAUAUAACUUUGGUCACAGGAAACUGUUACUCUAUGCUCAGGCUUUCCAAAAAGGGGUAGAAACAAGAUUUUGGCACUCUACAGCCCUGACUUUGUAAUUGGAGAGGAACAAGACCUCUUCUACUUAAGAUAGAGCUAUGGCAAGAUCACAAGACCUCUUCUACUUAAGAUAGAACUAGAUUUCAGCCUGUCGUUGGAAAUCCUCUAAACAUUUGUGAGGCAUUUGUGUUUAAGGGUUGUUCUUCUUGAUUGGGCUAAAGUAACAUCGAUGGCUUGCGAGUCUUAUGUUUGUAGUAGGUUUUGUGCUUCGCUUGCAAUCUUAGGAAAAGCUUAUUUUAUUUUGCUUUUCAAUGUACCUCUUGUAUCCUAUUUCAUGUUGGCACUACAUAGAGAUGCCGAGAAAUUAUAUAUGUUGUAACGCAGAGCAUCAUUAUGUUUCAAUGUGCCACCACAGGAGGGGCUUGACUUGAGCGAAAACCAUGGUCAACUAAUACUGGAUGACGUGGAGCAUGGGGCUUGACAAGUUCAAUAACAAAUUGUAGCAUCCAACCCAAAACCAAUUGAAAAUUUGUGGAGGAGCCAUGACAUUAUAUGCUGUAAUCCAAGGCCUUACACAUCUGGACAUGGGGUUACCUCCAACCACCAACCCUCCCCCNNNNNNNNNNNNNNNNNNNNNNNNNNNNNNNNNNNNNNNNNNNNNNNNNNNNNNNNNNNNNNNNNNNNNNNNNNNNNNNNNNNNNNNNNNNNNNNNNNNNNNNNNNNNNNNNNNNNNNNNNNNNNNNNNNNNNNNNNNNNNNNNNNNNNNNNNNNNNNNNNNNNNNNNNNNNNNNNNNNNNNNNNNNNNNNNNNNNNNNNNNNNNNNNNNNNNNNNNNNNNNNNNNNNNNNNNNNNNNNNNNNNNNNGAGUAGAGAGAGAGAGAGAGAGAGAGAGAGAGAGAGGCAAAUAUGAGCUAGCCUCAAUCAAAUAUGGUUUAUACUGUGGAUAUAGGUACUGUGUUUCAUAUUAAUAAACUUCUUAGUCUGGAUUUACAGACAUAUCAGUAGAAAUUUGCUUUAAACAUUGAGAGAAAAUGAUACGUUUUGAACUCAAUCAAACAAUUAAGCUUCCCUAAGAGCAUGUCUAUAAUAAAUGUUUAAAAUGAAGACACGAAAGCACAUUGGAAAUUGUGUUUUGAUGAUAAGACAUUUGACUUAAUAAGCAAAUCAAACAAUUAAGCUUCCCAAAUCCGUAUAAAAAAAAACUAAGCUUCCCAAAUCAAUGUUCGCUGCUGAUACACAGGACAUUGAAAACUGAUUACUAUGUGCAAAACAUCUAAAAACAAACCUCAAUGGGUAGACUAAAGCAUAUAGUUCCUCUUAGACAGGGAUUCUGAUGCAUACCUCAACGAAAAGUUAUCAACAAGACACAAAUUAGAUACAUAUAGUUCAUGCAAAGAUCUAUGUGACAUUUCAGAAGGAGGAUAUAUAUACAAAAGCCGCUUCAACCAGAUUGUUAGUAUGAUAGUUUGAUUUUCAUGUCAUUCCAUAAGCUCGAGGAUCUUGCGCAUAAGAUAGGAUACAACUAAACUGAUUGUGAAUAAUAAUGAAGAACAUAGGCCAAGAAAUAAACUAAUUAAAUACAUCAAACAAUAUUGGAAAUAUAUUCUUAGCAACUUGUCCCAGAAUUGAGAAACUAAAAAAAGAAGCAACCUCGCUUCAAAAAAAAGAGAAAAGAACAAAAGAACAAAUCAAACAAGCAAGCAACCUAAGAGGAUAACAAAGUAAACGAAUAAAAAUAUCAAUAGCAUAUAUGCAUAAAGUUAUACGAACAUUUCCAAUGUCAACAACAAUCAAUAUCACACAAACAGAUACUUUUUCUAUCAACUUACUUGCCCAACAGCAGAAACUCCCUUGUCUGUCCUACCACAUCUUGAGUAAUGUGAUUCCUUCUUAUCACCGAUUAAAAGUCUUGUCUUCUCAAGAGCUUUGAAAAUUUCAGACUGCACAUUAUUCAUUGUACAAUAAGCUCAUCCACCUUAGCUAAUUAGGCGUCCUAAUGCAUAUUCAAGACACAUGCUUAUGUUCAUUUAUAUUGCUUUUGAAGUUAUGACUAGUGCAGAGUUGCUUACAUUCGACACAAAUUAAUAACUUUAUGUGAGAAACCAAUACCUCAACAGUUGGAUCCAUCUGUGCCUCUGCAGCAAAGCCAUAGAACCUGUAAGACAGCACAUAUUGUAAAAAAGGCCUCAAUAGCCCAUAUAUUUAAAAAAGUACAUUAACCUUUGGGGGAGUGAAAUUUGCACUGCCUAGUUACAGAUGACACCUACUUUCAUUUUUAUAUUAUAUUCUUAUCUUUUUAUUGGUUGAGUCAACAACUUAUCCUGGUUCCUCAACUCUUAUAAAAUGGAAAAGAUGGCGUCCUUAAGGCUAACUGGUCCAGUGAGGUUAAUUGGAAGCAGGCAACAACGAAGCCAAGGGAAUCUUUAUCGGGGGAUUAGAUUUCUUUUUUUUAUUAUUUCUUUUUUUAUUUGGAGGGGUUUGAACAUUAAAGGGGAAGAUUGGCGUAAAUUGGGGUCGCUUGAGGAGAAGCGGAGACAAUCUAUGGCUUGCUGGGGUGGGUUGUUUGGAGAUUGAUUGAUGACUAGGUUACAUAGCUCACUAGUUGGCAGUUUGGCUCUGCCUUAGCAGCAGGACGGUGAUGAGUGGGAUUUGGGAGUUGGAGGAAGAAAUAAUCUGGGGAAUUUUGGUUUUCAGGGGAGAGGAUUGUCAUUGUGGAAGUCAAGAGAAGGAUUAAGGAGUAAAACAAAAACAAAAAAUCCCAAAAAAAGAAAGGUCCCUAACCUUCUGCCAAAAUACAUGACUUUCAAAGCAACAUAUCUCUUGCUGUGGUGAUUCAUGAUCCUUGUGUCAUAACCUGAUUCCAGGACGUAUAAUUAAAAUAUGAAUAAACACCUUCAUCAGCCAUCACUCAGCAGAGUAGCACGCUUCAAAAUGUGAACUUUCCUAAAGGAAGUAGACUGUUGACUUUGAAUUGUAAUAAUUUGGAGUAUAAAAGAGAGAAGCAACAUACUCAUUGUGUAAGGAGUCUCCAGAUAGCUAUUAGAAAGAACAAUAAACAAUAAUAAUAAUAAUAAUAAUAAUAAUAAGUGAGAUAGGGAGAGAGAGAGAGACCAAACUAAUUAAACAAAGAUGUUUUCAAUUAUGAAUUAUCAACCGGAAUCUUGUUUUGGCAAAUUAUAAGAAAUCUCUGAAAUUUUUUUCUUGUUCCUAUUUCUUUUCCCAAAAAGAAAAAAAAAGAAAAAAAAAAGUGAAUUAAAGUAAAUACCCGGAAACUUCUCUUUAACUUUCUCCCUGAUGGUCUUCUUAUUUUGAAAGCUCAAUUUCCCGCUUUUCUCAUCUGCAUUGUCAGAACUUACAGAAGAGUCUUCAUUCUUGUCCUGUUUCAGGAUUGCAACAUACUUAUCUUCGUUAAGCAAAAAUAAAAACAAAUCAAAAGGUUGUUGAAAUAUAAUUGUCACAUUACAGACAUUUGGUAAAUACAAUGUUCUAAAAAACGCUAGGUGAUAGUCGGGCGGACAGCCGGUGACUAGUGCCUAGGCGGGUUAAUCGGGGGAUUAAUCGGUUUUCUAGCUCUCUAGACGGAAACGGUGAAGCACCGCCUAGCGCCUAGGCAGGGAUUAACCGGCUCUAGGCGGGGAUUUUUAGAACAUUGGGUAAAUAAGCCAAAGCAAGUUGAAUACAAUUUAAUUAGUGACGAUCAAAAGUAGAAAGUUUAAUCUUCAGUCUGUAAUUAACAAUUUGUUGACAAUAGUCAUCACAAGUACCAGAAAAUAUACAGAUUCUGAAGAUAACCAAAAGCAACCAAAUAGAAAGCACGCUUUUUUUUUCUUAUUAAGGAACUAAUAAAACUUAUUUAUUUUUUGGGUUAAAGUAGAAAGGGUUUAUUCAUUUUGAGUUAUGUUUUCAUCUAACAGAGUUUGUCCAUUUCACUCCCUCACUUAUUCAUUUGUAUGCCUUACAUGUUUUCUUUGUAGUGAAUUCUAGUUAUGUUUCCAUUGACAAUUCCAUACUCCAAAGGGGCUCUGCAGGAUUAAGAUGCACUGGAUGUUUUAUAGUGGAUACAUCAAGGACCAGAACUAGAUUAACAAAUCACUUAAAACAUAUUUAUCAACCAUAUAUUCAAGUGUGAUAUGUCAUACAACAUUGCAUGUUUAAUUAAAAAAUAUAUAUAUAUAUAUCGGUCAUAAAUUUAUUUUCUUGUUUAUAUCUGAAACAGUAAAUAAUAUAAAAUCAAAAUAGCAAACCUGAUGGCAGCGACAAACUGCGAGUUGUGAUGACAACUUGGCAUUUAAUGCCUCUAAUUCCUGGAUGUCAUUUAAAAAUAGUAAUCAGAAUAAUGCAGUACAUAAUAUAACACUACAAGAAAUUUGGGACUAUAUUAUAGAAUGCAAAAGACAAUUUAUAAGUUCUGCAAGAAACAAACACUGAGAGUGAGGCAUUGUGGUGAUUGCUUAGAAUGGCACAACAAAACCAAACAAAACCAAGAAAACCAAGAGAACCAAACACAGAUAGUAAUGUGGUUCGAAAGUUGCCUACGUCAAUGGUGCAGCAACAAUUUAUCUUCCAGUAAUGGGUACACAAUCUUGCCUAGCCUCUAAAUGAAAACUUGAUAAAACUAGAAAGAAUUAAAUAAAAAAAGAAAAAAAAACAAGGUAACGAAGCCAAGUAAUACUGUACUAUAAAAAAUAAGUUCAUCCAUUUAUUAUCCAGAAUACAAACAACAGAUUGUCCUUAAUCAUGAAUUACAUGCAUUUCACUAAUGCAAUCUUAGGCUAUAUCUUUUCAUUUUCUUUUGUUGUCAUGUUCGAUUUAAGUGUCAUGUAGUUAUGUCUUUUAGAAUUCCUGCAAGCAUCAGUUAUAUGGUUAUUAAUAAUGCAUGUAAGGUCCUAAUAAAAAAAGGCUACUUUGUAAGCUUUCAAGCAGAAGUGGUAAAAGAAAUCAGUUGAGAUUUUCUGCUCGUGUGUGAGUCAUUGGUUAACUUGUCGAGAUUCCGAGACAUCUUUGGUAUGACACUGGAAUUCUUUCUGAGAGUGAUCCCUGAAAACUCCACCCAAGUGAAACUAGUAGUUUAUAUUCCUUUCCAGAUCUUAUAUCAUCUGUCCCUACUCCCUAACAAUAACAACCUCUUUUCUUCUCUUCUCUUCUGCCCAUACUCAAUUUCUCCCUGCAAUGGACUACAAGACUUUCUCUCUCUGCACUUCUAAGCAAGAGCAGUAUUCUAAGCCAAACUGCCUUACUCAAACAUCAGUGUUUCCCAAUUCACUCAUGGGAGUGGAAUUCCCUAGCUCUCCCAUUGGAGUGCUCCACCAAGUACCAGCUGCUUUCCCCAGGCGCUGAUUCUAUGAUCCCCACACCUCAUUACAUAGUCAUGCCUGUUACCUUUCUUAACCAACUAGCCAACGAGCCUUACAGGUAAUCUUUUGACAAUUAGUAUUAGGAGUAGUUUAUUCCUUCCUUACCGGCACCAAAAUGGGCUUGCCCUCCAACUAGCAUCCCUGUAAGGCUAUCAAAAGUAACCGUAUUAGCAUCCCUCCUUGUCAGAGAAGAAAUCAUGACUUCAGAUAAGUGUUUAGUUAUCUGAGUCUUUAGUAAUAUUAGGUCAAUUUCUCAUUAACAGGUAAUAGGUCCAACUCCAACUAGCGAUCAUAGUGAUAACAAAAUCUUCCCAUGCCUCCCUGAGAGUAGUGCUGACCUAGUUGACUGCUGAUUUCAAACUUUUCAGCUCUUGAUCCUCAUCUACUCGGGUGGCAAGUGAGUCAAGUCGUGUUGUGUCAUCUGUCAUGUGUUUUUUCAUAUCAUGUCAACUGGAAAGCCAACAUGUUAACCAACGGCAUCAUAUGGCAUGACUCACGUAAGAGGGAUCCUACAAUUCUCUAAACCUCCACAUAUCGUACAAAACCUUUAUCCUUUUUCUUGUUCUCUUCCCAUUCAUCUUUAAUGUUAAGGGUGUAGCUCCCGCAUCGAGGCCUAAAACUCACUAGCCAAACCCUAAACUCAAAACCCAGAAACUCUACUGGAUAACCAAAUCAACCAUAAAUUGUCGUAACGUUUUGGAAAUACUUGCUAAGCUCACAAUCUAGCAAUUCGCCCACACACACUAAUUAGUGUAAAACUCCGAUAACAUCUCCAGGGAUGGGAUGGUCUUCUAGUAAAAGAUAUCAGCUAUUAGACCUUAAUAAAUACGAUACGAUUGCUUUGUGCUAUACAACUAGCUACCCCAUUCAUCGCAAUUUUGUUCACUUUAACUACAAUGCCCAAUUUUACGAUUUCGAAAUGGAACUGAACAUAAUAUGAGAGCUGGACAUAAUCAAAACUGAAUCAACAGUUGAGAGAGAGAGAGAGAGAGAGAGAGAGAGAGAGAGAGUGAGUUAUAAAGAAAGUGGAAGCGGCCAAAGCAAUUGACAACGAAGUAUGUGAUUGGAAAGAGAGACAGAACCUGAACUCUGUGGCGGAGGGAGUCGACGAGGGAGUCCAUGCUCCUGCUUUUGGUCGUUUCUAAUUUCCAGCGGGAACCAAAACGACGGCCUGCGCUCUACUUACGGCGACUCCCUGUGUCUACUUUCAAAUCAAAAUAGGGUGUCAUUAGCACCACCUUUAAAAUAUGUGAAUAAAGUAAAAUUCAACUUUUUUCUUUUUAAUUAUGAACAUCUCGAAAUUAUUUAGUUUUAUCAUUUAACCUUUAAUUAUUUAGAAUAUAUUUUGAUGUUUUGUGUCGACAUAUGUGACAGAUACCGGAUUUGGAUGAUUUUUUAGCCUCAUGUCAAACUAGAUUUCGAGACAAAAAAAACAAAAGUCAAAUCUCAUUCUAAUGACAAUAAGAUUUUUGAUCCCAAUUGAACGAUUAGCUUAUUUAUGCCCAAAUAUACAAAUUUUUAUUAAAUUCAUAAUAAAAUAAUAUUUUUGAGACAUUUUUAACCUUGUGUCUUAUACACAUUUAAAGAGAGAAAAUGGAAGAGAGAGAGGACUUUGCUGGAGCCUUGCCGGACUCCGGUGACUAGUCACCGGACUUCGGUCAUCGGUUGCCGGAUUCCGGUCAUUGGUCACCGGUUGCCGGAAUUUCUUUGGUCCCCGGUUAUUGACCCCUAGUAACUCAAAUUUUCUUCAGUCGCUAGAUUUCGGUCACCAGUAACUCGAUUACUGACCCCCAAUAACCAGUUACUGACCCCCAAUAAUCAACCUAUUUCAGCUUAAUGUAAUACAAAAGAAGAUUUACUAGAAAAUAAUCGAAUUACUGAUCCUAAUAAUCGAGUUACUGACCCUAAUAUCCUUUAGUUUUCAGUUACUGACACCCAAUAAUCACUUAGUUUUUAGUUACUGACACCUAAUAACCAGUUACUAACCCUUAAUAUUCAGGUUACAAACCUCAAAUAAUAAUUUACUGACUCUAAUAAUCACUUAACAAUCCUCAAUAAUCACUUACUAACCCCAAUAUUCAAAUGUAAGGAUCAAAAAAAAAAAAACUACUAACUAACUUGGUCAUGCUCUGGGCACCCAUGUUUCUUCUCUGGGCACCCACCUUCCCCAACGGCAAGCACACCGGCUCCUCCACCGAACCCGGCGCACCUCACUCUGCAUAACAAGCCCGGAUCCGGCGCACCUCACCUCAUUCCACCAAACCUGGCGCACCUCACCUCACGCCGGCAAGCAAUGCCUUCCCCAGCCACAAUCCAACCCGGAUCGAACUCUAGCCAAGUUGAGCUCACUAAUAUCUACACCAUCUCGUCGUCGCCGGCUUGGCGCAGAUCAGAGUCGCUCCAGGAUCAGAUAGGAGAUCUGGUGCGGUGGAGGAAGGACUAGACGGCGUCGCAGGCGGAGGAGAUCUAGUGCGGCAUCGCAGGCGGAGGAGAUCUGGUGUGGUGCGUUGGAGGCGAGGUGAUAAGGUCUAGGUUGAUGAGAGAGAGAGAGAGAGAGAGAGAGGCAUGAUCGGGUAAAUGAGAGAGAGGAGAGAUAAGGUUUGAUAUUUAUGAAGGAUAAUAUUGUCUUUUUAUUAAGAUUUGUGUAAAUGGGCAUUGAAAAACGAUUUUCAUUGGAAUGGGCUAGAAGCUCUUAAAAUUAGUACUAAAUAAGCAUUUUCCCUUAUUUAAUGUGUAGAAGAACAAACAUUGAUAAUCUUGGAUCUCCAGGUUUUAUUCAUGCGUAGAUAAGAUGGAACAUAUAUUGCAAAUCGGUCAAUGGAGUUUGUUCUUCUCAUAAAAUUAGUUGCAAAUUGGUAAAUGGUAUAUUUGGGUUAGUGAUGCUGAGGUUAUUAGGGCUCAUUGAAUGGAUUCAAACGACUCAAAAUGUGUGAGCAAAAAUAAUUCAAUAAUCCUAUCCAACAAUCAUUUUCAUCAUAUUCUUAUGUCAUGUAUAGACAACCAUCCCUUUUGAGGAAUGCACGCAAUUUGGGCGGAAUAAGAUCGGGUGGGCUAAGCCCCUCCUUUUUCCUCUUCGCUUGAUUCAUCAUCUCCUCUUCUCGUUCAGAAGAUUCUUCAUCAACUUCUUCUUCAAGUUGGUCUUAUGUAUAAAUUGUUUCAAUUCUCGCAUCCAAGGGUUUUUU